Molecule: long non-coding RNA, 107418 nt
Filed under: Malus domestica (apple)
Lineage: Eukaryota; Viridiplantae; Streptophyta; Magnoliopsida; Rosales; Rosaceae
Description: long non-coding RNA (MDOM_LNC017184)
Rfam family: MIR5225 microRNA precursor family (bases 60697-60828)
Source: RNAcentral
AAUUUAUGUGGCGGGAGUUUAGUUUUUGCUUUUCUGCCUAUGUAUGUAUGAUUUGAAAUGGACAGUUCAAUUUGCUAUAUAUAAAUUUGUAGUUGAAGAGUUCGAAGGAGAGGUGAAUUAGAAAACAAUGGGGAGAAGAGUGACGGAGUUGAGGAGUUGAGGAGUUGAGAGUUAACGAGGUAUACUUGAACUUCUGUAUGAUGUUCCUGAUAUUGGACAAAAUCUUUGGAUUUCAAAUGUUUGAAUUUGAAUCGGACAAAAUCUUUGGAAUAUUUCAGCUCAAAUCGGUCGGAAUCGGAUGUUCCUAUCCAAGUUGCACCCAUACUCACGCCAAAACCAAAACCCUUAAAAUUUGUAAAGAAAAAAAAAACUCUUCCCACUCAUCACUCACGCCAAAACCAAAAUACUCGUUUCAUUCAAACAACACGACUUAGGGCUGAUUUGGUAUUGAUGUGUUUUGAAAAAAAAGCUGCUUCUGCUAUGUUGUGAGAAUAAGCGACUGUGAAAUAAAGCUGUAGAGUAUUUGGUAAAUUUUUUUGUAAAAAUGCUUUUGAAAAAAAAAAGCAGUAUUAUAGUGUUUGGUAAACUUUUAUAUAAAACAAAUGUGAAAAAAAGCCGGUUUUUCAAAGCUGGGUUUUGCAGCUUCUUGUUUUGGUUUUUUUCACCCAAAACUGUGAAAAAAAACUGAAGCUGAAUGUUUACCAAACACAAAAAAGCUCCUAACUUUUUUUCAUACCAGCUUUUGUUUUAAUCACCUCAAUCCCAAACUGCACCUUACUCCCUCCAAACCCUCCAAUCCCAAACUUCAUAUGGAACCAUUAUUUUCAAUAUUUACUUGUGUUAUACGUUUGGAGAAAUUUUGAUUCGAGAAAAUGUUCGACAUACCAGGACAGAAAAGUUUGCUGAAAUUUCGGUGUCCAUAAGCGGAAAAUAAGAGCACGUUUCGGUCAGCACUAACUGAGUACAAACGAAAAUAUGUUCUCUAAACCGGACUUCCACACAAGCUUCCGGUCUUCUUGUCUACCGAAAGCAGCUUUUAUAUUUGACAGCUGACUGCUGCAAACAACUGGUGUUACUUCAAUACUUUUCCUGUUAAUCUCUCUAACAUAGAAAAAUUCUUAAAUUUUAAGCUAGAAGACAUGAUAUGUGUACAUUAAAGGAUGGCACUGACUUGGAAGUCUUUGGACGAUCGUACCAGUGUCGAUUCUCAUAGCAUUAAGGAUAGCCUCGACAACACGGUUGUCAUCUCGAAGGGCACGGGAGUAGCUGUCAUUAAACGAGGAAGAUGUAGAUGUUAUUGGCCUUGGUUUUGAGUGGUGAGGUGGACCAUUGACUUGUAAGUCUUGUUUUUGUUUUCUUAUCAGAGACUCGGAAUUUUCAUAACAGCAACAUUAUGGUCUACGAUUCCAUGUCCAAAUCUUUCACCUCUAAGUGUUUCCAUUACGGCACAUAAUUUGGAACAUCUAAAAGAGGAGAAGGAAAUUGUUAUUAACAUUUCAAAAAUCUUAUUCUACACUCCUCACAAGUGUAUUUUUCUUUCUAAUUCUAGAAAGUUUUGUCACAUCCCGACUCGAUUCUGCCGUAGCACGAUAUUGUCUAUUGUGGGUCCCAACUACGCCCUCAUGGUUUUGUUUCUGGGAACUCAAACAAGAACUUUUUAGUGGAUCACCCAUCAUAGGAUUGCUCUCGCCCAAUCUCGCUUAACUUUGGAGUUCCUAUGGAAUCCGAAACCAGUGAGUUCCCAAAAUGCCACGUGCUAAAGGAGGUGAGCAUGUACAUAUAAGGCAUAGAGGAUCCUCACCCCUGGGCAAUGUGGGAUCUAACAAGUUUAGAGUGUCAAAUGAGAUUUUUGAAGUGCUAAUAACAAUUCCCGAAGAGAAAAUCUCCUAUAUAUACAUGGCAGUUUUCUCUUUUAAUACUGCAGACUCAUUUUUUGUACUACAAAUCAUCCCAUUGCAUGCUCACAUUCGAAAUAUGGGUAUUUGAGAUUGGUAUAACUCCUCAUCUAGUCUCUGAGAUUUAAAAUUUAUAGAACUAGUACUUGAGUUUGUCCACCGUCAAUCAUUUCGUGAAAAAUGUUCGUUAAUAAGGAAAAUAGUCUCAAUUUUUUUUCAAAUCAUUUUGACCCGUUAUUUAUUAAAUUGAAGGUAUUUUGUUAUGUUUGUUCUUAUUUAACAGAAAUUUUCUUACAAAAAACUAAAAUGAUGACGGUGGACAAACUCACAGACCAUUUCUAUCAUUUUAAAUUUUAGAUAUCUAAUGAGAAGUUCUGUCAAUCUUAGAACUAAAAAGCCGUAAAAAAUGGCCUUUUGUAGUCUUUAGUCAAUAAUGGUGGGCUACAGUUGCAAAACCCCAGCACACUUCCUCUUGCUUUCCUUUAAUCAAUGGAAUAUUGUGAACAAUGAAACUCAUCAAACUUCCCGCUGCUUGCCUUUAGUCAACUUAUCUUCCAUGAAAAGAGCAUCUCCUCCACUCUAUAUAAAACCAUGUCUUUCCUUGUAGCAGAAACAGAAAAACCUAAACCUUCAAGAGAUUCCUAAAACCCUUCCGACGAAAACGAAGAUGAUGGGAGAAAUGUGGGCUCAAAUGGGCUCGGUGAUUGCGAGUGUCAUGUUCGUUAAUGCCAUAGUUCAACAAUACCUUCCCCCCCAUCUUCGGUACCAUGUAGGAAGAUACACUCAAAAACUAGUGGGCUUUGUCUACCCUUACAUCCAAAUCAUCUUUGAUGAAUUCACCAAUGAUUUUCGCAAGCGAAGCGAAAUCUAUUCCGCCAUCCAGAGCUACCUCAGUGCGAAAUCUUCCACUCGGGCUAAGCGGUUAAAAGCUCAUGAAGUCAAGGACAGCAAGUCUCUGGUCCUUGGCAUGGAUGACAAUGAAGAAGUGACUGAUGAAUUUCAAGGCGUUAAGCUUUCAUGGGUUUUGAGGAAACAAACGGCGAAUCAGACUUCAUUUUCUUUCUAUCCUCAGUCUGAUGAGAAGAAACAUUAUAGGCUGACGUUCCACAGACGCCAUAGAGAUAUCAUCACGAGGUCUUACCUUGAUCAUGUGAUUAAAGAAGGGAAAGAGUUAUUGGUGAGCAACAGGCAACGAAAGCUCUAUAUCAACAAUCCUACACAGGAUUGGCAUCCCUACAGGGGGACAAAGUGGAGCCAUGUGGCGUUUGAGCACCCGGCAUCAUUUGAAACCCUAGCAAUGGACCCGAAAAUGAAGGAGGAAAUCAUCAGUGACCUCAUCAAGUUCAGAAAGGGAAAGGAGUACUAUGCGAAAAUCGGGAAGCCUUGGAAGCGGGGUUAUCUCCUUUACGGGCCACCAGGCACUGGAAAGUCUACCAUGGUUGCUGCCAUGUCUAAUUUCAUGGAUUAUGAUGUCUAUGAUCUUGAGUUAACGACGGUGAAGGACAACACUGAGCUGAGGAAGCUACUGAUUGACACGCCGAGUAAGUCUAUAAUUGUGAUUGAGGACAUUGAUUGCUCGCUUGAUCUUACAGGACAGCGAAAGAAGAAGAAGGAGAAGGAUGAGGAGGACAAGGAAGAAAAUAAGGAUCCAGUUCGAAAAAUGAGGGAAGGUCAAGAAAACCCACAGAGCAAGGUGACUCUUUCGGGGCUGCUAAACUUUAUCGAUGGGAUUUGGUCAGCUUGUGGAGGGGAGAGAUUGAUUGUGUUUACGACUAAUUAUGUGGAGAAACUUGAUCCUGCGCUCAUUAGAAGAGGAAGGAUGGACAAACACAUAGAAUUGUCCUACUGCUGCUUCGAAGCAUUCAAAGUGCUUGCUAGGAAUUAUUUGGAUUUGGAUUCACACGAGUUGUUUGAAACGAUUGCUCGUUUGUUGGGUGAAACCAAUAUGACUCCUGCUGAUGUCGCUGAGAACUUGAUGCCUAAGUCUGUUAGGCAGGAUGCUAAAUCUUGUUUGAAGAACUUGAUCGAAGCUCUUGAGGCUGCGAAGGAGGAGGCAAGAGUGAAGGCCGAGGAAGAAGCAAAGUCAAAGGCAGAGGAAGAGGCAAAACUGAAGAUAGAGAAAGAAGAAAAAGAGAAAGACCUGCCAAAAGUUGAAGAGAAAUGCAAUGGAAAACAAGUUGAAACGGGCGAAGAAAACAGAGUUAGCGCUUGAAGAUGAACGAAAGAGAGUGAAAUCAUAUGUAUGAAUUUCAACCUUGCUUAAAUUGUAUUUUGUAGAGUCUCAUCAGUGUGUGUUUUUCCUUAAUGUGUACUAAGAAUAAUUUCAUGGGGCUGUACUAAUUAAGCGUUUCGAUCAUCAAGGGCAUAAGUAACCUGUACCGCAAGGAAAAAAUGUCUAUUUCUUUGAAUAAGUUUAACUAAGUAACUCUAAUCUGUGUUUUAUCAAAAUAUCCUUAGUUAAUUAAGUUCUUUCGUAUCUUAUUUUGUUUCUUAAAGUGAAAUUUUCUCACUUAACAACUAAUUGUAUGUUGCAAGAAACUAAGACUGAUUGAUCCACAGUAGACAGACAUGAUGAUGAUGAUGGGAGAAAUGUGGGUUCAACCGGACGCGGAGAUUUGCUAGUGUGAUGCUUCAUGCUUGUUUAUGCCAAAUUUCUGCAUUUUUUCCCAUCGCUUUCGAGGCAUAGAGACUGAAUCCGCCCGCCAUUGUAGAUGAUCAGAAUGCUUAGUAUAUUCAUACAAAGUAAUCACUGUGGUGCUUCAUGCUUGUUUACGCUAAAUUUUAAGUAUUUUCCCUUCUCUAAGAAAAAAUUAUUUAUGUAAAGCUAUGAAGUAUACAUCAUUUCUCAACAAAAUACAGAGGCCAAACAAGAAAGCAAAGUUUAAACAUGACUCCAGCAGACAUGUUUGCUCAUCUGGGAUCCGCAGUUGGCAGUUUGAUGUUUGCGUGGUCUAUCAUCCCACAAUACCUUCCUUACAGCCUUCGAAGCCAGACUAAGAAAUACUCUCAAAGAUUGGAGGGUUUCGUCUACCCUUACAUCCAAAUCACAUUCGAUGAAUUCAUUGGAGAGCGUCUCAAGCGCAAUGAACCUUAUUCCUCCAUUGAGAAAUAUCUAAGCUCCAAAUCUUUACGCAAGCAAAGCGCCUAAAGGCCGACAUAAAAAACUAACAGUCCCUUGCUUUUAGCCUGGAUGACUAUCAAGAGGUCACCGACAAGUUCCAAGUGUCACGGGAUGACUCUUUAAGCCUUCCGCCCAUGCGGCACUUAGACUUGAAUACCUCGAUGAACAAGCUAAGUAAGUCUUCGAAGCCUCGCUUCCCCGGAUCGAAUCACAAAGAAAGCUAAGAUAGCUUGGAGAAUGCUAAAAUCACUUAGAACAUGGGAGAAAGGAAGCUUUGUAUUGAAACUUAAGAGAACUUUACAAUUGCUUACAAUUCUUGGAUGCCUUGGCCAAAUGGCCUUGCCUCCUAUUUAUAGGCCUAAGUUACCUCCUCAAUGGAGGGUUCUAGAAUUCCCUACUUACAUCCAAAAAUAUCUAGCAUAGUUCUAGAUACAACUUGCCUAAUCUAGAUUGUUCUAGGUGAGGCUUAAAUUUGUACACUUGUGUGGAAUGUUCUGGAAUGCCCUAGAUUAUCUUGAACGCUCCGCCAUGUUCUUGAUUUUUCCGGGAUGUUCCAGAAGCUUCCAUGAAGACAAGGCUUUAUGGGCUUAGAUAUAUGAUGUCUUGGGCGAUUUCUUUGUUUUUAACAUAUGGCCCGUGACAUCCUCCCCCACUUAAGCCGUCGACGUCCUCGUCAACUCUUGCCUCUCGAAUGUCUGAAUCAAGUCCUUAUAUUGCCAUAAGGACGUCUCUUUCUCCCAUGUUGCUUCGGAGUAUGGUAGCCCCUUCCAUUUGACAAAGUACUCCAUAUGCUUUGGUUGUCUUGGUCGCACCACGACACGCUUGGCUUCAAUGCUCUCCGCUUCUUUGUCAAAUGCCUCCGUCAUUAAAGGGGGUGCUCGAUGAGACUCACCUCGGCUUGGUUCCUCAUCGUCUGCAUGAUAAGGCUUCAAGUUGCUCACAUGGAACACCGGGUGAAACUUGAGGCGGGGUGGGAGUUCCACACCAUACGCGGCUUUGCCAACCUUCUUGAUGAUAGGGAAUGGUCCCUCAUAUUUCCGCAACAAGCUCUUGUGCAAGCCACGAGUACUCUUGUGCUGAGACGCAUUGAGCUUCACAAAGACUUGGUUGCCAGUUUGGAACUCCACAUUCAUUCGCUUGCGAUCCGCCCAUUUCUUCAUCUUCUUUGAAGCCUUCUCCAAAUGAGCUCGAGCAAGUUCGUGGGCUAAUUGCCACUCCUUAGCGGUUUUGAAAGCGGCUGGACUAUUCCCCGUGUAGCCAGUCACGACCGUGUUCGGGGUCAAGGGUUGUUGCCCUAUAGCCAACUUGAACGGACUUUUCCCCGUCGACUCCGAACGUUGCAAGUUAUAAGAGAAUUGGGCAACAUCAAGUAACUUAGCCCAAUCUCGUUGAUUGGCACUAACAUAGUGCCGCAAAUAAGUCUCCAACAAUCCAUUAACCCGCUCCGUUUGUCCAUCAGUUUGUGGAUGAAAAGCUGUGGAGAAGUCUAACUUUGAGCCAAGUAGCUUGAAGAGCUCCUUCCAAAAUCUACCCGUGAAACGAGCAUCUCGAUCACUGACUAUGCUCCUCGGAACACCCCAAUACUUCACCACAUGCUUUAGAAACAAGCGUGCAGCUACUUCGGCUGUGCACUCCAUAGGUGCGGGUAUGAAAGUGGCAUACUUGGUGAAUCUAUCGACCACGACGAAGAUAGAUCCACAUCCAUCAGACUUAGGCAAAUGUGUGAUGAAAUCCAUGGUUAAACACUCCCAUGGUCUUGAUGGGGUGGGAAAUGGUUCCAACAGUCAUCCCGGUUGCUUUUGUUCCACUUUGUCUUGUUGGCACACAAGACAAGUCUUCACGUAUGAAUCUACAUCAUCCCGCAUUUGUGGCCAAUAAUAAGCAUCGCUCACCAAAGCCAACGUGCGGUGAGUGCCAGGAUGUCCUGCCCACAUUGAGUCAUGGCACUCCUUAAGGAUUUCUUUCCUUAAGCUUCCUCACUUUGGGACAUAGAUCCGUUUGCCCUUGGUGUAUAGCAAGCCGUCCUCAAGCCAAAACCUUCUUGUCUUCCCAUCCUUGACAAACUCCACAAUGUUCUUGGCUUGGACGUCAUGUGAUAAACCUUCUCGGACACGGCCCAAGAGAUGGCUUUGCGGCUUGAGUACCGUAGCCAUUAACUUUACUCGUCUACUUAGAGCAUCGGCCACCACGUUCUCCUUUCCUUGCUUGUACUCUAGCUUGUAAUCAAACUCCGCUAAGAACUCUUGCCACCUUGCUUGCUUAGGUGUAAGCUUUUGUUGGGUUUGAAAGUAGCUAGCGGCAACGUUGUCCGUCUUGAUGAUGAAUGGGGUACCAAGCAAGUAAUGCCUCCAAACUCUAAGGCAAUGGACGAUGGCGGUCAUCUCCUUUUCAUGGGUCGUGUACCUCUUCUCGGCAUUGUUUAGCUUGCGACUUUCAUAGGCUAUCGGAUGUCCCUCUUGCAUCAACACUCCUCCUAUGGCAAAGUCGGAAGCAUCAGCGUGCAACUCGAAUGGCUUGCUAAGGUCGGGCAACCUUAGUACAGGCUCCUCCAUUAGGGCCUUCUUCAACCUCUCAAAGGCCUCUUGACACCGGUCCGUCCAUUCCCAUGCCUUGUUCUUCUUAAGAAGGUCUGUUAAGGGUGCUGCUAUGGCUGAAUACCCUUUUAUGAAUCUCCGAUAGUAGUUGGCUAACCCCAGAAAGGAUCGUAGUGUUGGUACCUUGGUCGGUGGUUCCCACUCUUGAAUGGCCUUGAUCUUGCCCUUUUCCAUCAUAAGUUUCCCCUCCUUUAUCUUGUGGCCAAGAAAUUCUACUUCUUUUGUGGCAAAUGAGCAUUUCUCCUUCUUGACAUAGAGUUCAUGCUCCCGAAGGGUCUUGAACACUAUGCGCAAGUGCUUGACGUGCUCAUCCAAUGUCUUGCUAUAGACAACGAUAUCAUCAAUGUAAACCACAACAAACUUGUCAAGAUAAGGAUGGAAUACCUUGUUCAUCAAUGUGCAGAAUGUUGCGGGGGCAUUGGUCAGACCAAAUGGCAUGACUUUAUACUCGAACGAUCUAUAUCUGGUCACCAUCGCCGUCUUUGAUUCGUCUCCAGGGGCUAUCCUCACUUGGUAGUAUCCCGAUCGAAGAUCUAACUUUGUGAAGUACCUUGCUUCACCAAGUUGAUCGAAUAAGUCGGCGAUCAACGGAAGUGGGUACUUGUUCUUGAUGGUAAUCUUGUUCAAUGCUCUAUAGUCGAUGCACAACCUUAGGCUACCUUCUUUCUUGCGUUGGAACAAGACGGGUGCACCAUAUGGGGACUUGGAGGGUUGGAUGUAGCCAGCAUCAAGUAGUUCGUUGAGUUGCUUCCUCAAUUCCUCCAACUCGGGUGGCGACAUCCUAUAAGGUGAUUUGGAGGGAGGCUUAGCACCAGGCUCCAACUCAAUCGCAUGGUCGACCUCUUUCCUUGGUGGCAACUUCUUUGGCAGUUCCUUAGGUAUCACGUCCGUAAACUCCACAAGAACGUCUUCCACUUGUUUCGGCAAAGGCCCGUGCUUCUCCUCCCCUUCAUUCAACAUUAGGGUUGCAAGAAAUGUGGCCUCGCCUUUCUUCCAAGACUUGGCAAAUUGAAUUGCCGACAAGUGCUGGGUACACUUCUUGGCUUGCCUUUCCAAUGGCACCAGGCAAGGUUGUCUUCCGUCGGCCAGGAUACAGAAAAUAUUGUAGAAGGGAAUGGGAAAGGCUCGUACCUUGUCCAUGAACUCUAACCCAAUGACUACUCCAUAGUCGUCCAUCUUGACUACAGUGAAGUCGAUCUUUCCCUUCCAUGUGCCAAUGUCUACUUGUACAUUGCGCACAACUCCAACAAUGGGGGUGGCAGCGGAAUUUACCGUCUUCACGCUACCAGGCUCCUUUGUGACUCAGAGACCAAGCCUUGUGGCUUUCUCCGACGUCAUGAAGUUGUGUGUUGCUUCUAUGUCCACCAACACACGCGUCGUCUUGUCACCAGUCUUGACGUCGACGAACAAUGAUCCUCCCCCAAUUUGAGCCUUAGGUUGUGGAAGGGUUGUCUGGAUGGCAUUCAGUAGACGGAUGCAUCCCAUCGUUGCAUCGUUACUCUCUUCGGCCUUGUCCUCCUUGAAAGCCAUGGCCUUAAGGGCAUUCUUUUGUGGGCAAUCUCGCAUCAUGUGAGGGCCGUCGCAUAGGUAACAAGUGGGUUGCCAAGACUUACCUUUGCUUUUGUCAUGCUUAUCGGCUUUCUUCUCCUUCGGUUUGCUUGUCUCGGCCUUGUCCUUCGGCUUAUGUUCUCCCCCACUUCUCUCAUGAUUACCCCUCUUCCCCGUGGACUUGAAAUCACCUUGGUGGCUUGAUUUAAACUCAAUCAAGGAUUCGGCGGCGGCAAUGGCAUCAGACAAUGUUUGCACGUGUCUCCUUUGUAGUUCGAGUUUUGCCCAAUUUUGCAGUCCACUCAUGAAGUACAUGAGCUUGUCUUCCUCUAACAUGUUGGGCACCUCGAAUAACAAGCUCACGAAGGUGUUGACAUAGUCUUUGACGCUCCCCGUUUGCUUGAGCCACCUUAGUUUCUCCUUGGCUUCGUACUUGGCAUUUUGGGGAUAGAAGUGCAACAUAAGAUCUUUCUUAAAUUCAUCCCAAGUGGUGAGGGAGAACGUACCUUGGUCAAUCUCCAUGCUCCGGCGACGCCACCACAUAAGGGCAUUGUCAGCUAAGAACAUGGUUGCCGUUGAGAUUUUGGACUCGUCAUCUUCAAGCUUCAGGUACUUGAAGUAUCGCUCCACGUUCCACACGAAUGUGUCGAGCUCCUUUGCUUCCCUUUUCCCAUUAUAGGAUUUGGGUUUAAAGGAGUCGAUUACCUUGGAGUCCAACGCCUUGAUUUCCCUCGGCCCUUGCACGAAUUGCUUCACGACUGCUUCUUUACAAAACGCCACAUCUCCCUUAAGUUCCCUUGUGUCCUUUAUCUCUUUUUGAAGUGCCACAAACCUUGCCUCUAUGUUGUCAAGGUGAACCUGGACUUCCCUCCGCAUCUUGUCUGCCAUGGUGUUGAGAGCGCCAAAGAGCUCAUCUCGUAGCCCUUCCACCAAGCCACGCAGUUCAUCCUUACCAUUGUCCACCAUGGUUUGGAUUUCCUCCUUGUCGACAACGUCCUCAUCAAGUCGAGUAUCGAACUCGAGUAUGGUUCGUUCCACCUUCUCGAGUCGCUCUUCCAUGGUCUCCAUCGAUGCUUGCAAGUCCUUUAACUUUGGCUUGCUCUUGGCAACAUCUUGGACCUCGGCAGUACGCUCCCUUAGGUCGGAGACUCCGGACACCAUCUCUCCACUUGCCAUAUCCUACUUUCCUUCAAGUGAUUCACGAGCUAGGCUCUGAUACUAGCUGUCACGGGAUGACUCUUUAAGCCUUCCGCCCGUGCGGCACUUAGACUUGAAUACCUCGAUGAACAAGUUAAGUAAGCCUUCGAAGCCUCGCUUCCCCGGAUCAAACCAUAAAGAAAGCUAAGAUAGCUUGGAGAAUGCUAAAUCCACUUAGAAGAUGGGAGAAAGGAAGCUUUGUAUUGAAACUUAAGAGAACUUUACAAUUGCUUACAAUUCUUGGAUGCCUUGGCCAAAUGGCCUUGCCUCCUAUUUAUAGGCCUAAGUUACCUCCUCAAUGGAGGGUUCUAGAAUUCCCUACUUACAUCCAAAAAUAUCUAGCAUAGUUCUAGAUACAACUUGCCUAAUCUAGAUUGUUCUAGGUGAGGCUUAAAUUUGUACACUUGUGUGGAAUGUUCCGGAAUGCCCUAAAUUAUCUUGAACGCUCCGCCAUGUUCUUGAUUUUUCCGGGAUGUUCCAGAAGCUUCCAUGAAGACAAGGCUUUAUGGGCUUAGAUAUAUGAUGUCUUGGGCGAUUUCUUUGUUUUUAACAUAUGGCCCGUGACACAAGGACUCAGUUUCUUGUGGGUUUCUGGGACAAACGUGUUGAAAAGAUAGACGUAUUCUUUCUACCCUGUUGGUGAGAAAGGUACUACAAGCUCAUUUCCAUAAACGGCACGGGGAUCUCGUAAUAUGUCCAUACUUUACUCAAAUCUUGAAAGAAAGCAAGGCUAUGAAGGUGGUAAACCGGCAAAGAAAGAUUUAUUCGAACAAUGGUUCACAUUGGAGCCAUGUCGUGUUUGAGCACCCCGCUACAUUUCAGACACUUGCCAUGGAGCUGGAGAAGAAGAAGGACAUUAUUGACGACCUAAUGGCAUUCACCAUAGCAGAAAACUAGUAUGCAAGGAUUGGAAGGGCAUGGCAGCGGGGAUAUCUCCUUUACGGCCCUCCAGGUACUGGAAAGUCCACCACGAUUUCUGCCAUGACUGAUCUUUUGGGCUAUCAUAUUUAUGAUCUUGAACUCACUGCAGUUAAAGACAACACUGAGCUGAGGGGGCUUCUGAUUGAAACAACGAGCAAGUCUAUUACUGUAAUUGAAGACAUCGAUUGUUCACUUGAUAUUGCGGGACCGAGGAGGAAGAGAAAAGAUAAAGGGGAAGAGGAGGAAGAGAAAGAUCCAAUGGACAAGCUUGCAGAACAAGAAAGAUAAACCAAAACCAGCCGGGUUAAUAUUUCCAGGCUUCUGAUUUUUAUUGAUGGGCUAUGGUCAGCUUGCAGCGGAUGGGGGAUCAUUGUCAUCACAACUAAUCAUGUGGAGCAACUCGAUCCAGCACUUGUCCGGAAAGGAAGGAUGUACAAGCACAUAGAAUUGUUGUACUGCAAGUUCGAAGCAUUCAAGGUGCUGGUGGGGAACUACCUUAGACUUCAAUCACACGAUUUGUUUUCCACAAUUGUACGCUGCCGGAGGAAAACUGAUAGGACUCCAGCUGAUGUUGCAGAACCUUUGAUGCCUAAGACAAAUCCUUAGGAUGCUUAAAUCUGCCUACAUAAUCUGAUCGAAGCACUCGAAAAAGAAAAAGAGAAUGGAAGGUUGAAAGCCAAGGAAGAAGGGAAAAGGAGAAAUCAUCACCUAAAGAGGAAGAAAAUGAUUGUGAUACAGGAUCAUCUGAUGAGCAAUAAAAAGAGAGCAAGAAAAUAGGUUUAGAAUUGGUUAAAAAGCUUGUUUCCUAAAAGUUGUAUGUAUUAUUCUAAAACCAAAUUCCUCUCCUUUCCGAGGUAUUUACUCAUUCGAGUUUGAAGAAAAUGGUGCCGAAAUCUGAUGUAGAGGAUGUUGAGUCUUGUUUGAAGAACUCGAUCGAAGCUCUUGAGGCUGCGUAGGUGGAGGCGAGAAUCAAGGCUUAGGUAAAAACAAGCAAAAAGGCAGAGGAAGAAGAAAAAUUGAAAACAGAGAAAGAAGUGAAGUCGAAGGCAGUGGAAGAAGCAGAUUCGAAGGCAGAUAGUGAAAUGUAACGGGACAUCAGCUUAGCUUCAUAUGACCAAGUAAACCCUCAUUUGUGCAACUUUUAUCCGUGUUUUUUUAGGAAAAUAAGCUUAUAAUUUUCUCAAUUAACAAUUUAAAAAGGUCCAUUGUCCCACCUAGUUCGUUGGUUUAACCAACGAUCUGGAUGUGAUCUAUCUGUUAGGAAUAUAAUAGAACCUAUAUGUAAUUAAAGGUUUUACUUUACUUAGCUGUUAAGCUAAUUGUACCUAUUUAUAUGAUAUUGUAUUCUUUCGGACUGUAAGAUGAAUUCAUUCAAUCAAUACACUUCUCUUUCUAGAAUCCUCUCUCUCUCUCUCUCUACCUUUACCUUUUCUCUCACAGAAUCAUAAGUUUCUACAUGGUAUCUUCGCCGAUGUCUAACGACCUCGAUCCACCGCUUCCGUCUUCUUGAAUUUUCUCACCCUUUCUCUUCUCCCAAACAGAUCUUAUCUGCCUGACCUUCUUCAAUUUCUUAAAAUUUCUUCUCCACUCUUGCUUCUCUGAUGGCGACUGGUGUGAAUUCUGCGGAUCUUUCUUCUCCGGCUGGUUCUUCUGGUUCUAAUGUCGCGCCCAAUGCGUUCAAUCCGUCUCUUUCUUCGAUCACUGUUCAGAAUAUCACUGGCAUGAUUGCAACGAAGCUUACUCGCCACAACUACAUCACUUGGCGUAGUCUCUUUCUUCCUGUUCUGAAACGAUUCAAGCUUUUAGGGCUUGUCAAUGGAACUGAUGUGUGUCCUCCUCCAUUUGUGACUGAUUCGUCCGGAUCUCAAGUUUCUAAUCCUGCAUUUGAGACUUGGUGAUCGUGAUCAAAUCUUGAUGAUUUGGAUUAAUUCAACAUUAUCUGAAGAUCUCCUUCCAUUGAUGGUUGGCAUGGACGAUUCCAGAUCUCUCUGGCAAUCUCUCGAACGUUGGUUUUCUGGUGCAUCUCGUACUCACAUUCACAGCCUUCGUUCGAAGAUUCAGACUAUCCAAAAAGGAGACUCUUCAAUGACUGAUUACCUCAACUCUCUUAAGGAAAUCUCUGAUAAACUUGCCGCGGCUGGCGAACCAAUUUCUGACUCAGAUCUUGUGGCCUACAUUCUUUCUGGUCUCUCUACUGAGUAUGAAUCAUUUAUUGAUUCUAUUGAAACACGAUCUGACUUUGUCAAUCCUGAUGAGCUGCAUGGAUUACUCCUGAGUAAAGAGAUUUCUCUUCUGAAACGCAAAUCCAGAAAACCGUCUUCUUCUUCAGCAUCUUUUCAUGCUUAUACGGCUCAACCUGGUUCCAACAAUUUCAGAGGCCGUGGUCGAUUUCAGAACAAAAAUCGCUACAAUUCGAAUCGCAAUUUUGGAGGAAAUCGUCAUUACAACAACACUUCUGGAAGUCUUCUUGGUCCUGGUCCUAAUUCCAGAUCCACAUUCUCUGGUCAGAAUUUCACCAAUUCCUUUUCUGGCCGCUCUCUUCAGUGCCAAUUAUGUCUCAAAUUUGGUCAUGAAGCUCUCAACUGUGAGAAGCUCCUUCAGUUUGCAUCUCAAAGAUCACCUCAUGGACCUCAUGUUGGCAUGACGGCUGCGACUUCUCCUCCACCGAGCUAUUGGUUAACUGAUAGUGGAGCCUCUCAUCAUGUGACACCUGAUCCAUCAUCUCUUAAUUCUGCAAUUCCCUACAAUGGCAGUGAUCAGUUGUUUGUUGGUAAUGGUAAAGGUCUGUGCAUUUCUCAUACUGGUUCUGCCUUAAUUCGUACUUUCAAUGCUACAUUUAAGCUCAAUGAUGUGUUGUUGGUUCCCAAAGCAUCCCAUAAUCUGUUAUCCGUUUACAAAUUUGUCUAUGACAAUUGGGCUUCUCUGACUUUUGAUCCUUUUGGGUUCUAUAUCAAGGACCUAAGAACUGGAAAGAUGCUUUUCCAGGGCCUCUGUGAAGAUGGCUUAUAUCCUUUCUACUGGACUGCAUCCAAUAAAUCCUCAGGCAUUGCUCUCUCGCCUACGGCAUUGAUGAUAGCUAAGGCAGAUGUUCAUCUCUGGCAUAAAAGACUCGGCCACCCAUCGAGCUUAGUUUUACAUAAUGUUGUCCAUAAACAUCAGCUACCUGUUAUUGGUUCUGUCAAUUCAGGGUCCAUUUGUACUGAUUGUAAGAUGGGGAAGGCAUCUAGAUUACCAUUUUCUACUUUGCCUUGUACUUCCACUAGGCCUUUUCACUUACUGCAUACAGAUGUUUGGGGUCCUUCUCCCACUUUUUCAUGUACUGGUUUCAAGUAUUACCUCAUUUUGGUCGAUGACUACACUAAAUACAGCUGGCUUUAUCCUAUGGUUUAUAAGUCUGAUGUUUACUCCACUUUCAAGACUUUUGUUCUCAAAGUUACAAAUUUCUUUUCUUGCAAGAUUCAAUGUCUCAGGUCAGAUUCAGGGGGUGAGUUCUUAAGCAAGAAUUUUCAGACUUUUCUCAAUAAACAUGGUAUUACACAUCAGUUAAGUUGUCCGCAUACACCUGAACAAAACGGCUGCGCAGAGAGGAAGCACAGGCAUGUUGUUGAAAUGGGUCGGACUCUUCUCUUUCAGAGUGGAAUGGCACCAAAAUUCUGGGUUGAGGCUUUUCAGACUGCUGUCUACAUUAUAAAUAGACUGCCUCCUCAAGCAUCUCCUACUAGCCCUUGGGAAAAAUUUUCAAUGCUGUACCUCAGUAUCACACUCUCAAAGCCUUUGGCUGUGCAUGCUACCCAUGGCUGCAGCCCUAUUCGUCAACUAAACUUGAUCCGAAUAGCAAGUUGUGUGUUUUCCUCGGCUAUAGUCUCAAUCAUUGUGGCUAUCGGUGUUUUGAUCCUGUGGCUAACAAAGUGUAUAUCUCACGGCAUGUUACUUUUGAUGAACACCUGUUCCCGUUUAAGCAAGGCUUGUUCUCUGCCUCUCCUUUACCCCAGCGUCCUUCACCUCUCAGCUCUUCUCCUAUUACUGUCACUAUUCCUGUCUCCUCUUCACCAAAGACUUCACUGCGUACUUCACAGCUUGCUAGUCCUGCUGGUUUUUCACCAUAUCAAGCAUCUUCUGUACCUGACAGUACUCCACAUCAAACAUCUUCUGUACCUGACAGUAAUGCAUCCACAACUGCUACUUCUCCUCAGUCUACUCCCUGUUUACCAUCUGCUACUGUGCCUGCCCCUGCUCUACCUAAUUCGCACCCUAUGAUUACGAGAGCUAAGGCUGGAAUUCAUAAACCAAAGGUCUUCACAGCAACCAAACAUUCCCUUCAAGCCUCUGUUGAUUCUAUUGCUUGUCUUCCUUCCACACCUACAACCUUUUUACAAGCUUCCAAAAAUCCCAACUGGAUGCAAGCUAUGAAGGAUGAGUUUCAAGCAUUGAAAUCCACAGGCAAUUGGGAAUUGGUUCCGUUUCAGUCUCAUUUGAACUUGGUUGGUUGCAAAUGGGUCUUUCGACUCAAACAUAAACCUGAUGGCUCUAUUGAACGGUAUAAGGCUCGUCUUGUCGCCAAAGGUUUCCAUCAACAAGAGGGUCUUGACUUCUCUGAGACAUUCAGUCCCGUUGUAAAGCCUACUACUAUCCGUAUUCUCUUAUCCAUCGCUGUUUCCUAUGACUGGUUUGUCCAUCAGCUUGAUGUCAGUAAUGCCUUUUUGCAUGGUACAUUAAAGGAGGAUGUCUACAUGGUCCAGCCUCCUGGUUUUGUUAAUCAGUCCAAACCUACACAUGUCUGUAAACUCCAACGGUCACUCUAUGGUUUAAAAUAGGCACCUCGUGCCUGGUAUGAUGCUUUUCACAAGGCUAUCCUCUCUUUAGGUUUCUCCUCUUCACAUUCUGACUCCAGUCUGUUUAUAAAAAAGGAUUCUACCAUUACUUUCAUCUUAGUCUAUGUUGAUGAUAUCAUCAUCACUGGUAGUUCUACCACAGUUUGUCAAUCCAUUAUUACUCAGUUACAAACUAUGUUUCUUGUGAAAGACUUGGGUGAUAUUCACUACUUUCUCGGUAUUGAGGUUCACUGAUCUGCCAAAGGUUUAUUUCUGCAUCAGUUCAAAUAUGCUCUUGAUUUGCUGAAGAAAUCUGAUAUGCUUGGUGUCAAGCCUUGCUCCACUCCUGUUGGUUCUGCGAAACUGGAUCACUCUGGUUCUCCUCUUUCUGAUCCUUCCUUUUAUCGCUCCACUGUUGGAGCCUUGCAGUAUCUCACAUGGACUCGGCCUGAUUUGGCUUUUGCUGUUAACCAAGUAUGUCAACAUAUGCAUUCUCCUAGGACAGUCCACUUACAGGCAGUUAAAUGGAUCAUUCGAUAUUUGAAGGGUACCCUUCAUUUCGGUCUUUGGCUAACAAAAGGUCCUCACUACCUCACUGCAUGGUCUGAUGCUGACUGGGCUGGCUGUCCUGUUGACAGAAGAUCCACCAGUGGCUACUGUGUUUUUCUUGGACCGAAUCUCAUUUCCUGGAGUGCAAAGAAGCAAUGCACUGUUGCUCGAUCGUCUACUGAAGCUGAGUACAGGUCUCUAGCUCAUACAGCUGCUGAACUCAGUUGGGUUUGUCAAGUAUUGCAGGAUCUUUCCUUUCCUCUUCUCAAAACUCCUGCGAUUUUCUGUGAUAAUAAAAGUGCAAUUGCACUAGCCUUCAAUCCUGUAUUCAUGCUAGGACGAAGCAUGUUGAAAUAGACUAUCACUAUAUUCGUGAGAAGGUUCUCUGUGGCAAAGUCAGUGUGCAUCAUGUUGCUUCUCUUCUUCAAAUUGCAGAUAUUUUCACUAAGUCUUUGCCCUCUGAUAGAUUUGCCGCCUUGGCUUCCAAGCUUUCAGUUCGACCUCCUCCCUUCACCUUGAGGGGGUGUGUUAGGAAUAUAAUAGAACCUAUAUGUAAUUAAAGGUUUUACUUUACUUAGCUGUUAAGCUAAUUGUACCUAUUUAUAUGAUAUUGUAUUCUUUCGGACUGUAAGAUGAAUUCAUUCAAUCAAUACACUUCUCUUUCUAGAAUCCUCUCUCUCUCUCUACCUUUACCUUUUCUCUCAUAGAAUCAUAAGUUUCUACACUAUCAGCAGCGGCAUUCUUCCUUGCUCGUUCCUAGGAACUCGGUAACGUGGCCAGUAAGUCAGCGAGCAUUGAGGCAGGCAGACAGAUAUUAUUAACUGCUUUCAGUCGGUAAGGAAAAGAAUGCUGAUUUCACCGAUUAUCCGUACUUGACGCUUUGGACGAGUAAUUUAAAACCUCAGUUCACUAUCAUACCGUUUGGUAUGUGGGACGGGACAGAACGGAGUGAGACGAGGCGUUCCGUCCCACGUUUGGUGUGCCUAAAACGGGUGCAACGCGCUGUUCCACAUAAUGAAUUUUGGGUGAAUUUUCGUUCCGCCUCACCCCCUGGAACGACUCGUUCCACAUCCGUGGAACACAAAAUUAUAACCUCUCUGUCUCCUUCUUCCUCCUUGUUUCCAUCCGAGGGCAUCUUUGCUCCCUCUCCGUUCUGUCCCGUUCCGUCUGCAUACCAAACGAUACCCUUCUUCGAUUACCGCUUCGAGUCUUAAGGGUAAUUGUCUGCAAUUUCCAUCAGAAGUGUGAUUGGUUUCCUUGUUUUUCUUUGGCUUGCAUGUAAGUUGCAAUUAACUGAUUGUUCAACAUCAGACGAGCAUGACGAUAACCGAAGAAAUGUGAGUUCAACUGGACAUGACGAUUGCCAGGGUGAUGCAUCAAGCUUGUUUGUGCCAAGUUUCUGCGUGUUUUCCCCAUCGCUUUCGGGACAUAGAGACGAAUCCACCAGCUUUGUAGAUGAUCAGAAUGCUUAAGAUAUUCACUUUAAAUAAUCAGCGUGAUGUUUCACGCCUGUUUAUGUUAAGUUUCUACGUACUUUCCAUAUCGUUUUCGGAGCAUGACGACAAAACCACCAGGCAGUGGCGGAUGAUCAGAAUGCUUAAUUUAUUGACUAACCAAUACCAACUCCACUCCACCCAACUCUUCUUAAACAAAUUAUAAUUAUAUAAUCGGGAUAGCAUUGGUAUCAGUGUGGUUAGUAGUGACCACUUCGCUUGUCCGCAUCUGUAAAUUACAGAGGCCAAGCAAGGAAAGCAAGGUUAGACAUCAGUUGAAACGAGUGAAGAAAACAGAGUCAGCCCUGGGAGGCACAGGACUGAAAUUAUCAGUAUAUAGUUUCUACCUUAUUUCUUCCAUUUUGCACCCAGAUCAAUGUGUGUUUAUCUUAACAAUGUAAUAAGAAUUGAGGUGGAUGGAUUCACCGCUACCAUGGUCCCCUAAAUACAAGGUUACGAAAAUAAAAUCUUACACGUGAAUUUAUAUUUGAUGGUACAAAGUAUUACAGUAACGAUGAACCUGUUUCUUAAAAAUCUCUCUAAAAACACAAAAUAAGAGAACAGGAGGAAGGCGUAACUGAUCAAGGAGCCUCCUGAGAAAGGAUAAGAAGGUGAAAGUAAAUGCACCAAGGCUUACGGUUACUCAUUAAUAUUUCCUUACUAGUCCGGCUAUGAAACAAACGUCUGCUCUACAUCUCAUCAAGUUAUGUGUUGAUAACAUAUUUUAUUACCAAACAUUUGGGUUCAUGAUUUACUCUUGGACCAUACUAAAAGGAAAGUACCAAGACAGUAUGUGCGUGAUGCUGAACUGAAAGACUAGGAUGACAUCAUUGCAAUAUGACGUCAUAGAACUAAUACAGUUUCCAAUUUUUAAACAAAAUAAUAAUUUCCAUUUGGUUUUACUUUAACUUAACCUACUGAGCAAGUAAUCGAGUCAAUUUUUGGACCGGAUUGUUUAAAUGUAUUCCAAUAAUGUUAUUCUUAUCAUAUUUUUGUACCACAAUUAUAUAUCACCUUUGGUGGUAUCUAAUGUGGACAACCACAUCAUUUAAAUUAAUUAGCAUUUAAUUUCAAAAUGUUAAUCAAUAAUUAAUAAAAAGAUUGUUAAUUAAAUGAUGAUUGUGGUAUACAAGAAGUAUUCUUCUGCCACCUAAAAUUAUUUAGGUGUUUUAAUUAAUAAAAAAAUUGAAAUUAAAUGAUGUAGCUUGUCCAACUCAUCUGCCACCUAAGAUGGUAAAAAAAUGUGGUAUAAAAUUGUGGUAAGAAUAGCAUUACUCAAUGUAUUCACACAGAAUAAUCAAUGCCAACUCACCCAAAACCCCCUUUCAAUUAAAUAUAUUUUAAUUUUUAAUUUAAUCUCCACAAAAUUAUACAAAUUCUCACCCAAACUAGUAUAUUGGAUCAAGAACUUCAAGUUAAGGGGGUAAUCCGGAUUAAUCUCAUGAGAUGGAAAUGAUUGAGAUAGUGAUCGGGUAUGGAUUCAUUUUGUGCCUUGUCUUUUUUUCUAAGGAAGUGAAUCAUACAAAUCGAGUGAUUUGUCACGCUUCAGGUCAAGGACAGAUUGGCUAUCAAUCGAUGUACCAGGCCGUCCAACUGAGGCGGCACACCCUUCAGGAUGUUAACUUGACUUCUAUUAGGUACAUAUAUCUAUGCAGACAUGUUUGUAGCUGGUAUAUGGUCUCGUCACUUUAGCUAGAUCAGAGAAAUGCGUUUGGAGCAACAUUCUGAAAGUUAGAAUACAUUGCAUGUGCUUAUUAUACUUAUGCGGUACGGGGAUUGAGAUGAAGCACAGUGGGCAACGUCCCCGCCAAUUCGCGUCAUUCUUCAGGAACGUUAACAUUCUUAUCUACUCCAAACGGUGGGAAGAUUAUCUUAUCAAAGUGACAAACUGCAAAAUAUAAGCAGUAAAGAGAUAGCUUACAAGGGCUCAUAAAGAUCUUAAAGAAGAAUCGUAAUUGACAUAGAUUCAAAUCUUGAUGUGAGGACCCAUAUCGGUAAGAGAGAAAUAACGAGAUUUCAAUAUAUGUUUAUCCACUGGUCCACUUGUUAGGUUUUGUUUUCUUUGAUUGCUCUUGCUUUUGUUGGAUGGAUUAAGGUUAACACAAAUGGGUUUUCUAAAUAAAUUGUCAUGUGGAUAGUGGUGGUGUUUUUCGUGACUCCAAUAGUUUUUUUUAUGAGUGUUUUCCUCAUCUUUGUAUGUGUGACAACCUGUCCCACUUAAGUUUACAGGUUUUACAGAACGAAAGAAGCAGGGUUGUAAUUUUCCCAUUGGUUGUGGGUUUUGGUUUAAAUAUUGUUUUAUUUGGUGCUAAAUGGUGUGCCUUGUGGGCCCCUUUCCUUUUUUGGUUCCCCAGUUUUCCCCUCCUCCUGUCUGUGGUUGCCACGUGUCCCCCACACAACUCCCAGAUCCCUCUCUUCUCUCCUUCCCAAGCUCUCUCUCUCACGACUCAUUCACUUUCUCUCCCUCGCAGACAUCUAUCUCUCAGCUCUCUCUUCCCCAAGGUGCCAACCCACACAUACACAUCCAUACACACCAACCUUCGAACCCCAGGACCGAAAGGUGUAGCGCCAUGGAAACCGGUGCGAAGGCGAGUUUCCAACGGUGGUAAGUUCUGAGAAUCACCUAAAACUUCUUGAUUCGUGCUUUGGGUUGUAUUUCUAGUUUUUCUAAGACUUUUGGUAGAAGUUUGGUGCAGGAAACAUCAUUGGAACUUAAACCCAAUUUCCAGCGAGAACCCGGCGGAUUUCAAGUCAUUUUUCGGCCAAUUCCUGCCAUUUCACGGUCUCCAAUAGGUAUUUUUCAACUCCUUAUUCUUUGGGCUUCAAAUUGAUAUAAAGUUUGACUAAGUUUAAUGGUGUGUUGGAGAUGACCGGAGCUUGGAAGCUCCGGCUUUCUCAUUCGUGUUGUUCAGCCUUCUUCCCUAACGAGAAACAAAAUCAGGCCCUUGGCCCGCUAAAACCUAAAAACCCAAACCUUUUUAUUUGUUAAACCCUUUUUAUUUAAACCAUUCAGACCUGGGCCUUAGGGCCGUUUAGAACUAAGGGCUUCAGCCCACUAGCCCAACCCAAACCCAAAUGUUAGAAUUAACCCCAGGUCUUGGGCCUUAUUGACAUGGGCCUUCAUCCCAAGCCCAGGAACCCUUGAACCCAAAGUCUAGGCCCAAGGACCCUUAGCCCAAUCCAGAUGUUGACCCAAGCCCAACCCGAUGAAACAUUCUCUGGAAUAUUCCCAUGUGACUUUUUGUUGAUUUUUUCGAAAUUUACCCGUGACCCUUCUUAGGGUAAUUUGACAUCCUGAAUUCGUUUUUGAUAUCCGUUUUCCCAAAUUCAAUCGUUUGAAUAGAGUUGUAUUAAUUGUACCCUUUAUGUGCUUGAGGUUAACUAUUUGUGGUGUUUCCGUCUUUACUAGUUUGCUUGGCUCUUCGGCAGCGAACUAUCUGUAAGUAGACCCCUUCUAAAUGCACGUGAGAAACAUGAUUUUAAUGAUUACAUUUUAUGAAAUAUUAGGCUUACUAAGAAUAUUUUGAAUUACCAUAUUUUAUCGAACUGAUGUUCUUUGUAGUAUAUAUGAUGGAUGACUAUAUACUGCUUACGAACAUGCUUUUACACACUUCUUUAUAGUAUAGAUGAUGGAUGACUUUAUACUAUGAAGUUGUUUUUGAGAUAUAUGUACCUAUGUUUGGAAAGACUAUGUUCAAUGGUUUUGUGCGUAUCUAGUGGUCAUUGUUCUGCCUAGGGGUGAUGAUACUUAAAUUGCCUACGGACUGGCGUGCGCAGGGCACUGUUCUGUGCAUAUGGAAGAUGAUACUUAUAUUGCCUUCGGGCGGGCGUGUGUUGGGCACUGUUUUGUGCAGAAGAGAGAUACUGAUACCACUAGUUAGCACACUAUAUGCGAGAUACUUUUAUGAAGGUCUUAUGGCAUGCUAGGGUUUUCAGAAAACCUAUUACAUAUUAUGCUAUUGAGUUUUUAUAAAACUUUAGGGGUUAGUAUGUUGAUAACUGUUUCAGUAUUAUGUAUAUAUCAACUUGGUUCACUUAUGUUUGUUUUGCACCCCCUCAGGACUUAGAAUCGAGGCAUACAAUCCCGGCGUCAAGGCACUUCCGCAUCGGCAUCUUCGAGUCCUCUUGGUGUAGGACCUAUUUCUUGUACUCAUUCAAUUUUAUGUUAUUUCUUUUUAGGGUUCUAGUUAGUUGUAUGCUCUGAACACGUUUCUCAUUUGCAUAUUAAUUAGAUUUAAAUUUGUAAGUCCUAUUUAUUUCUUGUUCUCAUGCAUUCUAAUAUGGUUUCGUCACCCUCAGGUGUCGGCCAACACGUACCUACCCUGGUGUUUGGGAGAAUAUCAAGGUUGGGCGUGUCACUAUGCAUUGAAAUUUUGAAAUUUCAUGUUUACAAUCUUCUUGUCCAAGUGCAAUUGUAGCUGAGAUUGUUGUUGUGAUCAAGGCAAUUCAGAUUGCGUGAGAUAAAGAGUGACAACACAUUUGGUUAGAGACAGAUUCUAUGCAUGUCGUUCACCCUUUAUCAGCUCGCUUCAUGGAUGUCCCAUGGUUUCUCAAAGUUUCUUGGGCAAAUUGUUUAUGAUAUUGCUCACUUGCGCUUGCGUGUUUUGCAUAAUUUUAGGGAAGAAAAUUGUUUGGCGGAUGCUUUUGCUAAUUCUAGGGGAAUGAAUAGUAGUUUUACGUGGGGGGACUUGAUAGCUGAUUUUGCAAAUGCGUCUUAUAGAAGAGACCGCAUUGGCUUCAUGUCUUUCGUUCGAGGUAAUUUUUUUUAUAUGGUUUGUAGCUUGUCGCUUGGUUGCAAUUCGUGGCGGCAUUUAAGUUUUGGUUUAGAGGAGUUCCUACAUCCCCCUCUUUUUUUGUAUUCUUCAAGUUUUAAGAGGUGGUCAAGUUUUUGUUCCUUCAUCGUCUUGCGUUCUGAGGGGUAAGAUUUUUGCCCCUUGACUAGGUAUAACUUUAAUUUUUCUUAUCAAUAAAAUUUUCUCGUACGAUCUAGGUUCCAUGGAAAACAAAAGGUUUGUUUUAUUUUCUUUGUUUAUCAUACAUGGUUAAUUGCUUUUGUCACUUGAUUCAUAAGCUCUGAUUAAUUACCCUUGAUUAUUAGGAUAGAGCUUCAGUAAUAUGUCAUUUAGUAAUAUGGUAUAUUUCACUCCACUUGUUUGGAAGUUUUAGAUUAGAAUCUUUUGAAUGAGGUGAAGAACAAAUAGAAUUUGCUACAAAAGCCGGCUAACAGGGGUAUUCUUGUCGAAUUUGUUACGAAAGUAUUAUAACAAGAAAAUUGUAUGACUUAGAUUAGAUCCCAUUCUUUAUGUAAAUAUAUCAAUUCUUCAACAAAAAAUAAAAAAAAUCGUGAUAUAAAAUGUAAUUUUUAAAUGUUUUUUAUGUGGAUUUUAAAGAAAAAACAAAUUUGUCCAGCUCACCCAACUUUGUCGUUACGUCCCUCCAGAACCUCUUCUUUUUCAUGGCGGGCCGCCUUUGGAGAAUUCCACCGAACUUCCUCUUGCUUUCCUUUAGUCAAUUAAAUAUUGUAAACAACUGAAACUUAUCUUCCAAGAAACGAGCAUCUCCUCCCCUAUAUAAAACCAUGUCUUUCAUCGUAGCAGAAACAAAAAAAACCUAAACCUUCAAGAGCUUCCGAAAACCCUUCCGACGAAAACGAAGAUGAUGGGAGAAAUGUGGGCUCAAACGGGCUCGGUGAUUGCGAGCGUGAUGUUCGUUGCUGCCAUAUUCCAACAAUACCUUCCUCGCCAACUUCGGUACCAUGUCGAAAGAUACACUCAAAAAUUAGUGAGCUUUGUCUACCCUUACAUCCAAAUCUCUUUUGAUGAAUUCACCAAUGAUUUUCGCAAGCGAAGUGAAAUCUAUUCCGCCAUCCAGAGCUAUCUCAGCGCGAAGUCUUCCACCCGGGCUAAGCGGUUAAAAGCUCAUGAUGUCAAGGACAGCAAGUCUGUAGUCCUUGGCAUGGAUGACAGUGAAGAAGUGACUGAUGAAUUUCAAGGCAUUAAUCUUUCAUGGGCUUCGAGGAAACGAACGAAGAAUCAGACUUCAUUUUCUUUCUAUCCUCAGGCUGAUGAGAAGAAUCAUUAUACGCUGACGUUCCACAGACGCCAUCGAGAUAUCAUCACGGGGUCUUACCUUGAUUAUGUGAUAAAAGAAGGGAAGGCGAUAUCGGUGAGCAACAGGCAACGAAGGCUCUAUAUCAACAAUCCUACACAGAAUUGGUACUCCUACAGGGGGACAAAGUGGAGCCAUGUAGUGUUUGAGCACCCGGCAUCAUUUGAAACCCUAGCAAUGGACCCGAAAAAGAAGGAGGAAAUCGUCAAUGACCUCAUCAUGUUCAGAAAGGGAAAGGAGUACUAUGCAAAAAUCGGGAAGCCUUGGAAGCGGGGUUAUCUACUUUACGGGCCACCAGGCACUGGAAAGUCUACCAUGGUUGCUGCCAUGUCUAAUCUCAUGGAUUAUGAUGUCUAUGAUCUUGAAUUAACGACGGUGAAGGACAACACUGAGCUGAGGAAGCUACUGAUUGACACACCGAGUAAGUCUAUACUUGUGAUUGAGGACAUUGAUUGCUCGCUUGAUCUUACAGGACAGCGAAAGAAGAAGAAGGAGAAGGAUGAGGAGGACAAGGAAGAAAAUAAGGAUCCAGUUCGAAAAAUGAGGGAAGAUCAAGAAAACACACAGAGCAAGGUCACUCUUUCGGGGCUGCUAAACUUUAUCGAUGGGAUUUGGUCAGCUUGCGGAGGGGAGAGACUGAUCGUGUUCACUACUAAUUAUGUGGAGAAACUUGAUCCUGCGCUCAUUAGAAGAGGAAGGAUGGACAAACACAUAGAGUUGUCCUACUGCUGCUUCGAAGCAUUCAAAGUGCUUGCUAGGAAUUAUUUGGAUUUGGAUUCACAAGAGCUGUUUGAAACGAUUGCUCGUUUGUUGGGCGAAACCAAUAUGACUCCUGCUGAUGUCGCUGAGAACUUGAUGCCUAAGUCAGUUAUACCCGAUUCUGAAUCUUGUUUGAAGAACUUGAUCGAAGCUCUUGAGGCUGCGAAGGAGGAGGCAAGAGUGAAGGCCGAGGAAGAAGCAAAAUCAAAGGCAGAGGAAGAGGCAAAACUGAAGGCAGUGGAAGCGGCAAAACUGUGAUAGGUUGUAUUAUGUGCUUAGUGUGUAAAUUAGAAUGGUUAGGAUUGUGACAUGUGUCAAAUUGUUGGUUGAUGUGUAAAGUUAGUUGACAUGUGUCAUAUUACUGGUUGAUGUGUGAAUUUAGUUAACAUGUGUCAUAUUGUGAUUGGUUGGUGUGUAAAGUUAGUUACAACUGUAUAGGAUGGUAUAACCUAUUGAUGUCACUUUGGCUUGUAAUCAUUAGCGUGAAAGAAGUAAUGAAAAAUAGUUAUGGAGCUCUUUCUCUCUCUUCCUCUCGAGUCUGCUCUCUCUUUACAUUUCUGUUCUUGAUUCUUCCAUUGUUCAACAAUCUGAAAGGAAGAGAAAGAACAGAAAGAGAAAGACCAGUCUGCUAAAGUCGAAGAGAAAUGUAAUGGAACUUAAGUUGAAACACGCGAAGAUAUCGUACAAAAAAGAAUGAAAUUAUCUAUAUCUUUUUAUAAAAAGGGAACAAGCUGGUGGCUUCGCCACGGCAAUCCACCUUUCGGGGGCCAAAAAGACUCAUACAGGUAUUUCAGUCCCUCUUGACCCCAAGUGAAGUUAUUUGUAUAAAUUUCAACCUUUCUUAAUUUGUACCUUGUACAGUCUGAUCAGUGUGCGGUUUUCCUUUAUAUGUAAUAAGAAUCAUUUUAUUGGGUUGUAAUAAAUAAAUAAAUUAAUGUAUGGCACAUAAGUAACCUGUGCCGCAAGGAAAUCGUUCAGAAAAAGCUUUUUAUGAAGAACAAUUGUGAUCUCUACAAUAAAAAUCCAUAACUCGAUUAAAAACGCUGCGAUCAGCGACAGAAGAUUUUGCACAUCAGUUUCUACAGGCAGGAAUUUCAUCACCGGAAGAAAGCAUGAGUCGAAAUGGAAGACUAAAGUUCCGGCCUAUACGUAAAAAACUAAAAAAAUGAAAAAGAAGAGUGAAGGAAAGGCCACGAAACAAGUCCGAACCUUCCAGGUUCACCAUCCAUGACACACAUUGACAUCAUUCGGUAGCAUAUCGGUGUCGAUAUUGUCUCUGCACUGCUUUGUUAGAUGCGUCAUGUGAGUAUACGUCCUGCAGCGGACGUGGUUAGUGGUUACUGCAAUUGACAUUGACUUUUGCUCUUAAUUUGGAUGAUCGUAGCAUGAAUAAUAUAUUAGCAAAGAAGUCGGGAAAUUUACGGAGAAGGUCUCCAGGAACUUGUCAUUCUGAUUGCCAAAACUUAACCUUAGCAAAAUAAACAAAAACAAAAUGAACUGGCCCUGACUAUAAAUAAUGAGAAGUUGAAGCUAUGAGCAGGUUACCCUAUAUGUGAAACCCAAUGGCCAAAGGUUCUCCACGUCACCUCGUUUUGUGUCGUCCACGUGUUUGGCUUGAAAAUUUGUCACUAGGGAACGUGUUGAGAAUGAGUCUGGCAUUUACAGGAGAAGAGACCUUAUAUGAGCUUAUAAGGAAUUGAGCCAAUUCUCAUAUUACCAAUUGUUUUUAUGGUGGAAUACAUUUUCUUCAAAUGUCUAUAAAAGCUCACUAAUACAAUUAUCUCAUAAAAUAUUUUCUAAUUAAUCUACCCGAAACGUUCUUAUUUAUUGAAAAUGCAAACUCCCUUUUUUGUUUUCGUUCUCUAAAAACACUCCCAAAAUACGUUACCAAACAGACCCUAAACAUCUUCGAGUACAUGCUAGCUAAGCUUUAAUUUGCAACUACUACCUUUUAUUUCCUCUUUUUUUUUUUUUUAAUAACAAUAUCUGUACCAAAGGUCUAAGUCAAAAACAUGAAAAACUUGUGGGCAGCAGAGCACAGCAAGAACAUGAGCCAGAAUGUUAAAAACCCCACAAGACACAAGUUCAACAACAUUUCUUGUCAUUGCUAUAUAUUUUUGUUGAACUGUGAACAAGUUCCUGAGAAGAACUAGGUGGAAGUAAGUAUACUAUCUCUAGCUAUUGAUAAUUUCUUUACUUACAAAACAUUCAUGUUCUUGAUUUACUUUCUGAACAAUUAAACGGCAUUUUCAUUUCCGUUAAUACAAGGAAACUACUUGUGUCUCUUUAAAAGCAGUCAUUCUUACUUACAAAUCACAAUUUGAUGUGAGUAAAAAAGGUUCCUUCUGUGUUUUUAAUUGGUUAUUUAUGCACAUGUAUUGAACUUUGAUUUACAGGAAGGAGAUCCGAGAAAGUAUACAAGAAAAAAUGCGUAUGAUGGGAGAAAUGUGGGCAAAAUUAGGCUCGAUGGUUGCGAGUGUGAUGUUCAUGAGUGCCGUAUUUCGAGACUUCCUUCCGGUGCAACUUCGAAAUCAUGUCGAACUAUACAUCCAUAAACUAGCGAACUUUUUCGACCCUUACGUGCAAAUUACAUUUGAUGAGCACACCAAUCAGUUUCGCAAACAAAGUGAAGUCUAUUCCGCCAUCCAGAGCUACCUCAGCACCAAGUUUUCUGCCCGAGUGAGGCGGCUCAAGGCUCAUGAUGUCAAGAACAGCAAGUCUCUAGUCCUUAGCAUGGAUGACAACGAAGAAAUCACCGAUGAAUUUCAAGGCAUUACGUUUUCGUGGGCUUCGGUGAAACGAAUGGCGAACCAGACUUCAUUUUCUAUCUACCCUCAAUCUAAUGAGAAGAAAUGUUAUAAGCUGACGUUCCACAGACGCUAUCGAGAUAUCAUGACGGGGUCUUACCUUGAUCAUGUGAUAAAAGAGGGGAAGGCGAUAUCGGCAAGCAACAGGCAAAGAAAGCUUUACAUCAACAAUCCUGCAGAGGAUUGGAAUUCAUACCGAGGGACGAAAUGGAGCCACAUUGUUUUUGAGCACCCGGCAACAUUUGAAAGCCUAGCAAUGGACCCGAAAAAGAAGGAAGAAAUCAUCAAUGACCUCAUCAAGUUCAGUAAGGGAAAAGAGUACUAUGCAAAAAUCGGGAAGGCAUGGAAGCGGGGUUAUCUCCUCUACGGGCCACCAGGAACUGGAAAGUCUACCAUGAUUGCUGCCAUUUCUAACCUCAUGAACUACGAUGUCUAUGAUCUUGAACUAACGCAGGUUAAGGACAACACUGAGCUGAGGAAGCUUCUGAUAGACACGCCGAGUAAGUCUAUAAUUGUGAUUGAGGACAUUGAUUGCUCGCUUGAUCUUACCGGACAGCGAAAGAAGAAAAAGGAUGAGGAGGACAAGGAAGAAAAGGAUUCAGUUCGGAAAAAGAGGGAAGAUCAAGAAAACAAACCGAGCAAGGUGACUCUUUCGGGGCUGCUAAACGUUAUCGAUGGGAUUUGGUCAGCUUGUGGAGGGGAGAGACUGAUCGUGUUUACGACUAAUUAUGUGGACAAGCUCGAUCCUGCACUCAUCAGAAGAGGAAGGAUGGACAAGCACAUAGAAUUGUCCUACUGCUGCUUUGAAGCAUUCAAAGUUCUUGCUAGGAAUUAUUUGGGUUUGGAGACGCACGAAUUGUUUGAAAGGAUUGGGCGUUUGUUGGGGGAAACGGAUAUGACACCUGCUGAUGUUGCAGAGAAUUUGAUGCCGAAAUCUGAUGUAGAGGAUGCUGAGUCUUGUUUGAAGAACUUGAUCGAAGCUCUCGAGGCUGCGAAGGAGGAGGCAAAGAUCAAGGCCGAGGAAGAAGCUCAACAGAAGGCAGAGAAAGACGAAAAUUUGAAUGCAGAGAAAGAAGCAUAACCAAAGGCAGAGGAAGAAGAAGAUUCGGAAGCACAGAAAGAUGAGCCCGAAGUGAAACGGAACGGAACAUCAGCUUAGCUUGAUAGGAAAAAUGUCUAUUUCUUCGAAUAAUUUUAACCUAGUAAAGUCUCAUUUGUGCAACUAGUAUCUGUGUUUUUUUAGGAAAAAUAAGCUUAUAAGUUUCUCAAUUAACAACUAUUUGUCUGCAAUUUCCAUCAGGAGUGUGAUUAGUUUCCUUGUUUUUCUUUGGCUUGCAUGUAAGUUGCAGUUAACUGAUUGUUCAACAGCAGACGAACAUGACAGAUGACUGGAGAAAUGUGGGUUCAACUGGCCGCGGCGAUUGCCAGGGUGAAGCUUCAUCGCUUGUUUCUGUUAAAUUUCUAUGUACUUUCCAUAUCGUUUUCGGGGUAUGGCGACGAAACCACCAGGCAACGGUCGACGAUCAGAAUGCUUAAUUUAUUCACUAACCAAUACCAACUCCACUCUACCCCACCCUUCUUUAACAAAAUAGAAUUAUAUAAUCAGAAUAGUACCGAUAUCAGUGUAGUUAAUAGUGGACCGCUUGCCCACGUGUAAACACAAGGCCAAGCAAGAAAAGCGAAGUUAAAACAUUGACUCCAGUAGACAUAAGUUGAAUAGAGUGAAGAAAACAGUCAGCCCUUGAAGGCAAAGAGACUGGAAUUAUCAGUAUAAUUUCUACCUUAUUUCUUGUAUUGCUAUCUACACAUUAUUUUUACCUCUUACUCAUAUUUCUUAAUUUUCGGCUGUCGGAUCAAAAAAAUCGAAAAUGAUCAAAUAACAGAAAUUAACAAAGAUGUGAGAAGUAAAAAUAUAUGUGUGGAUAACAUCACCCUAUUUCUUCCAUUUUGCGCCCUGAUCAAUGUGCGUUUAUCUUAACAAUGUAAGAAUUUAGGUGGAAUGAGUUCACGGCUACCGUAUCCCCUACAUACAAGGUUUCGAAGAUAAAAAUAUUACGCAUAGUAUUAAUGGUUUGAAAUAUCACAAUGACGAUGAACCUGUUUCUUAAAAAUCUCUCUAAAAACACAAAGCAUGAGAAAGGAUAAGAAGGUGAAAUGUAAAUGCAGCAAGGGUUAUUGAAAGUAAGUAUCAGUAAUUAAGAGCAUGUUUGGUAUUGAAUUUGAGUCCAUUCUUUUUAAUUCAAAAACAAUUUUUGAGUUUCAAUUGCAUAAUUUGCGUUUGGUUGGAGCAUUUCCAAAAAGUCAACUCAAAACUAACUCAAGAAUUAGCAUGUUGCUUAAAAACACAAAACUUCUGUUUUCACACUUUUUUUUCAAUCGACAUCAUUGUUGGGGAAAAAUGGGGCUGAUUUAAACACAAAACACCACGGAUUCAAACUCUUUUACGGCCGCUAGAGCUUUGAUAACUUGUGGGAUUGAAAGUCAAAAAUUGUUUUAAGAAUUCCCAAGUUCCAUAACAAACAAGUUUUCGGAUUGCAAUGGUUGUACUUAAGAAAUCACGUUUUAAAAAACCAUCAUAAAUUUUGUUAAAAUCUUGGAAUAGAAUACCGAACCGACCCUAAAUAUUGGAUAAUGUUACUAAUUAAUAUUUCCUUAUUGAUCCGGCUGUGAAACAAACGUGACUUAAAUACACAAUUUUCAUGAUCUGGUUCAUGACCAUACUACUAGGAAAGUACCAAGAAAGUGUGUGUGAUGCUUAACUGAAGCAUGAUGAUGACAUCCCAGAUGUCAUCAUUGUCACAUUACGUCAUAGAACUAAUAAUAAUUUCCACAAAAAAUUAAUUUAAAUUUCGAUUAUGGUUAACUUAACUUAACCUCUUAAGCAAAGAGGAUUCGUUUCGGAUUUACUUUGUGAGGAUUUUAAGGAUCUUCAUAUCUUAAUCGUGCAUCGUAUAUUAUGCGGUCAGUUUUCAUCAGGUACUAUUAUGUUUAAUUUUAAUAAAAAAAUAAAUAAUUUCUAAUUACACGAUGAACGAUGAAUGACUAAAAUAUGAAAAUCCCUAAAAUUCCCACGAUUUGGAUCCGCAUGGAAUCCAAAUCGAAUCCAAAUCCAUCUUAAGCAAGUAAACGAGGCCACGACACGACUCCUCCACGUCCACGGUCCACACACGAACACCGACUAUUUGCAUUGAGACAAAUCCACGGGUCAAUUUUUGGACCGGAUUGUUUGAAUGUAUUCACGCAGAAUAAUCAAUGCCAACGCACCCCAAAACCCCUUUUCAAUUAAAAAUAUUUUAAUUUUUAACUUAAAUCUCCACAAAAUUAUAUAAAUUCCGACAUUUCUGGCAAGAAAACACGGAAGAAAUCCAAGAAGAAGCAAAAAGUUGCAACCUUUGAGCCCCCAAAACAUGUUUCCGGCAACCAUUUUUGCCAACUUCGGAUCGGCGAUCGGCGGGUUAAUGUUCGUGUGGGCGAUAUUCCAGCAGUACUUCCCCUACGAGCUUCGAAGGCAUGUCGAAAAGUACUCGCAGAGAAUGGUGGGAUAUGUGUAUCCUUACAUUCAGAUCACUUUCAAUGAGUUCACCGGGGAGCGGCUGAUGCGCAGCGAGGCUUACUCCGCCAUCGAGAACUACCUGAGCUCCAAGUCCUCCACGCAAGCGAAGCGCCUCAAGGGCGACAUCAAGAACAACCAGUCGCUUGUUCUGAGCAUGGACGAUCACGAGGAAGUGGAUGACGAGUUCAAGGGAGUCAAAGUGUGGUGGGCGUCCGGGAAGUACAUAGCGAAGCAGCAGACAGUCUCGUACGUUCCGGUGAACGAUGAGAGGAGGUACUACAAGCUCACUUUUCACAAAUGGCAGAGGGAGCAGAUCAUUGGACCCUACCUUAGCCAUGUCCUGAAGGAGGGGAAGGCCAUUAGGGUUAGAAACCGGCAGAGGAAGCUUUACACGAACAAUGGCUCCCACUGGAGCCAUGUGGUGUUUGAGCACCCUGCAACAUUUGAGACUCUGGCUAUGGAGGUGGAGAAGAAGCAGGACAUUGUCGAUGAUCUGAUGGCGUUCAGCAAGGCUGAGGAGUUUUAUGCGCGGAUUGGGCGGGCUUGGAAGAGGGGUUACCUUUUGUAUGGGCCGCCGGGGACUGGGAAAUCCACCAUGAUCGCCGCCAUGGCCAAUCUUUUGGAGUAUGAUCUUUAUGACCUCGAGCUGACCGCGGUUAAGGACAACACCGAGCUGAGGAGGCUGCUGAUUGAGACGACAAGUAAGUCGAUUAUUGUGAUUGAGGACAUCGAUUGUUCGCUUGAUCUCACGGGGCAGAGGAAGCAGAGGAAGGAGAAAGGGGAGGAGCAGGGGGAAGGGAGGGAUCCGAAGGAGAAGAUGGGGAAGGAGGAUGGGGAGGCGAAACCGAGCCAGGUUACUCUUUCCGGGCUGCUGAAUUUCAUCGACGGGCUGUGGUCAGCGUGCCGCGGAGAGAGGCUCAUUGUGUUCACAACGAACUACGUGGAGAAGCUUGAUGCUGCAUUGAUCAGGAAAGGAAGGAUGGAUAAGCACAUUGAAUUGUCAUACUGUAACUACGAAUCCUUCAAGGUGCUGGCUAGGAACUACCUCAAGCUCGAAUCACACCGCUUGUUUCCGGAAAUUGGAGCGUUGCUUGGGGAAGUUAAGAUGACUCCGGCUGAUGUUGCAGAGCAUUUGAUGCCCAAGAAACUUUCCGGGGAUGUCGAAAUCUGCCUGCACAGUCUGUUCCAAGCUCUCCAGAAGGAAAAGGAGAGUGGAGGAUUGAAGGCUGAGGAAGAAGCGAAAGAGGAGAAAUCGCCAUUGGCUGCAGAAUCACCAUCAUCUAACAAAAAAUGAAGUGAUUGCAAGCAAGAAAGAAAAAAAAAAAAAGGAUUUUCGAUUUGGGGGACAAAAGGGCUUUGUAUGUGUAAAGCAUUUCUGUAUACUGCCAAUGUGGUCCUAGAUAUAUAUCCAAAACACCUAUAAUUGUGUCGAGGUUUGACAAGGAAAUUGUUGAGCGUGUAACGCUCAUGUUUACGGAAAAUCUGUCUUGUAAUUGGUUGUACAUCCGUUGGUCGAGAGACUUACAACCCGACAAGGGAUCUCUCUCUCUCGAACCAGGGAUAUACAAUCGGGCAUAGCUAAGAUUUUAAGAAUCCCUCCUGUCCACACGGAAUUAACUAGCAGCGGCAUUUCAACAAACACCUGGUGGACACUCAGUUACUAGUGAAAAAUGUGCAAUUUGCACCAGAACGCAAUCCAAAAGAAGCACAAAGCUUCGACACGAAUCACAAGGAGCAACGCAAGAUUCCAAUAAAAAGAAAUCGACCGAAGACGGUAACAAUUUUGGGCUGAGUAGAUGGAACUCGCAUGAAACCGAGUGGUUGAUUUCUGUUUAUAUGCGUUAAUUGUGCAGGCAGGAGGAGGAGUACAGCUUGAAGCUGGUCCAAAUGUGUUAUGUAUCUUAUUGGGCCUGGUGUCCAUAAUGCACUCUUCUGCACGGCCUGUUACUUUCUUGUGUCCAGUUCACAUGUAACGACCCGGCAUAUUUUUUUGGGCUUACCACACCACCCUUUGAAGUCCAGUUCACAUGCCUAAUUAAUUUGGGUAUUGGGAUACAACUUUUUUUUUUUUAAAGAAAAUUUACUGUUAUUAAGAGAAGAUGGGAGAUUUUAAAACUAUUACAUUAAUUUAUGAGAGGAGAAGUUUCGCAGCGGUGACGCAUGGGUAGAAACCAACAUCAUUUCUACUAGGAUAUUGAACCACAUGCAUAAUACAACUCUUAAAAAUGAUAAGUUAAGGUAGUAAAUUAUUAUGGUCGAUCAAAUAUCCUCACCAUUUUAAAGUAAAUAUAUUGUUUUAUUCGAAAAAUAAAUUUAUUAAAUAUUUGUAUCAAAAAAUAAUUCUUUAAAAAGAUUGAGGAAUUUAAAAUCUCUACUAAUUAAUAAAACACUCAUUGUCAACUAAAAUUCUAUAAAAUUAUUAGUUUAACCCUCUGAUUAAAACAUAACAUGAGUAAAAAAUAUGGGUCAUAAAUGUAAUUUCACACAAUCAAAUUUUAUUGUUUUUUAACCUCACUUACAUGUAAUCCUAACAUAUCUCUAAUUAAAAAAUAAAUAAAAAAUAAAAAAUAAAUUUCCCACUCCCCACAUUCUCUAUCACUCUCUUCCUCUCUCCUUCUAUUUCAAAAACAAAAAUAAAAAAAAUUUCUCAUACAUUUUGUAUGUGCCCAUAUGCUAGUAAAGAUAAAAUAAAGGCAACAUAUAAAAGGAAAAAUAAGAAGAAUAAAUUACUUAAAACUAAUAAACAAAACAAUUAUAAUUAUAAAUAUAAAAAUUAUAAAUACAUUAACAAAAAAAAUAAACAAGAAAAAGACCAUCGCGUCUUCUUAAUUUCUCGUUAUGUUUUUUUCUUUCGAACUCUUGUCUUGCGACUCCUUCCUCAGCAACAAUGGAUAGUUGUACAAACCUCCGCAACCUGUGAAUUCAUAAACAUGGGGUCUUGACUCCGACAAGCAGUGUGUGCAAACCUCUUCGUGACGAAUGAUAUAGUUGUACACAUGCAUGCAGCCUCAGAAAGAGGGUGUAGGGGGUACUUGUCACAGGAGAAUGAUAUAAGUUGCGUUUCGAUAUAUCUCAAUUUUUGUCAUCUCUCAUGCGACAGGUAUCCAAAGUCUUUAAUAUAUCUCUUCUUCCUUAAUAUUGUUUGAUCUCUCUUCAGUGUCUCCUCGUGGCUUCACAAGAUGCUAUGUAUUUAUAAGCAGGGCUGGCUAGCCAGAAGGCCUUUUAUUAUACAGUAUUAUUUUGAAGAAACUUCCAUGAAUUUCGCAUUGCAUGCAUGCAUGAUCCUGCAAGGUGUCAGGGUGUUCAUCCUUCAUUUGGUAAUUCCACGUUUUUCAUGACUUCGUGUGUGUGUGUUCAUCCUUCAUUUGGUAAUGAUCCACGUUUUUCAUGACUUCGGGUGUGUGUGUGUAUAACCUUGAACUUGUAAUUCGCUGUCAAUUUAUUCCUUAAACUUUUAUUUUAGCUUAUUACCCCUUUAAACUUUUAUUAAUAGUCGAUUACCAUCCCGAAAUUUGAUUUCCAAAUUUUCCUUCCAUUUCUCUGUUAAAAGCUAUCACUUGGCCAAAUACACCCUCCGUGGAUGAAGGUAAAAGGGUAAUAUCAAUAUACCACCUCAGCCUCUUCUUCCAGCACCCAAAACACUGAAUUUCACCUGUUGAAUUAUAAGUCUCUAGCUGAUUGAGUAUUAGAAAUAAGAUGAGGUUAAAUGUGUAUUCACUUGUGCUAAGAAUGCCAAGUGUGAAGUUCUUAUGUGUAAAAAAGGCCAUGAGUGCCAUGUGAGUUUUUUCUUUUAUUAUUACAUGUUUAGAUGUGUGGCUGUGAUUAAAGCUAGGAGAGAGAAUGAAUCCAACAGUCACUAACAACUAUAUUCCUCACCUCACGACUUGUGUGAGGGUGGGUGUGCAUAUCAGUAUAAUCAAAGAAGCACCUCUGUGACUUGCAGAGUAAGAAGCUGCCAUUUUCCAAUCUUCUUUUUCACUAUGUACCUCUUCACUCCUUCUUCUUUGAAUUCAUUCAGCAAGACAAAAAUAUCAACGUUUCUUAACAUGGCCUCAGAGCCUAGUUUCGAUUAGAUCUGGGUGUGUUCUGUGAACUCAAACAUCACCGUUUCUGGAUUCGGUGAAGUUUGCCGGAGUCUGUCUGUGAUCUAAGAACUACGUGUUUCUGGAUUCACACAAGCUCACGAUGGCUGGAUCUGGGAGUGCUGAAGUGAGGAUCCCGAUCUUCUCCGGUGAGAACUACGAGUUCUGGAGAAUCAAAAUGGUUACCAUUUUCAAGUCAUAUGGACUGUGGAAUCUGGUGGAAAAAGGGAUUUCGGUUUCCGAUUCGAAGAAGAAGAAAGCUAAGACUGAUGAAGAUACAGAUGUUGAUGCUGACGAUGAUAAGAAAAUGGCUGCAAUCUUCAUGAAAGAUGCAAAAGCUCUCGGAAUCAUUCAAAGCGCAGUCUCCGAUCAGAUCUUCCCUCGAAUCGCAAACGCAGACUCAGCAAAAAUGGCAUGGGAUCUGUUAUAUGGCGAAUAUCACGGUGGGGAUCAUGUAAGAUCUGUGAAACUCCAAAAUCUUAGACGAGAAUUUGAAUACACUAGAAUGCCUGAUGAUGAAUCCUUGACUGGGUAUCUUACUCGUUUAAAUGAUCUGAUUAAUCAAAUGAAGACGUUUGGUGAAACUCUGUCAAAUGAGAGAUUAGUUCAGAAGGUGUUAAUCAGUCUCACUAAGAUAUAUGAUCCUAUAUGCUUAGUGAUAGAAAACACCAAAUGUUUAGAAUAUGUUGAACUGCAAGAGGUACUAGCUAUAUUGAAGAGUCAAGAGCAGAGGUUUGAUUUGCAUUCCUCUGAUGCAACUGAGAUAGCAUUUUCUUAUCUUACUGUUAAUUCAAAAGGGCAGAAUCGAAGUUAUGCUCAGUCUAGUACUUUUAAACCACAGAGAAAUUGGAAUCAAAAUGGUAAGAAGUGGGAUUCAAAACCAAAGUUUCAGCAAAAAUCAUUCACAAAUGUUGCACAGAAUAGUACUUCCUCACAGGUUAUGGGUCAAGAGAGUGUAAAACCUCAAUGUAAAAUGUGUUCAAAGUUUCAUUAUGGUGAAUGUAGAUAUAAGGGGAAAUCCAAGUGCCAUAACUGUGAUAGAUUUGGACAUUGGGCCAGAGAGUGUACUAUUGGAAAGUCUGUUCAAAAGGCAAACUGUACAAGUCAAAUGGAAGUGACAGGAAACCUAUUUUAUGCAAAUUGUGCAGUUGCUGAGACUAAGGUUAAUGGAGAUUGGUACAUAGAUAGUGGCUGCAGUAAUCAUAUGACAGGAAAUGUUGAACUUCUUGUUGAUGUGAAUACAAAUGUUGCAGGGAAAGUUCAAAUGCCAACAGGAGUGUUAGUUAAUGUGGCAGGAAUGGGAUCACUGAAAAUUGAAACUAACAGAGGGAGAAAAUACAUCAGAGAAGUCAUGUACUUACCUGGUUUGAAAGAGAAUCUAUUAAGUGUAGGACAAAUGGAUGAGCACGGAUAUUAUCUUGUGUUUGGUGGACAUAUGUGUACUGUUUUUUAUGGUCAUUAUCUGGAAUGUCAAAUUAUUCGUGUAAAAAUGAAAGAAAACAGGUGCUAUCCUCUAUCUCUAAGGCCUGAGAAACAACUUGUGUUGAAGACUAGUUUUGCUCAUUGUUCUCUGACUUGGCACAGAAGAUUAGGUCACCUAAACUUUGGUGGAAUCAAGCAAUUGAAGGAUAAAGACAUGGUUCAUGGUCUACCAUAUCUAGAUGAGUAUGACAGAGUUUGUGAAGGCUGUCAAUAUGGUAAGCAACACAGAGAAAGCUUUCCUAGUGGUCAAGCACAAAGAGCAAGUGCUCCACUUGAAUUGGUUCAUGUUGAUUUGUGUGGACCGAUGAGAAAUGAGUCUACAGGAGGAAACAAGUAUUUCAUGUUGCUUGUAGAUGAUGCAACCAGGAUGAUAUGGGUGUAUUUUCUUAGAUUCAAAUCUGAAGCUCUUACUUGUUUUAAGAAAUUCAAGGCCAUGACUGAGUUGCAAAGUGGUAUGAGAGUAAAAUGUGUAAAGAGUGAUAGAGGAGGGGAGUUCUUAUCAAAUGAAUUCAAUCAAUACUGUGACACAUAAGGAAUCCAAAGACAACUGUCUCUCUCUUACACUCCACAGCAAAAUGGAGUGGUUGAAAGAAAAAACAGAACUGUGAUUGAAAUGGCCAAGUCUAUGCUUCAUGACAAAGGAAUGCCUUACCAUAUGUGGGCAGAAGCUGUGCACACUGCAGUCUACAUAUUAAACAGGUGUCUUACCAAAUCACUUGAUAGCAUAACACCUUUUGAAGCUUACAGCAAAAGGAAACCAGGUAUUGCCCAUUUGAAGGUUUUUGGCUCGGUUUGUUAUGUUCAUACUCCAUCCGAGCUAAGACACAAGCUAGAACCCAAAAGUAUAAAAGGAGUCUUUGUUGGAUAUGCAAAAUGUGAGAAAGGGUACAGAGUAUUUGAUCCAAUCUCUAAAAGACUGAUCUUGUCAAAAGAUGUUGUGUUCGAUGAAAACUCAGCUUGGGAUUGGCAAAGAAGCACAGAAAGACAUAUGUCACUGCCUAUUUAUGAAUUUGACUCUGUUGAUACACCAAGAAGUGAGAAUACAGAAAAUGACACUUAAGUUUCAAGUGGUUUAUCAUCUGGCAUACUGGAAGAAGCUGCAAGUGGUAUUGAUGAUACACAGAUCAAUUCACAGUCAAGUGCAGGUGUGAGUGACACUCAUUCAUUUGAUCAUACUCCAUUAAAAUGGAGAAAUCUGGAUGAUGUACUUGCUCAAUGUAAUAUGUGCAUUAUAGAACCAGAGAAAUAUGAAGAUGCGGCUAAGGAUGAGUCUUGGAUGAAUGCUAUGAAGGAUGAACUCUCCAUGAUUGAAAAGAAUGCAACCUGGGAGUUAGUAGACAGACCAAGUAACAAGCCUAUAAUUGGAGUAAAAUGGGUGUUUAAAACCAAACUCAACCUGGAUGGAACUGUGCAAAAGAACAAGGCAAGGCUUGUUGCAAAGGGAUAUGCCUAGAAACCAGGAAUAGACUACAAUGAGACCUUUGCUCCUGUUGCUCGGUUGGAUACAAUCAGAACCCUUAUAGCAUUGGCUGCACAAAAGAGUUGGAAACUCUAUCAACUUGAUGUCAAAUCUGCUUUUUUAAAUGGUGUUCUUGAAGAGGAGGUUUAUGUAGAGCAGCCUGAUGGUUUUGUAGCUAAAGGGGAGGAAGACAAAGUAUAUAAACUUCACAAAGCCUUGUAUGGUCUAAAACAGGCACCACGGGCCUGGUAUGGAGAGAUUGAUACAUAUUUCUCACAGUGUGGUUUUACAAGAAGUUUAAGUGAACCAACACUGUACAUCAAGGCAGAAGAGAAAGACAUUUUGAUUGUGUCGAUCUAUGUGGAUGACAUAAUCUAUACUGGGAGUAACAAGCAAAUGCUUGAAGAAUUUAAGGAAGACAUGAAACGAAAGUAUGAGAUGACUGAUUUGGGUCUUCUCCAUCAUUUCCUUGGAAUGGGAAUAAUUCAAACAACUUCAAGCAUUUUCAUCCACCAAAAGAAAUAUGCAAGCUCCUUAUUAGACAAAUUUGGUCUGAAAGAAUGCAAACCUGUGCUUACUCCACUUGUUGCAACUGAGAAGUUAACCACGGAUGAUGGAAGUGGUGCAGUAAGUGAAGAGUUAUACAGAAGUAUGGUGGGAAGUCUCCUAUAUCUCACUGCAACCAGGCCUAAUAUUAUGUAUGCAUCCAGUCUGUUAGCCAGAUUUAUGCACUGCCCUACCAGUAAGCAUGUUGGAACUGCUAAAAGAGUGCUAAGAUACAUUAAGGGCACCCUAAAUUAUGAUUUGGAAUAUGUGAAGGGUAAGAACUCAAUGUUAAUUGGGUUUUGUGACAGUGACUGGAGUGGAUCAAUUGAGGACAGUAAAAGUACUUCUGGUUAUGCCUUCUCUUUUGGCAGUGGAGUAUUCUCAUGGGCAUCCGUGAAGCAAAAUUGUGUAGCCCUUUCCACCGCAGAGGCAGAGUACAUCAGUGCUUCAGAAGCAACUACUCAAGCCAUUUGGUUGAGAUUUGUUCUUGAAGACUUUGGUGAAUUUCAAACCGAAGCCACUCCAGUGCACUGUGACAACACCUCAGCAAUUGCAAUCACCAAGAACUCUGUGUUCCAUCAAAAGACCAAACACAUUAACAGAAGAUACCAUUUCAUCAAGGAUGCACUGAAGGAUGGCAUCAUUUAUCUGGUGUACUGUCCAACUAAGGAGCAACUAGCUGAUAUUUUCACAAAACCUCUGCCUAAAGAUCGGUUCAAUUAUCUCAGGAGCAUGCUUGGAGUGAAAUCAGCUCAAGACUUAAAGGGGAGUGUUGAAUUAUAAUUCUCUAGCUGAUUUAGUAUUAGAAAUAAGAUGAGGUUAUGUGUAUUCACUUGUGCUAAGAAUGCCAAGUGUGAAGUUCUUAUGUGUAAAAAAGGCCAUGAGUGCCAUGUGAGUUUUUUCUUUUUAUUAUUACAUGUUUAGAUGUGUGGCUGUGAUUAAAGCUAGGAGAGAGAAUGAAUCCAACAGUCACUAACAACUAUAUUCCCCACCUCACGACUUGUGUGAUGGUGGGUGUGCAUAUCAGUAUAAUCAAAGAAGCACCUCUGUGACUUGCAGAGUAAGAAGCUGCCAUUUUCCAAUCUUCUUUUUCACUCUGUACCUCUUCACUCCUUCUUCUUUGAAUUCAUUCAGCAAGACAAAAAUAUCAACGUUUCUUAACACCCACAACCACCUCCCUCCUCCAAUCCUCUGGCGCCGGCAUGUCCGGCAUCGUCGCUUACAUGAUCUUCCAUACUUUUAUAUCCCUUGGCAUCCACUCCCUUUCCUCUCCCCUCUCAACCCCUUCACGGUGACAUCUGCCUCGUCAUCUGCGCCAAGGCCAAAGGUGCCAUUUUCAUCUUAGUCACCUCCGUCGAUGGUAGUGCCCUCGCCACCGUCUGCGAUAUGAACGUGCAUUUUCCAUUGAAGUGAGAGCUCUUCCUUUAGAUCUGCCCCGGUCACCUCCACCGCGAUUCCAAAAGGUCUUCAAUGGCACCGUCGCCAUUGCGCUCAUGGGCCCCAAAAAUCUCACCAAAUAUUAAUACGUGCCAAUCACCCCGAUGGUUGGACGAGCAAAUCCCUUCUUGGAGUUUUGAGACUCCUUGUCCCACACAGGGGAACAUAGGCUUCCCAAGAACCUUUAUGUAUGUUUUGUCUUCUACACUAGUUGUUAGGAUUUGGACCAUUUGGAAAUGAAUUGAAGGCUCGGGCCUUAUGAAUGUGUGGAUUAGGUUUGUAAAGUAUAGCCUAAUACAAUUAAUCUCUACUAAUUAAUAAAAUACUCAUUGUCAACCAAAACUCUAUGAAAUUACCAGUUUAAUCCUCUAAUUAAAACACAACAUGAAUAAGAUAUAUGAGGUAGAAAUAUAAUUUCACACAACCAAAUUUUGCAGCUUUUUUUUUUCAAAACCUUAUUUACAUGUAAUCCUAACAUAUCUCUAAUUAUCAAAAAUAAAAAAAAUAAAAACUUCCAACUCCCACGUUCUCUAUCACUCCCUUCCUCUCUCCUUCUAUUUCAAAAACAAAAAUAAAAAAAUUUCUCACACACUUUGUGUGUACUCAUAUGCUAGUAUUAAUUAAUCAAGACAAGGGCUUCUUGGAAGUUAAAAUUAAUCAAAUUCAUUAAUUUUAAUUUUGGAUUAUGUUUUUUUAAUUAACAUAUUAAUUAAAAAAACGUUUUGAUUAAGAGACAGUUUUUAGAAAGAGUUGUGUAUUUUCAAAUACGUUCAACACGUAUUUGAAAGGGUGUGAAACAACCAACAUAUUUGUAAUCUCAGUUUCCAAAUAGAAUCAUCUUUUCUUCCUCCUUCUCUUCCGCACAAAAUUUUCAGAGAGUAAACACACAAAACAAUUCGCUAUAAUUCUAUAAUCCAGUGCAGGUUGUAGAAUUAAGUAGUUGUAUCAUGGUCGAGCAUACGUUGUAGAACCACAAGCACAAUAGUGGGACUGAAAUACUGUUCGAAUGACAUAACUUUUGCGCUAGCCUCUACAUGAGGUUAAUCGAGUUAGUACUAUUUUAAUUCUUGUAUUUAUUUGUGUAUUUCAUUCUAUACAGCAAGUAUUUUUGGUUAAUAAAGUAUUAGAAUUUCAAGUUUUGUUAUUUCUGUUAUUUUUAUUUAUUUCUGAAUUGUUCUCCAACAUCCCUAAAUUUCAAGAUCUGAUCUUCAUUCUAUCCAAUUUCAGUUAUCCAAAUUCAAUCAUCUUCAAUCCAAAUGCUAGGUUUUUUUUUCUUCUGUCUUAAAUUUCAAUCAUCUUCAAUCCCUUUUUUGCUACGACUAUCUUGUGAAAUGAUAGUGCUUCAAAACGGUUGCGAAAUUAGCAUGUUGCUUGAAAAUUGGGGCACUGCAGUAUAGGGCUGACUGGGGAAGAAUUUGAAGGGUUAAAUUAUUCGAGGUUAGGGAAGAGUUUGAUCUGUUGUUGUUGCUUGCUUGUAACUUAGAAUGUAGAAUGUGCGCCCACCAAUUGUUUGUGUUUAUGUAUGUGAGAAAGUGGUGGGAUUGAAAGAAAAAAAAAUGUGUUUAAAAAUUCCAAAGUUCCAUAACAAACAAGUUUUUGGAUUGCAAGGGUUGUAAUUAAGAAAUCAUGUUUUUUUAAAACCAUCACAAAUUUUGAGUUAAAAUUUGAAAAUAGAAUACUAAAUAGACUCUAAAUGUUUAAUACAAUUACUAAUCAAUAUUUCGUUAUUGAGAAAAUUGUAGCAAUGAUCUCUCAACUUUAAUUUAAUUGGAGCAAUGAUCCAUCAACUAAAAAUCUAUGACUAUUGAUCCCUUAACUCAUCGAAAUGUGUAGUUAUAGUCAUUUUCAUCAACUCCGUUAAAAUUUUCGUCAAAAUAAGUCACGUGUCACUCAUAUGAGGCUGAAUCAAAAGGCAAAUAUAAAAAACUAAAUGAAAAAAAUUGUAGCAAUAAGCCCUCAAUUUUAACCCAAUUAGAUAAAUGGUCCAUCAACUUUAACCCAAUUGGAGCAAUGGUCCAUCAACUUUAAUCCAAUUAUAGCAAUGGUGUUUCCAACAUGAGUUAUUUCGACGGAAUUCUGAUGGAGUUGACAAAACAGACAAUAGCUGCGCUUUUUGAUGUGUUAAGGGAUCAAUAAUUAUGAAUUUUUAGUUGAUGGAUGAUUGCUAUAAUUGCGUUAAAAUUAAGAGAUCAUUGCUACAAUUUUCUCUUUUCUUAUUAAUCGGGUUAUGAAACAAACGUCACUUAGAUACAUGAUUUUCAUUGCCAGACAUUCUGGUUCAUGAUACUCUUGGACCAUACUAAAAGGAAAGUACCAAGAAAGUAUGUAUGAUGCUUAAUAUAAUCAAGGAAUUAAAUAUCGAUAUUAUCGGCGAAAUAUCGCCGAUAAUAUUGUUUUUUUGACCCGGCGAUAUUUGUUUUAGUAAAAAUAAAAUAUCUUUAAAAUAUCGCGAUAAUAUCGCUAAUAUCGCGAUAUUACCGAUAUUAGCGAUAUUAUCGCGAUAUUCGUCGUCGUCGCCGCCGCUGGGAGGUGAGAAAGGGAUCCAGAAACCAGAUCGAAGAAGAUGGAUCCAGAAACCAGAUCGAAGAAGAAGGAUCCAGAAACCAGAUCGAAGAAGAAGGAUCCAGAUCGAGGGAGAGACGAAGACGGAGAGACCGAGGGAGAGACGGAGACGGAGAGACCGAGGCAGAGAUGGAGACGGAGAGACCGAGGCAGAGACGGAGACGGAGAGACCGAGGCAGAGAGACCGAGGGAGAGACGGAGACGGAGAGACCGAGGCAGAGACGGAGACGGAGAGACCGAGGCAGAGACAGAGACGUAGAGACGGAGAUGGCGAUGAGGUGGUGUCGCCGUUGAUGUGGUGUGGAAGUGAGGGUGGGUUGUUCACGGGGAGAAGGAGAGAGUGCAGAGAUGCAGAGAGUGCAGAGAGUGCAGAGAGGGCGAAGAGGGAGAAUGAGGGUUGUUCACGGGGAGAAGGAGAGAGUGCAGAGAGUGCAGAGAGCGAUGAGGAGGUGUCGCCGUUGAAGUGGUGUGGAAGUGAGGGUGUGGCGUAUGGGUUGGUUCACGGGGAGAAGGAGAGAGUGCAGAGAGUGCAGAGAGAGAGCACGGUAGAGAUGAGAGAGUGAGGGAAAAGAGAUAUCUGAGAGAAAAGAGAGACGGGGACACAAAAGCAAGGUGGGCCCCCUGGGCACACCUAUUAAGAUCUAAAAAUAAUUUUAAAAGCAAGAUAAACUCAAACUUAGUGAAAAUACAAUUUAAAUUGGGGUGGGUGUAACAAUCUACCCCUCUUAAAAGAAUUUCGUCUCCGAAAUUUAAAAUCACUUACUAAACUUAAAUACUAGAAAAUAGGAAGAAGAAUAUAUGUAUAAAGAGAAAUCAAGUCCAAAUAAUUACAUCAUAUUAAAAUUUGAUUAAUUUUUUUUCAGUUACAUAUAUUCUAUAUGAUAAAUUUCUAUUUUAAAUCAAGUCCAAAUAAUUACAUCAUAUUAAAAUUUGAUUAUUUUUUUUUCAGUUACAUAUAUUCUAUAUGAUAAAUUUCUAUUUUAAAUCAAGUCCAAAUAAUUACAUCAUAUUAAAAUUUGAUUAUUUUUUUUUCAGUUACAUAUAUUAUAUAUGAUAAAUUUCUAUUUUAAAUCAAGUCCAAAUAAUUACAUCAUACUAAAAUUUGAUUAAUUUCUUUUCAAGUAUCUACUUUUGAACUACUCACCACGUUCACUCUAUGUGAUACUAAGUCACUCAUGUAUCUUACCAUACAAUGUAUAAAGUGUAAAAUAUUGUACUAAUUCAUUAUAUAUAAAUUAUUAUGGUGUGUUUAAACUUAUUUCAUUAAUUACUACAUAUUUUCUACACUUACAAUGUUUGCCAGCUCGCUAUAUAAUCAACUUAAAUCAGUUAAAUCCAUCAUGCAAUGCAUUUCCUUCCAAUUUUUUGUGAUAAACUAAUAGAUAAUUAACUAAAUAAACAUCCUGCAAAGUUUCAAUAAAAAUUUCCAAGUUUUUCUUACAAUUUCCGUGGUUUCCAUGUAAUUUUUAUCGAUAUCGAUAUUAUCUCGAUAUUUCCAUCGAUAUUUCCGUGUUUUCGAACUACCGAUAUUUCCGAUAUUACCGAUAUUUUCUUCCUUGAAUAUAAUCAUGAUGAUGACAUCAUUGUUGUAUGACGUCAUGAACUAAUAAUAAUUUCCAAUUUUUUUCCACACAAACACCGAAUUCUUUGCAUUGAGACAAAUCCACCGAUCAAUUUUUUGACCGGAUUGAUUGAAUGUAUUCGCACACAAUAAUCAAUGCCAAGUCACCCCAAAACCCCUUUUCCAUUAAAUAUAUUUUAAUUUUAAUUUUUAACUUAAUCUCCACAAAAAUUAUACAAAUUCCAACAUUUCUAGCAAAGAACACACAGAAGAAACCCAAGAAAAAGCAGAAAGUUCCAACCUUUGAGCCCCAAAACAUGGUUCCAUUAAAAAAAAUCGAUAGAAAAUCAUCGCAAGUGUUUCAAUGGUAAAAGCACGGACAUCGGUUCCUAAAAAGACAAAGAAAAUGUGAAAGAUCCUAGGUUUAAUGUUUUGAGUUGGUGAGUCUGCUUGACUGUGGCCACAAACAGGAUGAAAUCCCUCAUAACUUCUCCGAGCUCGAAAAAAUGGAUAACUGUGGUUUGCUAUCAGUUGGGCUGAGUAGACAGAACACACAUGAAACUAGGUUGUUGAUUACUGUUCAUACGUGUUAAAUGGGCAGGCAGCAGGAGUUCAACUUCAAGGUGGUCCGAAUGGGUUAUGUAUUUUAUUGGGCAGGAUGUCCACAAAGCAAACAUAUUUUUGUUGGGCUAACCGCACCACCCUUUGAAGUUCAAUUUCCAAUAAACAUGUCCAAUAUGCUAUUAGAUUCUUUAGUAUGAGUUUACAAAAGAUAAAAUGGAAUCAGUACCUCGAUUAAUUAGGCAUCUGCUAUACAGUAUUCAGAAAAAUUUUAGGGAACUUUAACGAAAAACCAUAUUUUUACACUAAAAAGUUAAUCUUGUCCAAUAUGCUAGCCGCACCACCCUUUGAAGUUCAAUGUCCAAUAUGCUAUUAGAUUCAGCAUGAGUAUACAAAAGAUCAAAUGGAAUCAAUACCUCAAUUAAUUAGGCAUCUGCUAUACCGUAUUUAGGAAGGGGUGUGAUAUCCACACACCCCAAAUUACUUCCCACACACCCCUUAUUAAUUUUUGUCCCUUGAUUUUCUUCAAUUCAUCCGAUCGGAUGGCCGAAAAUUAGAAGGAUGUGUGAGAAGUAAAAUGGGGUGUGUGGAUAUCACAUCCCUUUAGGAAAAUUUUAGGGAACUUUAAUGAAAAACUCCUGUUACUGUUUACUUUAACGAAAAAACCACAUUUUUACACUAAAAGUCAAUUUUAGUACUAUUCACUUUACCCUUUAUUUUGUAUUUAUUGUUAAAAUUCAAAGUUUUCAAGCUAUUUUCAUUAGUUUUUCUAAAAUUUUAAAUUGAUAAGAACCAAGUGGGUUGUGGUGAUGUCUGAAUUUGCACCUAUUUGUAUCUAUUUUGCAAUCAGUCCGCUAGUUUCUUUGAUCCCACUCGGUGUUCCAUUUUCAUUUGCUUCCAAUUGUAUGCAACCCUUAAAAUUGAUGAUUUAAGUUAUUGAAUUUUUUUUGCUGAUCGUCGUGUAGUUCGACCAAAUAUUCUCCCCCUUGUUUAUAUCGUUUUAUACAAAAAUUAGAUUUAUUCAAUCUUCGUAUAAAAAAAUCUUUGUAAAAAUUUGAGGAAAUUAAAAUAAAUGCAACAUAUAAAAGGCAGAAAUAAGAAGAAUAAAUUGGGAAAAAAAAUUAUUUUUUGUAAUUUUUCAUGUUUUAUAAUAAAAAUGGGUGACAUGGUUCAUAUGGCCCAACUAAAAUAUAUUAUAAAAAUAUAUAUAUAUAUACCUAUUAUAAUUUGAGUAAAAUUAUAAUAUUAAGUGGCAUUCUAUAAGUAAAUUAAAAUUUCCUCGUGAAGAGAAGCAGAAAAACAAGAAAAAUGCAUGCCAAAAAAAUUAUGUAGUAAAAAGAAAUAUAGAUGUGCGCAAAACGCCCAAGAAUACAUGUCCAAUUAUUAAUGAAUCACACAAAUAUAUAUGUACAUAAUAUGUAUAUUGUUGAUGAAGCUAGCUGCAACGUAUCAAUCUCAUAUAUAUGCAUAAAAGGAGAACGGAACAUGUUGUUAGUUUCAGCGCAGAUCGUUCCAUCUCUCCUGUGGCAUAAAGCCCUCAACCUCUUUUAUAUCUUCUUUGUUUCUCCAUUCAACGUGUUAAUGGCUUCAAGAGCCUAGAUAAACCCAUAUUUAUAGCCAUUAAGCUAGGCUAGUAUUUCUCUAUGUACUCAGAGUCGGAAAUGUUAUGGCAUGUUUGGUACUCUAUUUGAAUACAACAUUUUAAAUUCAAAAACAAUUUUCAAGUUUUAGGCCUUAAAAACUUGUUUGGUAGGACUAUUUUAAAAAACUAAACUCAAGACUAACUAAAAAAUAUAGUUUAUUAUCUAAAAACAAAAAAACAGUAUCUAAUAAGCUUUGAUUGGCCCAAACUUGGUAUGUCAAUUUAUUGUUCAUUCGUGAUUGUUGGGGACUCACCUACUGAAUCAAGCGAAUUAAAGCAGCCUUUAAUUAAUAGGAAAAUUAAUAAAAAAAGGCUUUAUUUAAGUUUUAACGAUAAAGACAAAAUAAAAGGUAAAGUGAAUAGUACCAGAAUUGACAUUUUAGUGUAAAAAUAUGAUUUUUCUUUAAAGUAAACAGUAUAUGGAGCUUUUCGUUAAAAUUCUCUUAAUUAAUUAUAUUAGUUGUAGAGUUAAGUUAAAAGGCACCUGUCAAAAGACAAGAAAAAAAAACAAAAAGAGAUAUAAUUGAGGACAGGGCCCUAAACCGAUCAAUAAUACAUCCGGACAUUAGAUGCAAAGUUGCAAACCCAAAAUAUGCGGACAAGGUAAAUUCAUCCAAACUGUACGUCAGAGUCACAUCUCUUUCGCAUGACCCAUGUCCCGAAAACUUAGGCCUUCAUGCUUCUUCAAUGUUCAAUACGCCUAUAUGUAUUUACGAGGUGUGGGCUUCCUUGGCUCCGCCCUCCCUUACGUGACCUUCUUUUGUGGAGUGUGUAGCGGCCAAUGGCGGGGGAAAUCCAUUUUCAAGGUGGUUAGAAAACUUUAUAAAUUUAUUAAAUCUUUGUAUCAAAAAAGUAAUUCUUUGAAAACAUGGAGGAAAUUAAAAUAAAGAUAAAAUCAAGGCAAAAUAUAAAAGGAGAAAUAAGAAGAAUAAAUUACUUAAAUUAAAACUAAUAAACAAAAAAAAUUAUAAUUAUAAAUAUAAAAAUUAUAAAACAAUAACUAAAAAAAAAAAAAAAAAACAAGAAAAAGACCAUUGCGUCUUCUUAAUUUCUUGUUUUUUUUUUGGGCUUUUCUAACUUUAAUCCUUGAAGAAGAUUGAAAUUUAAAAUAAAUUUGGUGUUAAAUUACAUAUUGAUUAUAGUCCCUUGAUGUAUCCUUAAUUCAAAAUAAUUAAUUUGUAUUUUAUUCAAUGUCUCUCAUUAAAUAUUUAAAUGUAUUAAUAUACACAUUUUAAUAUAUUUUUUGACCAAACAAAAGUUGUUUUAAUUCAUUAAUUUCAUUUAACAUUCUUCAAACUUGAAAAACUCAAUUAAUGUACCUAAAUGUUAAUACCGAAAUGUAUUAUAUUGAAUUAAUGUAUUUAAAUGUUAGUACCCAAAUGUAUUUAAAUGUAUGUACCCAAAUGUAUUAUAUUAAACUAAUGUACUGAAAUGUAUUAUAUUAAAUUAAUGUACCAAAAUGUUUGUAUCAAAAUGUGUGUACCUAAAUGUAUACACCAAAAUAUAUUAUAAUGAAUUUAAUGUACCUAAAUGAAGAAGACAAAGUAUAUCGAAAUAUAUUGUAAAAUAAAAAUUAGUUUAUCUAAAUGUUUACAACAAAAUAUAUUAUGAUGAAUGAAAUGAAAAUUAUAAUUAUAAUGAAACAAAAUUAAUACAUUAAAAUUAGGAAGAAAAAGAGAAAUAAUUAAAACAUCCAAAAAUAUAAUUAAUAAAUGAGGUGAUUAAUGUAUUAAGGUACUAAAAAUUAGAUUUUGAUCUUACUCAUGAUUUUAGUCUAAAAGUCAUCUUUACCAAAGAUUAAAAUGAAGUUUCAUAUAAAAUAAAAUGUAAAAGUGCAGAUUGUCAUAAGUAACCGUGCGGCAAUAGGCUAGUGCAGUAUACAGAAAAAUUUUAAAUUGAUAGAUUUUGCAAUUCACCUUGAACUUCAAACGCUGGUGUGAUUAGCCCAACAACAAAAUGUUGGGUCGUUGCAUGUGAACUGGAUACAGAAAAGUAACAGGCCGAGGAGUGCAUCAUGGGCAUAUAUAAUUAACUCAUAUCCAUUUUGAAGUUGAACUCCUGCUGCCUGCACAUUAACACAAAUGAUCAGAAAUCAACAACUCAGUUCCAUGUGUGAAUAACUUUCAGAGUGGGUGAGAGAGAGGGAUGGCAAAGAAAGAGAACGAGCUCGGGUAUGAGAAUUGUAUGUUCAACCCACCCAUACCUUGUACGUUUAUUAAUACUAAUCAUGAUGAGUUUUAUUGCCUUACAAGUAACACAAAGAUUAUAAUGAUUUGAUCUUCAACUUCUAUUGGGAUUCUAUUUAAGUUUACAUGUACACAAUCACAUUUCUAAAUAAACACACUAAUUACAACACUCCCCUUAAGUGUGUACAACUUAAGAAAUAGUCGUAUCAGGACUUAAGAAGAUAGCAUUUGUUGUCGUCAGUUCUCGACAAGUACAAAUAAUUGUUAACACAAGUCUCAAAGUAGGUGUGCAUAUCAAAAGAAAAUCAUAAAACCCUUUGCUGCGGUAUUAUAGUAGUCAAAGGAAAAAAAAGUGGUGAAUUAAAUGAAUUUCACAUAUUCAAGAUGAUCAUUAACGCAUAUAAGAGUAUGACUAGUCUAGAGUAAAUACCUCAUUAAAACCUCAUCAUAACCAGCUUAAAUUUACCUCUUUACCAUUUUUAAUUAAAAAAUAAAAAAAAUUCUACCGCGCAAUUAAAUAAUUGAAGAGAGAGAACUUUCGGCUGCAAUGAAGAUCGCUAAAUGCUUAUAAGUUAAAAGAAAAGUAGACACAAACUUAACUGAUAAGGAAUGUAUGAAUUGACAGUUGACACCACCACCACCCAGCAUGCUAGAUAAAGGGAGAAGCUCCCAACCCUAGAAAAUGAAAUCCUAAAGGUAUAAUAUCAUGCAAUCAUUGGUACCCAAAUCAAAUGGGAACACUGUUUAAUUGAUCAUAUGCUAUACAAGAAACUGUGCGUUCAGGGAUAACUGACACACAUACACACAUGUAGGAGCACAACACUGGAAAAAAAAAAUAUUGGUUAACAACAUAUACGUGCACAUAUAUGUACAUAUGUAAGUAUACAAAACCUUUAAGAGAAGAGAUUCUUAUUUUUUAUUUAAAUGAAGAUUAGUUGUGGGGUCCAUUCCACAUUGAACUUCAAUGAUAUGAACCGUCUAUUUUGUAAGUUUAAAUUCAUAGAUCAUCCUUACAAAAAUUGAAACCAAUCUGAAAUCAUUUGCCUAUUUAAUUAUCACGAUGAAAUUUCAAUGUUUUUUAGAGAACAAAGUAUUCGUUAAUUUCUUUGAACUCAGUUAGAUACAUCAAAUAUUUCCGAUAUGGCUAAUAUUUUUCAAGGAUGAUCUAUGAGGUGCAACUUAAAAAAUAGAUGGUUCGGAUCAUUAAAGUUUGAUGCGGUGUGAUCGUAUAACUAAUCCCUAUUUUUGUAAAAAUAAAAUAAAAUAGGAAUCUCUUUCCUUAAAUGCUUCAUAUAAGGUCAUCUCUAACCAAAAUGACUAAAUAUAGCCCCGUUUAGAAUUAUAGCCCUGCAAAAAAAAUUAUUUUUAAAAAUGAAUAGUGCAAGGCCAUACUCAUAUACCAACUCCAACCGAAAGGGCUAUAUUAGCCCUUAAUAAUUUAUUAGUUUGAAGUUUAUACUUUAAAUUUAUUAGUUUUUUUAAGUUAAAGUACCUUUGGAUGUUUUCAAAUAUAACCGUUGAAUUUGAAUCAAUCAUUGCAAUUGAGAAGUUGAGUCCCAAAAAAGGGUUAAGAGGGAGGCUACAUAUGGCCAGCCUGAUGUCCAUUUGGUCAAAUAAUGGCCUAGUGAGCUCAAUAGAAUAAUGGCACAUCCAUCUGUUGGAGAUGAAUUUUUGAAUAAAUCAUGUCAUUUUUUUUGUUUUUGAACAUUUAACCCUCUUCAUUGAAAAUAGCAUAAUUUCAAAACUAUUCUCACUAAAACUUAAAGUCAAACCAUAAUUAAACUAAGGGAAAAUAGGCUUUGCGGCUAUCUCCAAACAAUAGAUGGCUUGAAUAUUUAGCAAAAGAUAAUAGAAAAACACCAGUUCCAGGCUUAGAUGAUUUUUAAGUCCUAAUUAAUACUGCAAUCACAUGUUAAAUGACAAAACUUGCGGUGAACCUUGUGAACAGAAGAUCUUCAAUUAGCUCUUCAUCCUUCAGCCUUCAUCUGGUCAAGUAAUAAUAUGCCCUUCUCAGAAGAAAUCAUGUGCUUGAGUCCUUCACUAGCAAGCUAAUGAUCAACACCCCCGCCGACCAGGCCAUGCGUUUCUCCGUUGCCUAUGUAGAAGUGGACGUCACGGGUGGCCGGAUCUAGCAAAAAGGAGAGGAAAAACAUUUGCUAGGUACUUUUUUUUUUUUUUUUUUAACUUUUUCUUGUAUUUUUCGGCACAUUUUACAGACACAUACUUUCUGUCUUUUCGAUCCCUAGCAUGUAUAGAAGCACUUACCAUGAUCCUUUGAUCCAAGAAGAUAAGUUUAGUUCUUAAACAAAAUCUUACAGUACAGUAAUAUAAGCAUGAAGCAAAAACUCAAAACAGACGACAAAAUACAGAAAAAGGGUAAAGUUAUACUACUUCACCUGAUCUUUCUCCAAUCUUGCGAAGAAAUUAAACAUGGGCUUCCUUUCCGUGGAAUCAAAGCGUGAGAGGCUUCAGUCGAGGAGAGAUGAAGCUUGCUGGCCUGAAUUGGCUAGCUAUAUAAAGCUUGUAAUCGCAGCUACCAAUGUACAUGGCAUUCGGCGCCAUCUCACCUUCGACAGAAGUCCCUACGCUUUGAUAUUUUGAUCUCGCUUUUAGUACUAUUUUUCAAUCUGCUGGCUCCGAAAUCCUCAUGAUGCAGCUCUUAUAUCUAGGCAUGAAAGAGGCAGUAUAGUAUUUCUUCAUUUUCCUUUUUUUCUUUUUGUAAAGUGGUACUAGUACUGUAAUUCAUAAGGUACAAACAUAUAAACUCCAAAUUUCUCUCCCACAAAAAUUAUUAAAGCCUCAUGGUCAUGGAAAAUAUAUAACACAUAUUUAGUACAUCUUUAUUUAUAAAUACAUAUUAUAUAUAAACUUAAUGAAACGAAUAUAAACUAUGUGAUCGUAUGAUCUCAACAGUACUAUAUAUUUAUUUUUAAAUUUAAGACCUAACCCUAUAGGCUCAUACAUAUGAGUUGAUGAAUUAUUCAUGAAAUUUGUCAUUGCAAAACAGUUGUGAGAUGAAAUCGAUCUGCAAAACUACUGUUAUUAGUUGAUCAGUAAUAUAUCAUAUUUACUGCCCUAAUCUUUUGAUGUAAUCUUAAUGAUUUUUGAAACUUAAUUACUCCCAAGUACUGCAAUGUAUAUGUGUUUAGGCCCAAAAUAGUAGUUUGGGCCGAGUAUAGAAUCAUUCUCGGCCCGGAAGGCCUUGCGACAAGGGUGCUAUGGAUCGUUCAGUACGUGGGCCUCCAAACCUAGGUCGGCUAGGUCAUGACGUAAAACAGGUCGAGUCUUAGUGCAAUAAGGAGUCUCGGCAUGAUUAAUAACCCAAAAGCGAAUCUGGUUCAAUAAGGGACUAGGUUCACAGUCAUAAUGAAAGUAGGAUUGGUCGAGUCAGUGUUUGAUCAGGAGAAGAAGUCCUAGUCCGAAUAGGGUUUUAACCCGACCUUGGGGGAUCCGUUGCUAUAAAUAGAAGAGGCUGUGCAUCAUUCAAAGCCCCCUGCAAUUUAACAUACAACUGCCCUGCGCAAACUCUCUCAACAACUUUGAGAUUUUUAUUUUCUUUUCGCUGACACACCUUCCGUUGGCAUCAACAGCAAUGUGGAAGCAACCAGUGAUAUCUUAAGUCGGCAUAGAUAGUUCUAUCAUCGUAGAAUCAGUCGGUCUCGCAGUAUCUUCCGUUGGCAUCAACAGCACUGCGGCGAGGACGGUUGGUUACCUAUCAAAGUCUCGGUCGAGAAGGAUUUCCGGAUCCUUAUUGAUUGAGGUCAUCUCAUUAGCCUCCUCGGCGAAGUGAGGUGUUACAGUAUAUCGAGCUCGGCGCAUUGCACACCGAGUUAUUUUAUGAUUGGAUACUCCCAAGUGGGAUUUAGAGUUCGGCAUUCGGACGGCCGAACCACGUUCAUUAUUAAAACUUAUAUUUGCUUUGAGUAUUUGUGCCCUUACACUUUGGUGUCGAUUCGGCAUGAGUUUACUCUGACGAAUAACAUCACUGUGACUGAAUCCGACGACGACGACUCGUGAACUUCGUAAGAAUAGUAACCUUGUCUUCAGGUUCGAGAACCCAAGAGGCCGAGACGCGUUCCUUCCUCGGUCGCAAUCGCAAGACGCAGGAGUCAGCCGCGCACCCAACGCAACAUCAACAAAUUUACUCCUCGGCUGGGCUCGGCCGACGAGUUGGCACGCCCCGCAUUCACCGAAGGACGUAGUUAGCUUAUAGAUUACUCGGCCUGCGCGCCACGUAGGCUUGAUAGUUUCUAGGGUCAACAAUAUGAGAUCACCACCGAUUCCAUCAUCUAAUACGAAUUUAUUAUAUGUACAGCUCCAAAUAGAAUGAUCUUUUUUUUAAUCCACGUUUUAGUGUGGUUUUAGAUCAAUCACAUCAGAUUAUCAUAAUCACGAUGGGCCUAUUUUAAUCGACAAUUUAUGGCAUCCACAGUAGAUGCCUAACUAAAACAAUCAUACCUUGACAAAGGCAAGCAUAAGUAAUUGAUAGUAUAUUAUUCAGAUAAUCUACAACCAUAAGAUAAAAAUCAUGUCGGAAAAAAGAAAAAACCCAAAAUGUCAUAGCGAAAGAUCAAAAUUGUAGCACUUGUGUAGAGCUUUUUGGUCACAGGUGAGAUGGCUCACAGGUGAGAUGGCAACAAUUGCAUGCAGUUGCAGCACAAUUAAUGCCAUCUCUCUUGUGAGCAUAAAUCUCCCAACCUUUCUUAAUUCAUCAGUUCUCUAGAGAUGCCUCUCUGCCUCUCUCCCUCUCAAUGAAUUUGGAAAAUGCUGCAUUUUUCUUUAAUUGAAUAAAGAAAUUAGUACAUAUGCAUAAAGAAAUAAAGGGUUUCAUGUCACAGGAGAACAGAACAUGCUGCUAGUUAGAGCGCAGAUUGUUCCAUCUCUCAUGUGACAUAAAGCCCUCAACCUCUUUUAUAUCUUCUUUGUUUCUCUAUUCAACGUGUUAAUGGCUUCAAGAGCUUAGAUAACCCCAUAUUUAUAGCCAUGAAUAAUAAAGGGGUGAAAUGGUUGAUAUGUCCCAAAACUGGUUCUAUCAUAAAAAAUAAAGGGGUUUUCUAACUUUAAUUCUAGAAAAAAGAUUGAAAUUUAAAAUAAACCUGAUGUUAGAUUACAUAUUGAUUAUAGUCAUUUGAUGUGUCCUUAAUUUAAAAUAAUUAAUGUGUAUUUUAUUUAAUGUCUCCCAUUAAAUAUUUAAAUUUAUUAAUAUACGCAUUUUAAUUUAUUUUUUGACCAAACAAAAGUUGUUUUUAAUUUAUUAAUUUUAUUUAACAUUCUUCAAACUUGAAAAACUUAAUUAAUGUACCUAAAUGUUAGUACCGAAAUGUAUGUAUCGAAAUGUUAGUACCGAAAUGUAUGACCAAAUGUAUGCACCGAAAUGUGUGUGUGUGUGUGUCUAUAUAUAUAUCCUAUAUAUAUAUAUAUAUAUAUAUAUAUAUAUAUAUAUAACCUUGAACUUGUAAUUCACUGUCAAUUUAUUUCUUAAAAUUUUAUUUUAACCUAUUACCCCCUUAAACUUUUAUUAAUAGUCGAUUACCACCCGAGAUUUGAUUUCCAAUUUUUUCAUGGAUUUCUCUGUUAAAAUCUAUCACGUGGCUAAAUACACCCUACAUGGAUGAGGGUAAAAGGGUAAUAUCAACAUACCACAGCAGCUUCUUCUUCCAGCACCAAAACACUGAAUUUCACCCGCACCCACUCCUCCUCCAAUCCUCUUGCACCGGCAUGUCCGGCAUCGUCGCUUACAUGAUCUUCCAUACUUUUAUAUCCCUUGGCAUCCACUCCCUUUCCUUUCCCUCUCAACCCCUUCCACGGUGACAUCUGCCUCGUCAUCUGCAUCAAGGCCAAAGGCGCCAUUUUCAUCUUAGUCACCUCCGUCGAUGGUAGUACCCUCGCCACCGUCUGCGAUAUGAACGUGCAUUUGCCAUUGAAGUGAGAGCUCUUCCCUUCGAUAUGCUCCGGUCACCUCCACCGCGAUUCCAAAAGGUCUUCAAUGACACCGUCGCGAUCGCGCUCAUGGGCCCCAAAAAUCUCACCAAAUAUUAAUGCGUGCCAAUCCCUAAAUUUCAAGAUCUGAUCUUGAUUCUAUCCAAUUUCAGUCAUCCAAAUUCAAUCAUAUUCAAUCCAAAUGCUAGGUUUUUUUCUUCUAUCUUAAAUUUCAAUCAUCUUCAAUCCCUUUUUUUUUUAAGAUUAUCUUGUCAAAUGAUGGUGCUUCAGAACGGUCGAGAAAUUAGCAUGUUGCUUGAAAACACAAAUUUUGUAACAAUGUGCCUUCAAUUUUAACCCAAUUAAAUAAAUGGUCCAAUUACUUCAAUCUAAUUGGAGCAAUGAUCCUUCAACUUUAAUCCAAUUAUAGCAAUGGUCAUUUCAACAUGAGUUAUUUUGACAGAAUUUUGAUGGAGUUGACGAAACAGACCAUAGCUGUGUGUUUUGACGAGUUAAGUGAUCAAUAGUCAUCAAUUUUUAGUUAAGGAACAAUUACUCUAAUUGCGUUAAAGUUAAAAGGCCAUUGCUACAAUUUUCUCUUUCCUUAUUAUGAAACAAACGUCACUUAGAUACAUGAUUUUCAUUGCCAAACAUUCUGGUUCAUGAAACAUUACUCUUGGGACCAUACUAAAAGGAAUGUACCAAGAAAGUAUGUAAGGCUGCUUAACAUAAUCAUGAUGAUGACAUCAUUGUUAUAUGACGUCAUGAAAUAAUAAUUUCCAAUUUUUUUCCACACAAACACCGAAUUCUUUGCAGUGAGACAAAUCCACGGGUCAAUUUUUUGAUCGGAUUGUUUGAAGGGAACUUUAACGAAAAGCAUCCGGUACUGUUCAUUUUAACGAAAAACCACAUUUUUACACUAAAAAGUCAAUCCUGGUACUAUUCACUUUACCCUUUAUUUUGUCCUUAUCAUUCAAACUCAAAGUUUUCAAGCCAUUUUCAUUAGUUUUCCUUUGUUUGAAUGUAUUCGCACACAAUAAUCUAUGCCAAGUCACCCUAAAACCCCUUUUCAUUAAAUAUACUAGCAGAUGAGCAUACAUUUUAUGUGUGUAAAUAAUUUCAUUUUAGUUUUUGUUAUUGAUUAAGAAAUGUGAUUAGUUCUUAAAAUUUUAAAAAGAGUAUGGAAUAAUGAUGAUGAGACAAUUUCUAUUAAUAAGUGCAAAAUUUUCUUUAUAAUUACUAUUUUGUCCUCCUUAUGUAAAUAGUGUGUAUAAAAAGUGAGGGUAAAAUAGGAAAAAUAGAUAUAUGAUUGUCAUUUUCUAAAAAAAUGAGGGUAAAAUAGGAAAAAUAGGGAUAUGAUUGUCAUUUUGUCAAAAGUUACAAAAUUAAAGCCUCUUCAACCGCCCAUCUCCUCUCACGUUCUCCUCAAGUGCAACUGCUUCAGUUCAUUCAAACUAUCCAAAAAACAUCAUGAUUUUACUUACCUAUAUGAAAAAAUAAUGGUGGGACAAUCAUCACUCAAUCAAGGUCAAAAGUGAUCAAAAUAGGUAUUUAUCCAAAAAGUAUUUCAUCCAUCCUCAUCAAAUCCUCCCCACAAGGUAACCUCUAAAUAUUCAUUCAAAAUAGGAUUAAUUACCUAAAUUAAUUAAUUAUUUUAAUUUCCUAAUUGAUUGCAAGAUAUUAUGGUAACGUAAUAUCUUGCAAUUACACCCUAAAACCACAAAAUGUGGCUGUGGAUGCAAAUUUCCGCUUUCUUCUUCUUGGACAAAAUUGCACCUACAAAACAAUUAACACCUUAGGUCAAGGCCAAGAGCCUCACGCGCCCACGAUGAAUUGGGGGGCUUUGGCCGAAAAACCUCCGAUGCCAAAGGUAGAAUUUAGAGAGAAAAGUAUUUAGAGAGUUUUUGAGAGUUUUACAAGAGUGUGGACUUAGCUUUUUAGAAGAAAUAGGGUCCUAUAUAUAGGGAAUGAGGUGGCCGGCCCUUAGAGGAUUUUGUGUGAAAAUGGUGAUUAAUUUGGUGAUUAAUAGAUUAAUUAGGAAUUAAUCCAUUAAUUAGCCUAAUUAAUCUAAUUUGUAUGGAGGGUUUUGAAGGUUAUGGAAUGAGGAUGGAUGAGAUAAAUUUGAACUUGUUACCUAUUUUGGGUACUCCUGAUUUGGUUGAUGGAUGAUUCUCAACUGCUUGUAUGUAGGAGACCCGGUGUGCCUCGAGGGUAAAUUUGUCAUCUUCACCCAAAAAUCCACGUGUCACCUUGUGAUUAUUUUUGGCUCCACGGUGCCUAGUUCCCACCUCUCCAAAGAGGGCCGGCCACACCACUCCAUUUCUCAAAAAACUUAAGUUGAAUCCUCUUGCAAAAUUCUCUAAAUUCUCCAAACACUUUUCCCUCAAAAUUUUAACUUUGGCAUAGGAGGUUCUUCGGCCAAAGCCUCCCCUCCCCAUUCAUCGUGGGCACGUGAGACUCUUGGCGUUGACCUAAGGUGUUAAUUGUUUUUGUAUGUGCAUUUUUGUCCAAGAACAAAAAGGAAGAAAUUUGCAUCCACAGUAAUCACAUAAUCUGAAACAAGCAUAUGUAUAUUAUUGAUGAAGCUAGCUGCAACGGAUCAAUCUCAUAUAUAUGCGGAUCAAUCUCAUAUAUAUGCAUAAAAGGAGAACGGAACAUGCUGCUAGUUAGAGCGCAGAUCGUUCCAUCUCUCCUGUGACAUAAUGCCCUCAACCUCUUUUAUAUUUUCUUUGUUUCUCUAUUCAACGUAUAUUAAUGGCUUCAAGAGCUUAGAUAACCCCAUAUUUAUAGCCAUUAACCUAGGCCAGUAUUUCUCUAUGUACUAGGAGUCGGAAAUGUUAGGUUUUUUCACAAUGCAAGGAAAUUACUUAUACAAUACCACGAAGUUUGUUUUAAUUUGCAAGGAAUUUUCCUGUGAUUAGAUAAAGUGGGAUAAAUUGCAUACGCUAAUGAAGUAAUUAAUCAUUCUUUAAAAUUAAAUACGUUGUUUAAAGUUUGGAACAUUGGCCUUACCAUACACAUUAGAAACUCUAGUAAUUUCCAGGGGGUUCAUUUUCCCAUUGGAAAAUAAUAAAAAAAAAAAAUUACAAGCACAAUUUCCUCGAGACUUUCAUAUAAACCUCCAUGUCCAGUAAAAGAAAAGGAAAGAGAUGUUAGACUCUUGUUUUCUUUUCUAAUAUUGGUCGUAUAUUAGAACCGAUCCCAGAAUUUAACUUGUACAAGAGUAUUACUACAACAAAAUGCAUGGUUCAGCGAUGAAAAUUUCACUCAAGAAAUUAGAAAGUUCUCAUGACUAAAAGUUGUUGUGACAAUUUCGUCGUUAAACAUUUAUUUAAAAAUAAAAAUUAAUGUCGAAUCGUAAAUUGUAGUGACGCUAAUUUUUAAAUCAAUCACUUGCUUAAUUACCUAUAUCUGUCAAAGACUAAUGACAUACUUUAUAUUAAUCUUGGAAUCUAGCCAUCAGCCGGCCAAUCAUGUAUAUAUGAUACUUAAACUUUGGGGAGGGUCUUAGGAUUAAGAACAAGUGAGAGGGAGGUGAGAUCAAAGGUGAGGCAGGGUUAGCAUAAUAAAUUAUGAGGUAAAAAAAAGUUGGAGUUUCAUCAUAAAAUUAAGUGGCAAUAUGGUGAGUAGUCCCACCUCUUUAUAAUGUUUCUCCCUUUAUCGAUGUGAGACUCUUUUACCUUCACAUCCUCACACGCCCCAUAAACGACGCAUGGUGAAGUUUCAAGCCAAACACGUGGAUAACACGAAUUAGGUGAUGUGGAACACGUGUGGCCGUUGGGCUUCACACAUGAGCCAAUGUGCCAUGAUAUCAUGAAGAAAGUUGGGGUUCUACAAUAAAACCAAUUGACAAUAUAGGGAUUAGCCAACAUCUUAGCCUUGACAAAAAAAAAAACCUCUUAUUAUAAGCCCUUAUAAAGUUUCUCCUUUCACCGAUGUAAGACUCUUUUAUCAUGCACAUCCACAGAGAGUGGGGUUGUGGAUAUAUUUUGUAAUUUGGAGCCACACACACACGUAAUCUGAUUGCCGGACCACAGAAUUUCUUUCAACUUUAAAAGGAAAUGAUAGACAUCUCAACCCCUCCUCCACGGUGCUUCAUUUGUUAUGGACAGUGCUAAUUUUUGUGCUUAAUAUUCCACAUAUACGAUCUGUAAGCAAUCAUGCAGUCUGGUACAACAUUCCUCAAAUAGAUUAACAAGUACGUACGUAUUUUAUACACACACACACACUGAACGAAGUCACGAAAACAUAUGGAAUUACUAAAUGCAGGAGGUGAGGAACAUUUGUAGUCUCUCUUUCUAAAUUUAUACAUUUUCAAUCAGUUUUUUGUCCAAUGGGAAAGCAUGAACAACUAGUAAGAUUCCUAGCAAGAUCGUCAUGCAUGCACUGCGAAUUCAUGGCAGUUUCCUUAAAGUAAUAGCGUAGGAAAAACGGCCGACUAGCUAGCCAGCCCUGCUUAUAAAUAUAUUGCAAGGGCCCUUCUCUUGUGAAGCCAUGAGGAGACACUGAAGAGAGAUCAAACACUAUUACAGAAGAAGAGAUUUAUUAAAGACGUUGGAGGAGAUACCUGUCGCAGGAGAGAUGACAAAAGUUGCGAUAUAUUAUUUAUAGCAAUUAGAUAAUUAAUUGGGAUAUAUCGAGACGCAACUUAUAUCACUCUCCUGUAACAGAUGCCCCCUCCAACCUCUUUCUGAAGCGGCACGCAUAUGUGUAUUGAUCUGUCUGAUAAACAAGAGGAGGGGGAAGGCCAAUUAGUGAAGAAGUGGUAAACCAACUCUCUAUCAUUAUUUGUUAAUUGUUUUAAACAUACAUGAAACCCUUUAUUUCUUUAUGCAUAUGUACUAAUUUCUUUAUUCAAUUAAAGAAAAAUGCAGCAUUUUUCAAAUUCAUUGAGAAGGAGAGAGGCAGAGAGGCAUCUCUAGAGAACUGAUGAAUUAAGAAAGGUUGGGAGAUUUAUGCUCACAAGAGAGAUGGCACUAAUUGUGCUCCAACUGCAUGCAAUUGUUGCCAUCUCUCCUCCGACCAAAAAGCUCUACACAAGUGCUACAACUUUGAUCUUUCUCUAUGACAUUUUGGGUUUUUUUUGUUUUUCCGACAUGAUUUUUAUCUUGUGGUUGUAGAUUAUCUGAAUAAUAUACUAUCAAUUAAUUAUGCUUGUCUUUGUCAUGGUAUGAUUGUUUUAGUUAGGCAUCUACAUGUGGAUGCCAUACAUUGUUAAUUAAAAUAGGCCCAUCUUGAUUAAGAUAAUCUGAUGUGAUUGAUCUAUAACCACAUUAAAACGUGGAUUAAAAAAAAGAUCAUUCUAUUUGGAGCUUACAUAUAAUAAAUUCGUAUUAGAUGAUGGAAUUGGCGGUGAUCUCAUAUAUAUUGCAGUACUUGGAGUAAUUAAGUUUCAAAAAUCAUUCAGAUUACAUCAAAAGAUUAGGGCAGUAAAUAUGAUAUAUUACUGAUCAACUAAUAACAGUAGUUUUGCAGGUCGAUUUCAUCUCACAACUGUUUUGCAAUGACAAAUUUCAUGAAUAAUUCAUCAACUCAUAUGUAUGAGUCUAGGGUUAUGUCUUGAGUAUAAAAUAAAUAUAUAGUACUGUUGAGAUCAUAUGAUCACAUAGUUUAUAUUCGUUUCAUUAAGUUUAUAUAUAAUAUGUAUUUAUAAAUAAAGCUGUACUAAAUAUGUGUUAUAUAUUUUUCAUGACCAUGAAGCUUUAAUAAUUUUUGUGAGAGAAAUUUGGAGUUUAUAUGUUAAUUUGUACCUUAUGAAUUACAGUACUAGUACCACUUUACAGAAAGGAAAAUGAAGAAAUACUAUACUGCCUCUUUCAUGCCUAUAUAUAAAGCUGCAUCAUGAGGAUUUCGGAGCCAGCAGAUUGAAAAACAGUACUAAAAGCGAGAUCAAAAUAUCAAAGCGUAGGGACUUCUGUCGAAGGUGAGAUGGUGCCGAAGGCCAUGUAUAUUGGUAGCUGCGAUUACAAGCUUUAUAUAGCUAGUCAAUUCAGGCCAGCGAGCUUCAUCCCUCCUCGACUGAAGCCUCUCACGCUUUGAUUCCACGGAAAAGAAACCCAUGUUUAAUUUCUUCGCAAGAUUGGAGAAAGAUCAGGUGAAGUAGUAUUACUUUACCCUUUUUUUCGUAUUUUGACGUUGCGAUAUUACUGUACUGUAAGAUUUUGUUUAAGAACUAAACCAAUCUCCUUGGAUCAAAGGAUCAUGGUAAGUGCUUAUAUACAUGCUAGGGAUCGAAAAGACAGGAAGUAUAUGUGCCGAAAAAUACAAGAAAAAGUAAUAAAAAAAAAAAGUACCUAGCAAAUGUUUUUCCUCUCCUUUUUGCUAGAUCUGGCCACCUGCGACGUCCACUUCUACAUAGGCAACGGAGAAACGCACGGCCCGGUCGGUGGGGGUGUUGAUCAUUAGCUUGCUAGCUUGAAGGACUCAAGCACAGAUUUCUUCUGAGAAGGGUAUAUUACUUGUCCAGAUGAAGGCUGAAGGAUGAAGAGCUAAUUGAAGAUCUUCUGUUCACAAGGUUCACCGCAAGUUUUGUAAUUUAACAUGGAUUGCAGUACUAAUUAGGACUUAAAAAUCAUUUAAGCCUGCAACUGGUGUUUUUCUAUUAUCUUUUUCAAGCUUUGGAGAUGGCCUCAAAGCCUUUUCCCCUUAGUUUAAUUAUGGUUUGACUUCCACCAAAUUCAUCUAAUUUGGGAUUCGGACCGUUUAAAUUUGAUCUAACGGCUACAAAUAAGGAGAUCCUUUAAAAGUUAUAAUAACUGUAGCCGUUGGAUCAAAAUCCCACGUCCCGGAUCCCAAACUAGGUGGAUUUGGUGGAAAGGGAUCCAGAGAGGAUCCUUUUCCUGAACUUAGACCAUUUCCAAUGAAGAGGGGUAAAUGUUCAAAAGCCAAAAAAUGACAUGAUUUAUUCAAAAAUUCAUCUCCAACUGAUAACUGGGCUAUUAUUCUAUAGAGUCCACUAGGCCAUUAUUUGGCCAAAGGGACAUCGGGUUGGCCAAAUGUAGCCUCCCUCUUAGCCAUUUUUUAGGGCUCAGCUUCUCAAUUGCAAUGAUUGAUUCAAAUUCAACGGCUAUAUUUGAAAACAUCCAAAGGUAUUUUAACUAAAAUAACCAAUAAAUUUAAAGUAUAAACUUCAAACUAAUAAAUUAUUAAGGGGCUAAUAUAGCCCUUUCGGUUGAAGUUGGUAUAUGAGUAUGGUCUUACACUGUCUAUUUUUAAAAAUAAUUUUUUUGCAAGGCUAUAAUUCUAAACGGAGCUAUAUUUAAUCAUUUUGGUUGGAGAUGGCCUUAUAGGAAGCCUUUAAAGAAAGUGAUUCCUAUUUAUUAUUAUUAUUAUUUUUACAAAAAUGGGGAUUAGUUAUGCUACUACACCGCAUCAAACUUUAAUGAUCCAAACCAUCUAUUUUUUAAGUUUCACCUCAUAGAUCUAUUUUUUUUAAAUAAUUUUUUUGCAAGGCUAUAAUUCUAAACGGGGCUAUAUUUAAUUAUUUUGGUUGGAGAUGGCCUUAUAGGAAGCCUUUAAAGAAAGUGAUUCCUAUUUAUUAUUAUUAUUAUUUUUUUUUACAAAAAUGGGGAUUAGUUAUGAUACUACACCGCAUCAAAUUUUAAUGAUCCAAAUCAUCUAUUUUUUUAAGUUUCACCUCAUAGAUCAUCAUUGCAAAAUAUUAACUAUAUCGGAAAUAUUUGACACAUCUAACUGAGUUCAAAGAAAUUAACGAAUACUUUGUUCUCUAAGAAACAUCGAAAUUUCAUCAUGAUAAAUUAAAUAGGCAAAUGAUUUUGGAUUGACUUGAAUUUUUGUAAGGAUGAUUUAUGAAUCCAGACUUACAAAAUAGACGGUUCAUAUCGUUGAAGUUCGAUGUAAAAUGAGUCCCACAACUAAUCCUCAUUUUUAAGAAAAUAAGAAUCUCUUCUCUUAAAAGUUCUGCGUACUUACAUAUGUACAUAUAUGUGUACGUAUAUGUUGUAAAACAAUAUCUUUUUUUUUCCAGUGUUGUGUUCCGUACAUGUGUGUGUGUGAGAGAGAGAGUUAUCCCUGAACGCACAGUUUCUUGUAUAGCAUAUGAUUCUAUUAAAUGGUGAUCCAAUUUGAUUUGGGUACCAAUGAUUUCAUGAUAUAUACUUUUAGGAGUUUCUUUUUCUAGGGUUGGGAGCUUCUCUCUCUAUCUAGCAUGCUGGGUGGUGGUGGUGGUGUCAUGUGUCAAUUCAUACUCCUUAUCAGUUAAGUUUUUGUUUACUUUUUUGUUAACUUAUAAGCAUUUAGCUGAUCUUCAUUGCAGCCGAAAGUUUUCUCUCUUUAAUUAUUUCAGUGCGCGGUAAUUUUUUUUUUAAAUUAAUAGAUGGUAAAGAGGUAAAUCUAAGCUGGUCAUGAUGAAGUUUUAACGAGGCAUUUACUCUAGACUAGUCAUACUCUUGUAUUCGCUAAUGAUCAUCUUGAAUAUGUGAAACAUUGAUCUCCUACAUUUAAUUAACUUUUUUUCUUCCUUUGACUACUAUAAUACCACAGCAAGGGGUUUUAUGAUUUUCUUUUGAUAUGCACCUCUACUUUGAGACUCGUGUUAGCAACUAUUUGUACUUGUUGAGAACUGACGACAACAACUGUUAUCUUUUAAUAAUAAAGUCCUGAUUCGACUACUUCUUAAGUUGUACACACUUAAGGGGAGUGUUGUAAUUAGUGUGUUUAUUUAGAAAUGUGAUUGUGUACAUGUAAACUUAAAUAGAAUUCCAAUAGGAGUUGAAGAUCAAAUCAUUAUAAGUUUUGUGUUACUUGUAAGGCAAUCAGGAUUAGUAUUAAUAAACGUACAAGGUGUGGGUUGAACAUACAGUUCUCAUACCCGAGCUUGUUCUCUUUCUUUGCCAUCCCUCUCUCUCACCCACUCUGAAAGUUAUUCUCACAUGGAACUGAGUUGUUGAUUUCUGAUCAUAUGUGUUAAUGUGCAGGCAGCAGAAGUUCAACUUCAAAGUGGAAAUGAGUUAUGUAUAUGUCCAUGAUGCACUCUUCGGCAUGUUACUUUUCUGUAUCCAGUUCACAUGUAACGACCCAACAUUUUGUUGUCGGGCUAGUUGUUAGGAGUAUUAUAUGAAUAGCUAAGAUGUUGCCAAAUGUCAAGAGAUUAGUAUUGCAGUUAUAAGGCUGUUAUAAGAUAGCUUAGUUAGGAAGCUGUCAAAGAUAGUAUAAAUAUCCUUUGUAAUGAAACAGUUGGGUAAAGGAUAAGAAAUAUACAAUACAAUUCAGAAAUAUCUUGCUCUCUAAGUAUUCUUUCAAUCUCAUAUCUCUCUUCCUAUCAAUCUUCUUCUUAUCUGAUAUAUGUGUAGAUUGGUUUACAUGGUAUCUUCGCUGGAAAAAGUAUAAAGCUUUAUGGUGUAUCAAUCUGGGAUUUUUGUAUAUGCUUCCGCUUCUGAUCGCACAUAUAUGUGCUUCUCUCUUCUGUCUAUUACUUCUUGAUUUGGGGCGUUUCUGAUCGAAUUAAGGCUCUUCAAUCUGUGUUUGAUUUUCUGCACACCAAGUGUUCGACGUUUGUUCUCUGUCAAUCCCGGUGAAGCAAUUCCAUCAAAAUGAUGACCGUCUCUCAGUUGCAAAUCUUACAAUCGUCUAUUACAUCUCUUAUUUCCUCUGUUUCUACGUCCGUAGCCAUGAAGUUGGACGAUACCAAUUACUUGACUUGGCAUUUUCAGAUGCAGCUUUUGUUGGAAGGCUAUGGCAUUAUGAGGUUUGUUGAUGGGUCUACUCCUUGUCCUUCUCGAUUUUCUGAUGUGAUUUCUGGGGAUUCUGAAGUUGUUUCUGGUUGUUCUACUGCACAAGUUGAAUCUGAUGCAUACAAGAUUUGGAAAAUGCAUGACAGAGCGUUGAUGCAGCUCAUUUCUGCAACUCUUUUGGCUCCUGCAAUUUCUUGUGCAAUAGGGAGUAUCAGUUCUUUGGAUUUAUGGACUCGUCUGAAAGACCAAUUUUCCACAGUUUCUCGAACCAGCAUUUUCCAAAUGAAAUCUGAGCUACAAACUAUCAAGAAAGGUAAUGAUUCCGUCACUUUGUAUCUUCAAAUGAUUAAGGAGGCUCGAGAUUAUUUGUCUGCUGCUGGUGUCUAUUUUGAGGAUGAUGAUAUUGUAAUUCUUACGUUAACUGGUUUACCUUCUGAGUUCAAUACCAUUCGGUCAGUCAUUAGGGGUCGAGAUACUGUUAUUUCAUUAAAAGAUCUUCGUUCUCAACUACUUGCUGAAGAAGCAAUGCUUGAAAAUAUGAAUGCUACCCCUAUGCUUACUGAUUUGGUUGCUCAACAGUCUGGUUUUCCUUCAAAGAAUUCUGGUGGUUUUUCAUCUCAGCAUCCUAACUCAAACUAUCAGUAUAAUAGUUCUCGAGGUUUCAAUAACAAGAAUAAAGGCAGGGAUCGGUUUAAUUCUAAUAACAGGUUUGGAACCAACAAGCAAUUCUUCUCCAAUUCUGGCCCUGGAAUCUUAGGAAACUCUCCACAACAGCUUGGUUCUUCUCCGUUGAUGACAUGUCAAAUCUGUGGCAAGCAUAAUCAUCUUGCAGACACUUGUCGAUUUAGAAAUGCUCUUGGUUCUCCAAGUUGCCAAAUCUGUGGAAAACAUAAUCAUUUUGCUGAUACUUGUCGGUUUCGAAAUACUGAGGUUAAUUCAGGCUGUCAAAUAUGUGGGAAUUCUAACAAUAGUGCUGAUUUUUGCUUCCAGAAUAAUUCUAAUGUUUCAAUGACUACCAUGUAUGCUCACACCAACUCUGGUCCUCAGUCUACUACUUCCCAGUCAUCUAUUCCAUCUCAGCAAGUUUGGCUCACUUACUCGGGAGCAACAAACCACAUGACAACUGAGUUGCAGAAUCUGUCUCUUGCAACUCCUUAUCCAUCCAAUGAGACUAUACAAGCUGUUAAUGGUGAAGGUUUAACCAUAUCUCAUAUUGGCUCCAUCACUCUUCCCAUAUCUCAUAUUGGCUCCACCACUCUUCAAACUCCAUUACAUUCUCUGAAAUUAAAUUUUGUUUUAUAUGUCCCGAAAUUAACACAGAAUCUGCUGUCAGUUCAUCGAAUCUGCUUGGACAAUAAUUGUUGGUUAAUAUUUAAUGCAUUUUGUUUCUGGAUCUAGGACAAAACCACAUGGAGGAUACUCUACAAAGGGCUGUGCAGUAAUGGGGUGUAUCCGAUUAUCUCACCAACAUCCAGUGCUUCUUCAAAACGUGUCUAUGCUGCUACUUACCUUGGACAACAAAUUAAUUCAAGAUUAUGGCAUAACAGACUAGGUUAGCCUUCUAAUCCUAUAGUAUCUCAAAUUUUAAGAAAGUCCAGAUUGUCUUAUAGUCCUGAUUCCUUGCCUAUGUUGUGUUCAACCUGUUUGGAAGGAAAAUUUACAAAACUUCCUUUUCCUGUGUCUCAGUCCAAGUCUGUAAUAUCAGAUAAGAAGAAGAUUGAUAGGAAGAGAGAGAUGAGAUUGAAUGAAUACUUAGAGAGCAAGAUAUUUCUGAAUUGUAUUGUAUAUUUCUUAUUCUUCACCCAACUGUUUCAUUACAAAGGAUAUUUAUACUAUCUUUGACAACUUCCUAACUAAGCUAUCUUAUAACAGCCUUAUAACUGCAAUACUAAUCUCUUGACAUUUGGCCCGCUCCUUGUUUGUCCAUUAAAGGGUUCAAGUAUUAUGUAACCUUCAUUGAUGAGUGUACACGUUAUACUUGGAUUUUUUCAAUAAGCAAUAAAAGUGAUGUUUACCCUACUUUUGUUUCUUUGUAUCAAUACAUUACAAAUCAAUUUGAUGUCUCUGUGAAAACAUUACAAACCGAUGGGGGAGGGGAGUAUAUAGGGAAAUCUUUUCAAGAUUUUCUUUUGAAUAAAGGGAUUCUUCACCAUAUGUCAUGUCCUCAUACCCCUGAGCAAAACGGCUUAACCGAGCGAAAACAUAGACAUAUAAUUGAGACUUCCAUCACACUGUUACAAACAGCUUCCCUACCACCUUUUUUUUGGUCCUAUGCAGUUCAAACUUCUGUUUAUCUUAUCAAUAUGAUGCCAUCUUCUACAUUGGAUAACAAAUCCCCAUUUGAGCUCCUCUUUCAUGACAUUCCAGACAUUCAACACCUUAGGGUUUUUGGUUGCUCUUGUUACCCACUACUGAGACCUUAUAACAGUACCAAACUUCAACCUCGAACUACAAAAUGUGUCUUCUUGGGGUAUGCUUCUAAGUUUAAAGGGUACAUAUCUUUUGAGGUGGCUAAGAAACGGGUUUAUAUAUCAAGACGUGUAAUUUUUUAUGAAUUUGAAUUUCCUUAUUCCAACCUAGUGUCUUUUGAUCAACCAGUCAUUUCUCCAGUACUUACCUCACAUGGUUCUCAUCCUGUUUUAGUACCAAACAAUGAUAAUGUGAUGGUUGUGCCUUCUGUUUCUUCUCCUAGUCUGAUGCAGUCUAGUUCCUCACAGUUUGCUCCAAAUAAUUCAUUAGACAUUAGGAGUCACCUUAUCACUACCAAUAGUUUGUCCAAUGGAUCUAGUCUGUCUAUGCCAUCUGCAACAUCAAGUUCCCAUACUCUCACUGGUGAUCUCAAUGAAGUUGCACCCAUUACUAGCACUGCAGAUCAGUCCUUAUCCUCUUCUGUCUCUGUGGUACCUGAAUUCCAGCCUGACCAACUUCAAGUAGUCAUAUCUGUUCCAUCAUUCAAUUUGCAUCCAAUGCAAACUAGAUCGAAGAGUGGUAUUUCUAAGAAGAUUGCAUUCAUGUCUGUGAUACAUGAACAUGGAGGGGCUGAUCUCACUAAAGUAGAACCUGCUACCUAUAAAUUUGCUUUGACAUCUUUUGUGUGGUGUGAAGCGAUGAAAGAAGAACUUUCAGCCCUACAUAAUCAAGGUACUUGGUUCUUGGUACCUCUUCAUCCUCACAAAAAUUUAGUGGGCUGUAAAUGGGUGUUCAAAAUAAAGAAGAAUGCUGAUGGAUCUAUAGGAAGAUACAAGGCCAGAUUAGUUGCCAAGGGGUUUAAUCAAGAAGAAUGUAUCGAUUAUGGGGAGACUUUCAGCCCUGUGGUUAAACUAACCACUGUGAGACUAGUUAUUGCUUUGGCUGCACACUAUGGCUGGUGUUUAAGACAAUUAGAUGUGAAAAAUGCCUUUUUACAUGGCAUUCUUCAAGAAGAGGUAUACAUGUCUCAACCUCCUGGUUUCCAUGAUUCUAAACAUGAGGAUUAUGUUUGCAAGCUCCAUAAGUCCUUAUAUGGUUUGAAACAGGCCCCUAGGGCAUGUAAUGAUAGAUUUACCACGUUUCUACCUUCAUUGGGAUUUCAGUUCACUUAUUCUGAUUCUUCACUAUUUGUCAAGCAUGCUGGUGAUUAUAUUGUGAUUCUUUUAUUGUAUGUUGAUGAUAUAAUCAUCACAGGUAGUGCAAGUCAAUGUGUUACUGAUGUUAUUCAUGUUUUGGCACAUGAGUUUGAUAUUAAGGACUUAGGACCAUUGCAUUACUUUCUGGGUAUACAGAUUGUGCAGCAACCAAAAGGGAUUUUUUUGUCUCAAGAUAAGUAUGUCACAGAUCUUCUCACCAAGUCAGACAUGUUGUCUUCCAAGCCCUGUGCCACUCCCUGUUUACCUUACAAUCGGUUAUUGAAAGAUGAUGGGAAACCAUAUAACAAUCCAGCAUUGUAUAGAAGUCUAGUGGGUGCUCUUCAGUAUCUCACUUUCACACGGCCUGAUAUUGCCUUUGCAGUUCAUCAAGUGAGUCAAUUUAUGCAGGCACCCAUGAAAUCUCAUUUUCUGGCCGUCAGGAGAGUUCUUAGAUACCUUCGGGCAACACAGGGAUGUGGUCUUCGAUAUGUUCACGGCGGUUUGGAUCUUACAGCUUUUAGUGAUCCAGAUUGGGCAGGGGAUCCUAAUGAUAGGCAAUCCACCACUGGUUUGGUUGUUUUCCUAGGCUCGAAUCCGAUAUCCUAGUCUUCCAAGAAACAACAAACUGUCUCUCGGUUAUCCACAGAGGCUGAGUAUAGGGCAUAGGGCAUUAUCUUCUACAACAGCUGAGAUUGAUUGGAUUAAACAGUUGUUGGCAUUUCUGUAGGUUUCAGUAUCUGAUACACCAACUUUGUAUUGUGAUAAUCUUUCAGUACUAGCCUUAACAUUGAAUCAUGUUCAGCAUCAACGGACAAAACAUAUAGAGGUUGGCAUACAUUUUGUGAGAGAAAGGGUUGCCAAACAACUUCUGCAAGUGCAUUUUGUAUCCUCUGGUGAGCAGUUUGCAGAUAUUUUCACAAAGGGGUUGUCUGCACCUUUGUUUUAGCGCCAUUGCAACAAUCUCCAGCUCAGUUUCUCUGCUCCUGAGCAUGAAGGGGGAUGUUAGGAGUAUUAUAUGAAUAGCUAAGAUGUUGCCAAAUAUCAAGGGAUUAGUAUUGCAGUUAUAAGGCUGUUAUAAGAUAGCUUAGUUAGGAAGCUGUCAAAGAUAGUAUAAAUAUCCUUUGUAAUGAAACAGUUGGGUAAAGAAUAAGAAAUAUACAAUACAAUUCAGAAAUAUCUUGCUCUCUAAGUAUUCUUUCAAUCUCAUCUCUCUUUUCCUAUCAAUCUUCUUCUUAUCUGAUAUAUGUGUAGAUUGGUUUACAUUAGUCACCCUACCCUUUGAAGUUCAAGGUGAAUUGCAAAAUCUAUCAAUUUAAAUUUUUUCUGUAUGCUGCACUAGCCUUUUAUCACAUGGCUAUAUAUGACAAUAUGUACUUUUACAUUUUAUUUUAUUAUUUAAAAAACUGAAUUUACAUAUUGUAGACAUCGAAAUUUCAGUAAAUAAAUGUUGACCGAUAAAUCAAAGUUUCAACGCUCAUGUAUUACAUAAAUUUUACACGUAGCGUGUGUCUAAACAAAAAAUCAAGAAUCAUCGGAAAAGUCAUUAAACAUGACACGUGUCAACACCUGGCAGAAACGACUUAUUUCAUCUGGAAUAUUAUAUUCAAAAUUAGGCCUUGGAAAAUUCUAUAAAUAGAAGCCAAUUUCAUUCAUUUUAGAAGACCAAAAUCAUUAGGCAAAAUUCUUGAAGCUCUGAAGCUCUGAAACUCCGAAGCUUUCAAGCAUCCAGGUUCCCGAAGAAUCAAGAAAGCUCUCUUCGUUCUUCGUUCUUCGUUCAUCAUUAUUUCAAGAUCAAGCCCCGACGGCCCUUGGAUCAACAUCCACCAAUUAAAGAUCAAGCCCCGACGGCCCUUGAAAAAAGUGUUAUUCGUUCUUCAUUCUUCGUUCAUCGUUCUUCCAAGAUCAAGCCCCGACGGCCCUUGGAUCAACAAUCAUCCACCUUCAAGAUCAAGCCCCGACGACCCCUUGAAGAACUUCCACCAAUUCAAGAUCAAGCCCCGACGGCCCUUGAAGAAAGUGUUCUUCGUUCUUCGUUCAUCGUUCUUCCAAGAUCAAGCCCCGACGACCCUUGGAUCAACAACAUCAACAAAUCCACACAUCCAACCGUUCUUCAAGAUCAAGCCCAAAAGCCCUUGAAGAUCCGUUCAUCACUGUUCUUCAAAGAUCAAGCCCAAAAGCCCAUUGAAGAUCCGUUUAUCACCGUUAUUCAAGAUCAAGCCUCAACGGCCCUUGAAGAAACGCUCAUCCUCAAGAUCAAGCCCCAACGGCUCCUCGAAGAUCCGCUCAAAUCCACCUUCAAGAUCAAGUCCACGGCCCUUGAAGAACGUUCAUCCUUAGAUUCAAGCCCAACGGCCCUUUGGAUCAAUCGCACAUCCACAAAUCAACACCUUACGGAGAUCGAAUCAGAGGAUCAAAUUUAAGAGAGAUUGUAACCCAAAAUCAUCAAAUACAAAUAUUAUUUUGUGCACGUUGUUCUUGUCUCUUUCCUUUCAGGAAAUUUUUGUGUUCACAAAUUUGGCACGCCCAGUGGGACAAUCUCUGCCUCUCAUCUCUUUCUCCGUUCAAAAAAUUCAAGCACACUUCCAAAAUCAAUGGCAUCAAGCAAAGGACAAGCCGUUCUCACAAAGGGAAGAAGCCUGAGCACUUCCGCCAUGAACAGAGCAUCCAUUGGCGCCACAACCACUCCUCAACAUACCACUUCAAAGUUGGUGCCGCUAAAGGAGCAAGUGGAGCAUCAAAGACGCAAGCCCGUUAUCAACCUAACCUCGCUGGGGGCAUCGAAGCAUGCCGUUGAGGCACACAAGAUGACAUCCCAAAGCAGCCAACGACGUUCUUCGUCAGCAUCCUGGAUGUCUAAAGGAAAGUCACGUCUAUUGGUUGCACAAGUCAUGACCAUCGGCGUUACCUCCAUCGAAGAACAAUUGGCUCAAAUGAAUGAAGCGAUUGCAAGGCUAACACAGAUUGUGGAAGAAAAAAACUUGCAAAUCGCUGCACUCGUCAGCCGACUAGAGCCACAGGACGGCGAGAACCCCAACCCAGAAGAUGAUCUUUUAAAAAGAGGAGCUGGUGAAGAAGAUGAGCCACCAGUGGAGAGAAUCGAUGUGAAGCCGGAGCCAGACCAAGCAGCGGCACUCAUGGGAUCUCUUUCUAUCCAGCAGCUACAGGAGAUGAUCACCAACACCAUCAAGGCACAGUACGAAGGGAGCUCAAAUACCUCCGGGUUGUACUCGAAGCCGUAUUUAAAGAAGAUUGACGCCUUAAGGAUGCCGAGGGGUUAUCAACCGCCAAAGUUCAUGCAAUUUGAUGGAAAGGGAAACCCGAAACAGCACAUUGCCCACUUUGUUGAAACUUGCAACAACGCAGGGACCAAAAGGGACUACCUCGCCAAGCAGUUUGUGCGCUCGCUGAAAGGAAACGCCUUUGAGUGGUACACGGACCUAGAGCCUGAGUCCAUCAACAGCUAGGAGCAAUUAGAGCGGGAAUUCCUCAACCGCUUCUACAGCACAUGCCGCAUUGUGAGCAUGCUAGAGCUAACGAGCACAAAGCAGUGGAAGGACGAGCCAGUCAUUGACUACAUCAACAGAUGGUGCACUCUAAGCCUCAUAAAGACAGGCUCUUGGAAACCUCUUCAAUCGAGAUGUGCAUCCAAGGCAUGCAAUGGGGUUUGCAAUACAUCCUUCAAGGCAUCAAACCACGGACCUUCGAAGAGCUAGCCACCUACGCCCAUAACAUGAAGUUAAGCAUCGCCCAUCAUGGGAAGAAGGAACCGAUCGCCGACUACAAGAACGACAAAGUUCUUGAGACAAAGGUGGAGAAGGCUGCGUGGAAAUCCACCAAGGAAGCAAUGACGGUCAACACAGCUCCCGUCAAAAUCCUUACACGAGGCAAGGCGAUUCAAGCCGAAGCUUUUCGUGAUCAAAAGAUGCGUAGACGCAUUUUGAAAGAGCUUGAGGAGAAGACUUAUCCAUUCCCCGACUCUGAUGUGGUUGCCAUGCUGGAUGACCUGUUGGACAAGAAGGUGAUCGGUUUGCCUAAGUGCAAAUGGCUGGAAGAGAUGAAUCGUACCGACAGUCCAAGAUACUGUAAAUUCCACCGCUUCAUCAGUCAUCCGACAGAAAAAUGCUUCGUGCUGAAAGAUCUCAUCAUGAAGUUGGCUCAGAAAGGAAUCAUCGAGCUAGAUGACGAUGUGGUGAAGUCAAACUAUACCACCAUCACUUCUGGCUCUUUCGACACAAAGUUUUCACCUCAACCGCUAGGGGCAUGCUCCAAGUCAAGCGAAGUUGAAGGAUGGACUCAAGUCACUCCUAAGAAAUUACACAAGAAGCAUACGUCUCCUCCACAAGUCCGCCAAUCGGAAAGGGGGCAAAACAGCUCUUGUCAACCUUCAAAGCAACAUGAACGUGUUAAAGAUGAUGAAAUUUCGACACAUAGAUCGUCCAUCCCCAUCACGAUGCGUGAUUUCUUUCCUGAAGACUUCUUCAAUCACUCGGUCAAGACUCCCUGUUAUGAAAAUUGCAAGGAAAGCCUCUCCAAGAUCGUUUGACAAAUUCACAAUGCUCCUUGUUCGCACGAGCCUAAACUGCACGAACCAAAGCUCCUUGUCCGCACUAGCCUAAACUGUAGGACAAGAGGCUCAUCACCUGCACGAGCCUAAACUGCAUGGCACAACGCUCCUGAUCUGCACGAGCAUAAAAGGCGACAUCAACGCUCCUGAUCCGCACGAGCAUAAAAGGCGACACCAACGCUCCUGGUCUGCACGAGCAUAAAUGGCAACACCAAUGCUCUUUGUUCGCACGAGCCUAAACUGCAUGAACCAAAGCUCCUGGCCCGCAAGAGCAUAAAUUGUGUAUGGCAAAAUCAUCAUCAAAAUCACUGUUAAAUUCAUCACUCAUUCGAACUACGCUUUGACUUGAUCUCUUUCUUUGGAAGGGUACGUAGGCAGCUUGAACAUUCAAUUUCGAGUUCAGUCACAUCAAAAUAAAAAAUAAAUGCUUUAUUGAAGAAGGUCAAUCUUAUUACAAAAAGAAAAAAAAAAAAAAAAAGAAAAGGAAUACAUACGUUUUACAAAAAAUAAUAAUAAUAAUAAAUAAAAUAAAAUAAAAUUAUGAAAAAAAAAAAAAUAUAUAUAUAUAUAUAUAAAUAAAUAAAUAAUUAAAAAAAAGCCAUCAGCAGCAGCUCGCUUCCUCUUCAGCCCACAAACCCCCAAAAGCCCAGGCCCCGUUCUUGGACCUACAUCUUUCAGUUUCUGCAACGUCCAGGCCCAACCACUCAUUCGACCACUUCACUGCCUUCAUCAGAAUCAAAUUGUGGUUGUCUAUUGCCGUUUCUUCCAGAGGGUUUCGACAUGCCGGUGAGUCCUUGUCUGUUUACACAAUGGAGAAACUACAUGAAGCCAACUAGAAGAGCAUCUGGAUCCAGAUUUGAAACGCCGGCUAUGGAAGCUGAUGUUCAACUUCCGGUCCUUCAACUUCCCCUCCUCCUUCUCCGACGCCUUCGGGCGGGUCCGAUCGAGCGUCGCCUACUUCCGGAUGAACUAUGCCAUUGUGGUGCUCCUGAUCCUGUUCCUCAGCCUGCUCUGGCAUCCGAUCUUUCUCAUCGUCUUCCUCCGCGACGAGCCGCUGGUACUAUUCAAAAAAAAAAAAACGGUAGACGACCGCGUCGUUUUGAUCAUGCUGGCGAUCGUGACGAUCGUGCUGUUGUUCUUGACCCACGCGACGGUGAAUAUUCUAGUGGCACUGCUGAUUGGGAAUUUGGGGUUGUGUUGGUGAUUGCACAUGAGGCGUUGAGGAAGACAGAUGACUUGCUGGUGGACGAAGAGAACUCUACGUUAUUGACUACGCCUGCAUCUUCCUCUGCAUCGUCCUCCAGGCCUAGUUCCUUUGCACCUCAUCAGCCCAAUAUCGCCUCUAAUCCGGCUAAAAAAGGCUCUAUUUCUCCAGCUGGAAAUACACUAGCACAUCAUCUCCAUGAUCCUCACCAUGCUCAUCACACUCGGUGCUCUCACUAUCAAGUCCAUCACAGGAUCACAUGGCAAGACGCCGGAAAAGAGGAGCUCAUCGAAUGGUCAUCCUACUUGGGCCUGCUGUGCCUCAAAUUGAUCUUGUGUUGCAAAGCGAGAGUGUACUGGAGGGUAAUUUGGUGCAGAUUGAUUUGGCUGCUUCUAAGCUUGGGUUUAGUUCCUCGCUCUUGUUCAGACAGACAACUUGUGCAAACUUCAACUUCACUUCUAAUGCUUAAGAAGUUAGAGGAUCUUAUGAUUCAACUGUUAUUUGUAAUUCUUUUCAUUUUGGUAAUUACAUUAUGAAUAAUGGUCAGGAUGAUUGCGAUUAAAAAAAAAAAAAAAAAGGCCACCGGAGCUACUAUAGCACUGGUAAAUGGAAGAUGUUGAGGAAUCCUCCAAUUUGUUCCUUGACGACGGGGUUGAAGAAAGCUGCACCACUUUCCGCUGUGACCCUCUUCCAUUUCUCACUUCCUCUCCUACCCUCCAUGGAAGCUCUAUGUGCCCUCCACUUCUACUGGUAAAAUAUCAGCUUGAGCAUCAUGUGGCGGCAACUACGACACAUGAAUGGUAUGCGUGAACCAGCUGGCGACGAAUAUGAACGAAACAAGGAAGUUCCGGGACUACAACUGCUUAGUCUUCUCCUCUGCAUGGCACAUCACCAUCUCGUCAUCUUUUUCUCUACAAGGCACAGCAACAUCUUGGCUCGUCCUUAAGCAACGGUGUGUCCUCAUCUUCGCAGGAAAACAGCAACGACAGUGCAAUGGCUGUGCAAUGGCGGCAGUGCAAGGCGACAAGAAUGCAGUGGCGGUGCAAUGGUUGUGUAGUGGCAGUGGCAAACAGCAACGACGAAGAACUUCAAUAACCGCCGUCAAACGACUAGCCGGUCAUGAAGCCUCGAUUGCAGCUCUCCGUCCGUCUUCAUCCUUUCCUGCAAAUUCCCCAUCCCGUCAUCCAAAUUUAUACAAAAAAAUAAAAAAUAAAAAAUAAAAAAAUAAUAAUAAUAAAUAAAAUAAAAAUAAAUAAAAUAAAAAUAAAAAUAUAUAUGGUGGAACACUGCACCAUGAUUAAAGAAAAAAUAAAAUAAAAUAAAACAAUAAAAUAAUAAAAAUGAUGAUGAGGGAACAUGGUGCGUCUGGCACAAAAGGAUAGUGGGUGCAUGAUUAAAAUAAAAAAAUGAUGAUGGUGCAUCUAGCACCAUGUGACAAAAAAAAAAAACAAAAAAAAAAAGGGAAGUGGUGGUGCAUCUGGCACCAUGAGAAACAUGUGAAAAUAUAUAUAAAGCAUUUAGUAAAGCCCAUCUUUUAUUUAUUUCUCUAAAAAAAUUUUACAUAAAUUCGCAUUCCACAUGCCAUAUAAAAAAAAAAAAAGACAAAUCAAAUUUACAGGAGGGGAUCUUCAAGGUUGAUCAGAUGGCGCCUCAGUACUCGGCGGAGCCUCAGAUCGAAGAGGCACCAGAGGGUGAUUAUUCAAAGCCUCAUCACUCGGCGAAACCCCAGGAGGAGGAGGCACCGAAGGUUGAUCAUUUGAAGCUUCAUUACGCGGUACAGCCCUAGAAGACGAAGGCAAAUGCUGUUGGAACAAACCCACAAACCUCUGAUGAUCAAGUAAAAUCUGACCAUCAGAUUCCUGCAUCUGGUCAAUCUUCCUCUUCAUGUUUGUAGCAUAGUUAUGUGCGAGCCUGUGCAACUGUUUAUUCUCAUGUUUGAGCCCUCUAAUCUCCUGUUUGAGACUCAUCACUUCAGCCGCCAAUGAUUCAACUUGACGGGUUCGAGCAAAUAGGAGUUGGGCCAUAUUAGAUACAGAACCUGCACACUGCACACUGAGAGCCAGAGAAUCCUUAACAGCCAACUCAUCAGACCGUUUGGAAAGUAGUCUGUUAUCUCUGGGAGUGAUAAGGUUCCGGGCCACCAUUGCAGCGGUUAUAUCAUUCUUCAUCAUCGAAUCCCCAAUGGUAAGAGGACCAGUAGGGGAUAUGAAAGAUGGACGCCAUAUGUUGUCUGGAGAAGGUAGGACUGCCUCUUCACCAAGGUUCAAGUUAAAACGACGGUCGGAGGUCCAGACAUUUUCAAAGGUGUUGAAAGAAAGAAGAGGUCGGACGAAUCAAUAUCUUAGAAGUGCAAGAAGGGAGUUUCUACAAGCGAAAAUUCAAGUGUGCUUUGAAACAAACUGCGUGCUUCUAUAAAAAAUCAACACUCGACGAGAUUUCAGAGAUCAAAGAGGCGAGCUCAGAAUUCGAAGAGGCCCAUUCAAAAAUCGAAGAGGCAAGCUCAGAAAUCGGGGAGGCAUUUUGCUUUUCCAGACGCGUCAGCACCCAUCACACGCGAACUCAGCUUUGCGGAAAUCACGGGUAAUUUAUCAAAGCACCGAUCCCAGAUAUCGAAGAAGCGCCAGUCUUUUUCAGCCUCGUCAACACCUGUCACAUGCACACUCAGCCUAGCGGAAAUUACGAACAAUUUGUCGAAGAUUUCUGAUAAAGAAGAAAGCAUGUGAAGUCAUACUGAUCAAUCACACAUUGGUUGCCGACACGAGUGAAAGAAUAGUACUUUUACAGGUAUUAAAGAACCUCCUAUAACUGUCCACCUUCACCCUCCAUAGCAAGGUAAACAUACAGAACCUUUCUUCAUCUCCGAGAAUGUCUUCCCAACGAAGCCUCUCGAGUCACUCAAUGUUCCUUAUUCCUUGGGGUAUCUCUGCAAGCAAAUGACACCAAAGCAAAAGUAUCUCAUAUCACCAGGGUAGAAAGCAAGAGUAUCUCAUAUCAUGUUUUCUCCCUAUCCUUUCCUUUGUCCUUGUUCUUACUUACAAAGACAAGGAUAAAGAAAACAAUAUGCCGAAACCUCCACUCAAACUCGGGUAAGGAAUCGACUACUUGGAACCUUUGCCUGGUUGCUUACCUGGCAUUGCUCUCUAGUACUCAUCUUCAGCUGCUGAUGUACUUCCAAAGAAGAUGCCACAUUUGCCUGGAGAACAGAUAAGGCAAGUGAAAAUGAUACCUUGCAGCAUGUGGAGACAACGUGCAGAAGAAACAAGCAGAGAAGAAUGCAGCCUGCACAGUCAACUCAGCAAAAGGAGUCUAAGUUGAGGAACUCAAGAAGCUGCCACAUCUGCUUGAAGAACAAAUAAGGAAAUGUGGCAUGCACAAUCAACUCAGCAGAAUGAGUCCGAGUUAAAGAAUUAGAGAGAAGAAGGGGUCUGAGUUAAAUCCAAAAGCUCGAGAAGCUUUAACGACAUAUUGACGGCACCAUCGCCGAAAAGCAAAGCCUCGCUGUGCAACGCUGUCAAAUCGCCACCACUUCUUCAAAAGCAAGAGUAUUUCAUAUCAUGCUUUCUCCAUGUCCUUUUCUUUGUCCUUGUUCUUACCUGCGGGACAAGGAGAAAGAAAGCAAUCAGCCAGCACUUGGUAUCAAUCUUCCGAUCUGGAACCGACUGCUUGGAAACCUUCCCUGAUUGCUUACCUAGCACUGCUCUCGAAGUACCCAUUAUCUCAACAUCUUAUGCUUCCAGAGAAGAUACCACAUCUGCCUGAAGAACAGAUAAGGCAAGGGAAAAUGAUACAUUGAAGCAUGUGGAGACAAGCACAACAAAGCACGUGCCGAUUCACCCGCUACUUCUUCAAAAUCAAAAGUAUCUCAUAUCAUCAGGGUUGUAAUCACUCUGGGUGGAGGAUUCGUUUUGACCCUCAAAUUCUUAGGUUUACUCACUAGGCGUUGUGGGCUGCACGUGCUGAUUCACCACCCUUGAAUCAAAUCCUUAAAGAUCAAGUCACCAACCGGAAGAAGAGCCCAUCAAUCUUGAAGAUCAUACCGUUGACCAAACUGCUCAGGUGUGAAUUAGAAAGAUUGAACAAAGCAACAAGUCGUCACCUUCACCUCAUGCCUGCUUGCCAUGUGUUCGAGUCAACCUUCAAGAAUCAAGCCUUAACGGCCCUUAAAGAAGCUUCCAGCCAAAGUUCAAGAUCAAGCCUCGACGGCCCUUGAGGAAAUCGCAAGUCCGAUUCAAGAUCAAGCAUCCACCAUAUUUGAAUCAAAUCCAGUUCAAGAAUAAGCUGUGGAAAAUCAACAAUUGGAGGAAUCCAGAAAAUCCUCCAACCCAGUUCAAGAUCAAAGCUGUGGAAAGUCAACAAAGCGCAAAAACAAAUACGUACCGAUUCAUCCACUACCAAAGCCAAAGAUCAUCUACCACAUGAAGCUCCUUGUGGUCCAAUUUCAACCUUCAAGAUCAAGCCUCGACGACCUUUGAAGGAAUUUCAAACAAAGUUCAAGAACAAGCCUCAACGGCCCUUGAAGAAAUCUCAAGCCCAAUUCAAGAUCAAGCCUCAACGGCCCUUGAAGAAAUCUCCAACCCAAUUCAAGAUCAAGCCUCGACGGCCCUUGGAUCGACAUCUACAUUAAGGGACUUCAAAACGCAUCUCCUACACGCGACAAGCACAUGUAUACAACGCGCCUUGAAGUGGGGGCAUUUGUAGACAUCGAAAUUUCAGUAAAUAAAUGUUGACCGAUAAAUCAAAGUUUCAACGCUCAUGUAUUACAUAAAUUUUACACGUAGCGUGUGUCUAAACAAAAAAUCAAGAAUCAUCGAAAAAGUCAUCAAACAGGACACAUGUCAACACCUGGCAGGAACGACUUAUUUCAUCUGGAAUAUUAUAUUCAAAAUUAGGCCUUGGAAAAUUCUAUAAAUAGAAGCCAAUUUCAUUCAUUUUAGAGGACCAAAAUCAUUAGGCAAAAUUCUUGAAGCUCUGAAGCUCUGAAACUCCAAAGCUCUCAAGCAUCCAGGUUCCCGAAGAAUCAAGAAAGCUUUCUUCGUUCUUCAUUCUUCCAAGAUCAAGCCCCGACGGCCCUUGGAUCAACAAUCAUCCACCUUCAAGAUCAAGCCCCGACGGCCCCUUGAAGAACUUCCACCAAUUCAAGAUCAAGCCCCGACGGCCCUUGGAUCAACAACAUCAACAAAUCCACACAUCCAACCGUUCUUCAAGAUCAAGCCCAAAAGCCCUUGAAGAUCCGUUCAUCACUGUUCUUCAAAGAUCAAGCCCAAAAACCCCUUGAAGAUCCGUUCAUCACCGUUAUUCAAGAUCAAGCCUCAACGGCCCUUGAAGAAACGCUCAUCCUCAAGAUCAAGCCCCAACGGCUCCUUGAAGAUCCGCUCAAAUCCACCUUCAAGAUCAAGUCCAUGGCCCUUGAAGAACGUUCAUCCUUAGAUUCAAGCCCAACGGCUCUUUGGAUCAAUCGCACAUCCACAAAUCAACACCUUACGGAGAUCGAAUCAGAGGAUCAAAUUUAAGAGAGAUUGUAACCCAAAAUCAUCAAAUAUAAAUAUUAUUUUGUGCACGUUGUUCUUGUCUCUUUCAUUUCAGGAAAUUUUCGUGUUCACACAUAUGUUUAGAAGAAUAAAAUAAAAAUAAAAAUAGAUAUGUUAGUAACUACUCCCUCCUAUACAUGAGGAAGUUUUUUUUUGUAUUUUUACAAUUUUUUUUACAGGGUGUUCAUGCUUUCCCAUUGGACAAAAAACUGAUCGAAAAUGUAUAAAAUUAGAAAGAGAGACUACAAAUAUUCCUCACCUCCUUCAUUUAGUGUUUUCAUGACUUCGUUCAGCUUGUGUGUGCGUGUCUGUACGUACUUGUUAAUAUAUUAUCCUCUUAAAAGAAAGGGAGUUUUUUAUUUUGUAUUUUUACAAUUUUUUUACAAGGUGUUCAUGCUUUCCCAUUGGACAAAAAACUGAUCGAAAAUGUAUAAAAUUAGAAAGAGAGACUACAAAUAUUCCUCACCUCCGUCAUUUAGUGUUUUCAUGACUUCGUUCAGCUUGUGUGUGCGUGUCUGUACGUACUUGUUAAUAUACUAUCCCGUUAAAAGAAGGGGAGGUUUUUUUUUUUUUUUUUGAGGAAUGUUGACAUGCUGUACCAGCUGAGUACAUGAUUGCUUACAAAUCGUAUAUGUGGAACACUGAGCACAAACAUUAUCACUGCCCAUAAUAUGAAGCACCAUGAAAUAGGGGUUGAGGUAUCUAUCAUUUUCCUUUCUAAGUUUGAAGAAAUCCUCUGGUCCGACAAUCGGAUUAUGUGUUUGUGCGGCUCUACGAGUCUAAGACACAAAAAAAAAAAAAUGACUACCCUCUUCUUUGUGAAGAUAUGAAGGUAAAAGAGUCUCACAUCGGUGAAAAGAAAGGAUUUAUAAGAGAUUGAGAUACUCUUUAUAUUGCUAAUUAAUUUUAUGAUGAAACUCCAACUUUCUUAACCCUCAUAAUUUGUUAUGCUAUAAGUUGCAAACCUUGAUUCACUCUUUGGUCCUACCUCCCUCUCACAUGCCCUAGUCCGGCUUCUCCACACGAGACCCUCUCCAAAGUUUGAGUAUCAUAUACAUGAAAGGCCGGCUGGCGACUAGAUCCCAAGAUUAAUAUACAGAAACUCCAGUAGAGCCGAAAAGGAUGUGAUUUAUCUUUGACAGAUAUAGGAAAUUAAGCAAGUGAUUGGUUUAUAAAUUAGCGCCAUUAAUUUACGAUUCGAUAUUUUUAUCUUUUUUAUAUGGGACCUUUAAUGAAAAUAAUUUUUUCUAACUUUUUAUUAAAAAAAACUAUCUAAUAACUUUAUUUAAUGAAAAUAACUUAAACUUUAAUGAGAGGAACUUAAAUUUUAAUAAAAAAAUAAAUUAAAUUAAAAAGUAAUAAAAACUGAUGCGCGGGGUCUAGUGCGACCAUCACAAGAGAUUUUUUAGUGUAACCAGAACACGGGAUGGUACACCAUAUGUCACCAUAUAAAUGGUGGGAUAUGUGUGCUAAAAAGUAUGUCACUAUAUAAAUGGUGGAAUAUGUGUGCUAAAAAGUUAAUAACUUGAAAAAUAAAAUUUCCAACCACUUGAAUAAAAACACGUGGUGUACCAUCUAUAUUCCGGUUACAAUGAAAAAUUUCCCGUCUAUCACACACACUCUCUCCUCUUCCUCACUAUUUUUUAAACUGAAAGUUGUCUAUUUCUGAAACUGAACACUGGUACUACACUACUUAAAUUGAAUACUAACUAUUUCUGAGAAUUUAACACAUAUACUAUCUCUAUUUCUUAAACUGAAUACUGGUAUUAUCAUUUUUCUUAAACUGACUAUUGUGGAAUGUUUUGAAUGUCAUGGAACAAAUAGCUUAUGGAGAAUAUAAGAUGAGUAUAGAUGAAAUAAUUUUGAAUUUGUUACUUAUUUUGGGCACUUUUGGCUUGAUUGAAGAAUGAUUGUCCACUGCUCGCACGUAGGAAAUCCGAUGUGCCUCGAGGGUAAUUUUGUCAUUUUUAUUAAAAAUCCACGUGUCGCCUUGUGAUUAUUUUUGGCUCCACAACUAUUUCUGAAACUGAACACUGGUACUACACUAUUUCAUAAAUUGAAUAUUUCUAGAAAUAAAGACGAGCACUAUUUUUGAAACUGAACACAGGUUGGCUUGCGCUUUACAUACACUUUUGAUUGGUUUUUUUUCUUACUUUUGAAAUUUUUUUUCAUUAGUUUUUCUUUUUAUACUUUUUAAAUAAAUGUUUAACAAGGAAAUUGUCACGAUGACUUUUAUUUCCUAACUAUUUCUUAGACCAACUUAUGGGUCAAAAUUGUCUCACUAUUCACAAGAACUUGAUAAUUUCUUCAUUGAAAAUUUCAUAUCGAAUUAUUUGUUGUAAAUAUACUCUACAAGUUAAAUUAUGUGAUUAGGUCUAAUUAAUAUACGUCCAAUAUUAAAAAAGAAAACAAGAGUCUAACAUCUCUUUCCUUUUCUUUUGACUGACCAUGAGAUCUAUCAUGAGGUAACGAAGGUGUCGACGAAAUUGUGCUUGUACUUUUUUUUUUUCCAAUGGAAAAAUGAAUCCUGUAAAUUUGUAGUGAGAUUCUAAUGUGUGUGGUUAGGCCAAUGUUCCAAACUUUAAACAUCAUCUUUAAUUUUGAAGAAUGAUUAAUUCAUUAGCAUAUAUGCCAAUUUCUCGCACUUUAUGUAUUACUUUACGUAAUCACAGGUGAACUCCUUACAAAUUAAAAGCAAACUUCGCGGUAAUGUAUAGGUAAUUUCCUUAUAUUGUGAAAAAAAAACCCUAACAUUCUCCGAAUAUAUAGAGAGCAUUGGCCUAGCUUCAUGACUAUAAAUAUGGGGGUUAUCUAAGGUCUUGAAGCCAUAAUUAACACAUUGAAUGGAGAAAAAAAAAAAAAAGAUAUAAAAGAUGUUGAGGGAUUCAUGUCGUAGGAGAGAUGGCACGAGCUACGCUCUAGCUAGCAGAAUGUCCCAUCCUCCUGCAACAUGGAACCCUUUAUUUCUUUGUGCAAAUGUACUAAUUUCUUUAUUCUAUUGAAGAAAAAUGCAGCAUUCUCCAAAUCCAUUGAGAGGAAGGGAGAAAGGGAGAGAGGGAGAGAGGUAUCUCUAAAGAAGUGAUGAAUUAAGAUAGGUGGUGGAUUUAUGUUUGCAGGAGAGAUGGCACUAAUUGUUCUACAUCUAUUAGCAAUUGUUGUCAUCUCUCUUGUGACCAAAAGCUCUACACGACUUCUACGACUUUGAUCUUUCUCUACAACAUUUGUGGUUUUUUUUUUCCCACGACAUGAUUUUUAUCUUAUGGUUGUAGAUUAAUUAUCUGAAUAAUAUAUUAUCAAUUACUUAAGCUUGACUUUAUCAAGAUAUGAUUGUUUUUGCUAGGCAUCUAUUGCAGACACCUUAUAUUGUUAAUUAAAAUAGGCAUAUCGUGAUUAUGAUAAUCUGAUGAUCUAACCACACUAAAACGUGGAUUAAAAAAAAUCGUUCUAUUUGGAACUGUAAAUAAAAUAAAUUCGUAUAAUUUGUUAACUAUGAUCAAUAUUAUACAGUAAGGAAGACUAAGAAUGUAACAGACUUAGAGAGAGAGAGAGAGAAAGAACUUAGAGAGAAGAUGAAUAUCUCUGAUAUAUUUCUUAACUUCCAAGUAAUACAGUGUUGAGGUAUUUAUAGUCUUACACUUACACAGCUAACUUCCUUAACUAACUUCUUCUCUAAUCUAAUUACAAGUGGCAACAUCUUAUACACCAAUAUCUCUAUUCUAUCAUCCCCCCGCAAACACAUGAUUCGAUGCUCGAAGCAUGAGGUUGGUACAGUGAGUACGAAACAGAGGAGAACUCAACCCUUUAGUCAAAAUAUCAGCAAAUUGCUCUUUAGAGGACACAAACUGAAGAGAAAGUUGUCUUGGCAACGCGUUCUCGCACAAAAUGAACAUCAACCUCUAUGUGCUUAGUACGUUGAUGUUGAACCGGAUUAAAAGCCAAAGCAAUGGUGGACAAAUUAUCACAAAAUAAAACCGGAGGUGAUGUAAGAGGAACCUGCAGAAAGACUAACAGUUGCUUAAUCCAGUCUAAUUCAGCGGAAGUAGAGGACAAGGCUCGAUAUUCAGCCUCUGUGGAUGAGCGAGAAACUGUCAAUUGUUUCUUUGAAGACCAGGAUAUAGGAUUGUUUCCUAAAAACACAGCCAUGCCAGUGGUAGAACGCCUAUCAUUAGGGUCACCUGCCCAAUUAGCAUCACUAAAGGCUUUUAAUUGCAGUGGUCCUUGUGAAUAAGUGAGGCCAUGAUGAAUGGUACCCUUUAAGUACCUCAAAAUGCGUUUGACAGCAGUGAAAUGAGCAAUCAUAGGCUGUUGCAUGAAUUGACAUACUUGAUUGACAGAAAAUGCUAUAUCUGGCCUUGUAAAUGUGAGGUACUGCAAUGCACCGACUACACUCCUGUACAACGUUGGAUUGGUAUAAGGAGCACCAUCAUCUUUGAGAAGCCGGUUAUAGGGCAAACAGGGAGUCUCACAUGACUUGGACUCAAGCAUCUCAGUUUUAGUAAGGAGAUCCAAAAUAUAUUUGGAUUGAGACAAACAUAAGCCAUGUGCAGUGCGAGAGAUUUGAAUGCCCAGAAAGAAAUGCAGAUCCCCCAGAUCCUUGAUAUCAAAUUCCUUGGUUAAAGCACUAAUAACCUGUUGCAUAGCUGCAUCUGCAUUCCCUGUGAUAAUAAUAUCGUCCACAUAAAGCAGCAAGAUGACAAUACCAGAGUCAACUGUCUUGACAAACAGAGAGGAGUCAGAAUAAGUGUGUUGAAAACCCAAAAGAGGCAAGAACUUGGUAAAUCGGUCAUUCCAAGCUCGAGGGGCUUGCUUAAGUCCAUAUAGGGACUUGUGCAACUUGCAAACAAGGUGAGAAGUAGUGACAUCAUCAAAACCAGGAGGCUGGGUCAUAUACACCUCUUCAUCCAAAAUGCCAUGUAAAAAGGCAUUCUUGACAUCUAGUUGCCUAAGGGGCUAAUGAAAUUGAGCUGCCAAAGCCAAUACUAGGCGAACCGUGGUAGGUUUAACCACAGGACUGAAGGUUUCCCCAUAAUCAAGACCCGGUUCUUGACUAAACCCUUUAGCAACAAGCCGAGCUUUAUGGCGAGCAAUAGUGCCAUCAGAAUGUUUCUUGAUCUUGAAUAUCCAUUUGCAACCGACCAAGUUCUUUGUAGAAGGUAAUACCACCAAACUCCAAGUACCUUGUUUAUGUAAAGCACUGAUCUCCUCUUGCAUAGCUUUCAACCAAGUAGGAUCCUUCAUUGCUGUUUUAUAAGAAGUUGGUUCAAUAAGGGACAAAUCAGUGCAGUCAGACUCCUGAAUAGUAGCUAAUAAAGCUUUGGUCUUGAUAAUACCACUUUUGCUCCGAGUUUGCAUAGGAUGCAAAUUGAGGGGUGGAACCUCCAACACCACUUGCAAAGUAUCAGGACCAAAGGACACUGCUGGAGAAGCAUCAGAACCAGGGACAAGUGCCACAGGGACAGGGACAGGGACUAGAGAAUGAGAAGUGGAAGAACCAGUAAUGGAUGGAACAGAUAGGGGUGAAGAAGGAAUAUGAGAGAUGGAUAUGGGAGAAGGAGCAGGUGAGGAUGAGGAGGCAGGAUUGGUAUGAGAUGAUGGUGAUCGAAAUGAUGAAUGAGACAUAGGUAACACAACAUUGUCAUUAGAAAUCACAGGUGCGGGAAGUGUGAAAGUAGGAACUGAAGAAGAGUUAUAUGAGUUUGUAGAGUGGACCAACACAGUUGUGUAAGGAAAUUGAUCCUCAUCAAACACAACAUGUCUCGAAAUAUAAACUCGCUGUUUAGAAACCUCAUAACAUAUAUACCCUUUAUAUUUGGUAGCAUAACCCAGAAAAAUACACUUGGUGGUCUUGGCUUGUAAUUUAGUAGAAUUAUAAGGCUUUAACAAAGGAUAACAUGCACACCAAAAAAUUCGGAGAUGAGAGAUAACAGGAAGAUGACCAAACAAAAGUUCAAAAGGAGAUUUAUGUCCUAGCACAGAAGAGGGCAUUCGAUUAAUGAGGUAGACAGCUGUUUGACAAGCAUACGACCAAAAACUAGCAGGUAACCUAGCUGUUUGUAAUAGGGUCACAGUAGUUUCAAUAACAUGCCUAUGCUUUCGCUCGGCUAGACCAUUUUGCUCGGGUGUAUGUGGGCAAGAAAGUUGAUGAGUAAUUCCCUUAUCAAGAAGAAAGGACUGAAAAGCCUUACUAACAUACUCACCCCCUCCAUCACUCUGUAAGGUUUGAAUAGCAGUUGAAAACUGAGUAAGAACAAAUUAAUAAAAUGCAACAAAAGUAGCAAAGACAUCAGAUUUGUUGAUCAAAGGAAACAGCCAACAAUGUCUUGUAUAUUCAUCGAUAAAGGUCUCAUAAUAUCUGUAACCAUCAAUGGAAAUAGAAGAAGCUGGACCCCAAAGAUCACUAUGAAUAACAGCAAAAGGUUUUACAGACUUAUUGGUACUUAGGGAAAAGGGAAGUUUACAAAACUUGCUCUCCAAACAGCUAGAGCACAUUACAGGUAAUGAAGACUUGGAACAAGGAAUAUUAGCUUGCUUUAGCAUCAAAGAACCAAUGUUAUUAGAUGGGUGACCUAGUCUGUUAUGCCAGGUUGUAGAAUGAACAUGCUGACCAAGGAAUGCUUUAGCUGGAAAUGGAGCUGAAUGUGUAGAAUGAGAUGUGGCAGAAAGACAAGGGAUGGGAUAGAGGCCAUUACUGCAUUUUCCCUUGUAAAUGAUCCUCCCUGUGGCCUUGUCCUGAAUCCAGAAGCAGAAAGCAUCAAAAAUUAGCCAGCAGUUAUUAUCUAAACAGAUUCGAUGCACAGAUAACAAGUUGUGUGUCAAUUUCGGAACAUAAAGCACAGAAUUGAGCUUAAUUGGAUGCACAGAAUUCAAUUUGGAAACAUUGAGAACUGUGCUACCAAUAUGAGACACAGGCAAACCUUCACCAUUGGCAGUUUGAAUAGUCUCAGAUGUAGGAUAUGGCGAUGCCAAAGAGAGGUUACUGAGAUCGGCAGUCAUGUGAUUAGUGGCUCCAGAGUCAGUGAUCCACACUUGAGGAUCGGAAUAAGAAGGAGACGGUGAAGAUGGUGACUGAGUCAUCACAGUAUGUAAUGCUUGUGGAGAUUGUUGAUGAGGAUGAAAAUUUUGAGAUUGCAUUGAUGAAUGCUGAAAUGGAGCAUUAUAGCUUGGAGCACCAUAUGUGGAUGGGUGCACUUGAGAAGGAUAGAACUGUCGGGUAGGACCACCAAAAUUAGGACCCUUGUCAUUGAAAAAACAGUACCAUGUGCUGUGAUUGUGCUUGCCACAUAUUUGACAUGGAGCUUUAUCAGGAGGUUUAGACUGGCAAUAUAGAGCAGUGUGUCCUUCAACAUUACACGUUUGACAAGUAGGCAGCAAUGGUGCACUUGGAUGACCAAAAUAUGGUACUGGUGAUUGACCAAGUAUUCCUGGACUUGGUGUAGGGAGCACAUGAGUUUGAGUAUACUGUUUGGGUGAAUAGAACCAAGCCCCUUGAUGAAACUUGCCUUUCCCUUUGUUUUUAUUCCCAUUAAACAGCUUGUAACCUCCAGAAAAGAAUUGAGACUGCCCAGAUGCAAGAUUAGGUGAGUGAUUCUUGCCAGAAUGAGAGACAGUAUUAGCAACCAUGGCAGUGAUAUAAGGUGCAGUUGUGGAAGUUUCGACAAUGACCUCUUCAGCAAGCAACUGAGAUCGAAACUCCUUAAGAGAGAUCACAUUCUCACGACCCCGAAUAACACAGCGAAAAGUGUUAUAUUCAGAAGGUAACCCAUUGAGAGCAAGAAUAACUAUAUCCUCAUCCGCAAAAUAAACCCCAGCAGCAGAUAAGUAAUCUCUAGCCUCUUUAAUUCUAUAAAGAUACUGAGACACCGAAUCAGACCCUUUCUUUAUCGUCUGAAGAUUUGACUUCAUUUGAAAAAUGCUAGUCUUAGACACUGUAGAGAACUGUUCUUUCAGACGAAUCCAAAGAUCCUGAGAACUCUUACUACCAAUAGCACAAGACAACGCAACAGGAGACAAAGUGGCUGUGAUCAAUUGCAUUAUAGCCCGAUCAUGCAUUUUCCACACCACAAAUGCAUCGGAUUCAGCAGAAGUACAAGAGCCAGAGUCAGUAGGAGAAACUGCAAAUUGAAGUGGACAAGGGUGCGAGCCAUCAACAAACCCCAUAAUACCAUUGCUUUCCAACAAAAGUUGUAUCUGAAAAUUCCAAUUGAGAUAAUUGGAGUCAUCCAAUUUGACAUUAACCGAAGUCGAGAUUGUGGAGAUUAAAGCAGUAAUCAGAGAUUGCAAAAUUUGAAGUUGCGUUGCAGUCACCAUUGAAAUUUCGUCUGAAAAACUCUCAGAGGAAUAAUAGCAAACAGUUGAUAUGCAAGACGGAAGGAAGCAGAAAAGAUGAUCGAAGAAAGAUCACGACCACCCAAGAAACCUAGAAAUCCAAAUUAGAGGAAGACGAAGAGAAUCAGAGAUCAGAAAAAACACAAAUCAAGAAGAACGAAUACACCUUCAAUCGGAGCGGAAGCAGAGGAUCGAAGAUUAUGCGCAGGCAACAAUGGCAAUUGAUACCAUGUUAACUAUGAUCAAUAUUAUACAGUAAGGAAGACUAAGAAUGUAACAGACUUAGAGAGAGAGAGAGAGAGAGAGAGAGAAAGAACUUAGAGAGAAGAUGAAUAUCUCUGAUAUAUUUCUUAACUUCCAAGUAAUACAGUGUUGAGGUAUUUAUAGUCUUACACUUACACAGCUAACUUCCUUAACUAACUUCUUCUCUAAUCUAAUUACAAGUGGCAACAUCUUAUACACCAAUAUCUCUAUUCUAUCAUAAUUAGAUGAUGGAAUUGCAUGAUGAUCUCAUAUAUAUUUAAGUUUCGUCAAUCAUUCAGACUACAUCAAGAGAUUAGGUCAGUAACUUUUAUAUAUAUUUAUAAAUAAAUCUGUACUAAAUAUAUGUGUUAUAUAUUCUGUGUCCCUUAUCCAUGACCAUGAGGCUUUAUUUUUUGUGAGAGCGAAAUUUGAAGUUAAUAUGUUUUUACCUUAUGAUCCCAUAGCUAGCUAGCUAAUAUAAUUUGUGAAUUAUAGUAUUUACAGAACUAGUACCCACUUUAUUAAAAGAAACAAGGAAAAUUGAAGAAAUACUUUACUGGCUCUUUCAUGCCUCUAUAUAAUGCUGCAUCAUAAGCAUUUCGGAGAAGAGAUCUAGCCAGCGGAUCGAAAAACAGUACUAAAAGCGAUCGGAAUAUCAAAGCGUAGGGACUUCGGUCGUAGGUGAGAUGCAGCCGAAUGCCUUGUAUAUUGGGUUGCUUCGGUUUCAAGCUGUAUAUAUAUAGCUAGCCAAUUCGUGGCACCGAGCUUCAUCUGUCCUCGACUGAAGCCUCUCAAGCUUUGUUUCCACAGAAAAGCAACCCAUCUUUAAUUUCUUUGCAAGCUUGGAGAAUGAUCAGGUGUAGUAUUAUUUUACCCUUUUUUUGGCUGUAUUUUGUUGUCUGUUUUGAGUUGUGGCUUCAUACGUAUAUUUUUGUACUAUAAGAUUUUGUUUCAGAACUAAACCUAUGUUCUUGGAUCAAUGGAUCAUGGUAAAUGCUUAUACGCAUGUGCUAGGGAUCGAAAGACAGAAAGUAUGUGUCUGUAAAAUGUGCCGAAAAAUACAAGAAAAAGGCACCAAAAAAAAAAGAAAAAGAAAAAAAAGAGAGUACCUAGCAAAUGUUUUUCCAAGAUCCAGAAGUAAUGCACAUUUGUUUUCCCUCUCCUACCUAGAUCCGGCCACCUACGACGUCUACUUCUACAUAGGCAACGGAGAAACGCAUGGCCUGGUCGGCAGGGGUGUUGAUCAUUAGCUAGCUAGUGAAGGACUCGAACACAUGAUUUCUUCUGAGAAGGGUAUAUUUGUCAAGAUGAAGGCUGAAGGAUGACGAGCUAAUUGGAGAUCUUCUGUUCACAAGGUUCACCGCAAGUUUAGUCAUUUUACAUGUCAUUGCAGUAUUAAUUAGAACAUAGUAAUCAUCGUAAGCCUGCAACUGGUGUUUUUAUCUUGUGCUAAAUAUUCAAGCCAGCUAUGUUUGGAGAUAGCAACAAAUUAGCCUAUUUUCUCUUAGUUUAAUUGAUUUGACUUUAAUUUUACUGGUCCAGAAUAUUAUUUAACUUAUAUAUAUUUGUGUGUAUGUAUAUAUUGUUAAACAAUUAUCUUUUCUUUCCAGUGAUGUGCUCCAUAUAUUCAAUCAACUAAUGAUCCCUGAAGGCAUAAUUUCUUGCAUAGCAAAUGAUUCAAUUAAAUAAUGAUCCAAUGUGGGGUAUAAAUGAUUUCAUGAUAUAUGCUUUUAGGAGUUUCUUUUUCUAGGGUUGAGAGAUUCUCCCUCUGUAGAGCACUUUAAGGCCUCAUUUAGCACGUUGUAUAAAGUAUUGGAUAUGACUAAUAGUACAAAGCCAAUUGUUUGAUGCAUUUUCGUAUUAAAUAGCCAACUGACUAAUUAUUCAGACUCAUUUAUUUUAUCCGGUCUACACCUGCUAACUAAUACACUCCAAAAUGAAGGAUAAUUAGUCGGCUUAUCUCUCUCUUCGUUCCUCGUUCUUCUUCCUCCAACCAAGGUGUUUCCUUCUACCCAACCAACCAUGGCAGCAAUCGGAGUGAUCCUGGAAGUCAUUCCAAAGCCAAUCGUCGCAGACCCUAGUCUCCUAUCCCUCUAUAUUUUUCUUUCAGAUCUUCGCGAGCCAAGAUUAUCCAGAAUGUUUGGGGAGACUUCAAAGAGAUUACCUAGUGCAGAGCAAUCCUUCUCUUUUUCCUUCCAUAUUCUCACCUUUCAUCUAUUCUUUUUUUCUAAUUUCUACAACAGAAUAAAAACCAGAAGAAAAAAAGAAGGCCAUGCCUUGCCUGCGCAAUUUUUUUUUUUAUAAAUUUCGUUCAAAUUUGUUUGAAAGUUCAAAAUCCUUGUUCAAUCCAUUUUCAAUUAGUGGGCAAGAGGGUAAGAUUUGUAUGGGAGGAUGGGAUUUAAUGCGUAGGGAGGAAGAUGGUGAAGAAAUGAAGUAGAGAAAUCUGGAUUCUUUUUUCUUACUUUCUUUUUUUUUUCUUUUUUUUCUGUUUUUCCUAAUUUUUUUUUUCAUUUUAACAUCAAUUAUUAAGUUAAAAUUAUUAUAGUUUGACAUAUUAUCCGAUGUAAAAAUUAAUUUGACACUGCAUCAAACAUUGAAUUAUUACUUAGAAUUAUCUGAUACAUAGAUUAGGAAGUUUGAUUAAAAUAGUUAAUACAGUUCGACGUACCAAAUGAUGUCUAAAAAGUGGUGGUAGUGGUUUCAACCGUCAAUUCAUACAUUUCCAAUCAGUUAAGUUUAUCAGUUUAUGUUUACUGUUUUUUUAAUUUAUAAGCAUUUAGUUGAUCUUCAUUACAGUUGCACAAUAGAGUUUUUCUUUAGAUUAAAAGAUGGCAAAGAGGUAAAUCUGGCUGGCCAUGAUGAGGUUUUGACGAGGCAUUUACUUUGGGUUGAUUAUACCCUUGUGUGUGUUAAUGAUCAUCAUAAAGAUGUGAAGCACUAACAUCUUGCAUUAACUCACCUUUUUAUCCUUAGUAGAUCUACUAGAUUACCUACCGUAGCAAAGGUUUUUGUGAGAUUUUUCUUUUGAUAUGUGCCCCCCUACUAUGAGACUCAUGUUAACAACUAUUUGUACAUGUCGAGAACUUAUGACAACAACCUCCAUCUCCUAAUCAUGAAGACCCGAUGCAACUACUUCUUAAGUUGUACACGAUAGAAUAUUGUAAUUAGUGUGUUUAUUUGGGAAUGUGAUUGUGUAAACUUAAACAAGAAUCCCAAUAGGAGUUGGAGAUCGAAUCCUCAUAGACCUAGUGUUACUUAUUAGGCAAGAAGAUAGGGCCAAAGAAGGUGAUAGCCCUGUAGAUUCGUUCCCAUGGUUCGAUCCUUCCUAGUAAAACGCGGCAUGUUCGAAUUCUGAUCGCUUUUUACCCGAGAAAGGGGGACCUCCCUUCUUUCCGCCCCUAUCCCUUUUUAUCAACUUUUGUGGAUCGCUCAUAAAUAAACAUACAAGAUCAAGAGAUAAACAUACAAUUCUCAUACAUCUCAGUCAUUCUCUCUCUCUCUCACCACUUUGAAAGUUAGCUUUACAACAACUAACUUUUUUUUUCCUUAAUGAGCUUUGAUCAAGAGAUAAAUAUUUUUACACUUCUUUUAUAACGUAUAUGGGUUCUGGAAUCUAAAUAGGGAAAAUUUAUAUGGAAAAAAAAUAUAAAAACUGGAAGAGAAAUAUCAUGAUAAAGAUUUAAGCAAUAGCUAUCGAUAUUAGCACAUCGUGGAAUUAUAAAGUAAUUUCAUUAUGAUAUAAUUAUUAAUUUUUCUGGGCUAAGAGGAUCGGCAAGAACGAAAAGAUGGAGCAAAUAGCUCAUAAUUAACUACAUCAUUUGCUUCCACGAUUGAAGAUUCUGUUAUUGAAGUGAAUUUAACUUACAAAGUUUUUUUGGUCUUUUAUGAAAGUGUUGAUCGGAAAAAGUUUAUAUGGUUUUCUUUUAUUAAUUAUGUGGAGGACCACAGGCAGCAAAAUAUGGCAUACAGGAAAAAAAGAGAGGAAGAAAGUGGGUUGUGGUCUUAUAAUUUUAGCAUAAUAUUAUUUUGAAUUUUUAUUACAAAUGAUCUCUGGAAUUUAUCUAGUUCAUCAAGAUGGUCCCUGAAUUUGAAAAUGGGUAAUGCUAGGGAGACUAAAUUUGGAUACUAAAUUUGCAAACCAAAUGAUGUGUCACUAAUAGGAAUAAGCACAUUUAUCAACAUUUAAAUAAUAAACCAAUUAUCAAUUUACAUAUUUUUUAGUUUUCAAAAUUUUGUCUUUAAAUUUAGUCUCCCUAACAUUACCCUUUGAAAAUCAAUCAAUAUGAUCCCUGAAAAUGGAUGAUGCAAAUCAAUGUCGUCCUUCUGUUUAAAUUCCGGUAAAAAUUAUGUUAGUGUGCUAACGUCGCACAUUGUAGGCCCCAUACUCCAAUACAUGGUGCCAUGUGAAUUAGAAAAAGUUCAUUUUUAAUUAAAAAAACAAGAAAUGUGUUUAAAAAUUAAAAAAAAAAUAUUCUAAAAAAAUAUAUCUCUAAUAUCUCAAAUUGUCGUCGUCGUCUUCGUCUUCGCACCCAGCCAAACCCAUAUUCUGUCUCCUUGACUUCAACCGGUAGUUUUUGGUACCAAUCAGUGAUUUGCUGCUUUACUUUGUCACCUCCAUAACCUUUCCAAAAACUAGAUUGCUUCGACUAACAUAGAAGACACAACUACAAAAACAAUCUUCUUCUCCAACACUACGACCACGACCACCCUUCUCCGAUCGCACCACGAACAAAUCCAUGGCCGACCGAGGAGGGGAUGCGGCACCAACAAUCAAAUCAGCGAAGUUGAGAGAAGAAGAAGAAGCAAAGCAGCGGCUCCACCGCCCGAGAAGCCGGAGCUGCACGAUUGUUGCGGCAAUGGAUGAUUCCGGUGUGUGUGGAAUGUGUAUUCUGAUAGGAUCAUACAUGGAAUAAGGAGGAAAUGCAGGGAAUUAACAUAAAGUAAAGAGACAAUUGCAGGAAAUUAACAUAGAGAGAAAGGGGGAUCGCGGGAAAUUAAAGAGUAAGGGAAAGAAGCAACUAUGUUCAUUCAUUCAUCCACCCCUUUGCGACGGUGGAGAGAUUGAAAUUCGUGUGCUCUAGCUUUUUGGCGACUCUUGACGGCCCCAACGAGAAAGGAUGGAGUCGAGUUUUUUCUUUUUCGUCUUUUACUUUUUAUUUUUUUAUUUAAAUAAAAACUUAAUUUUAAUCCACAUGUCAUAAAAAUAUUGGAUAGUGGGGGCUCACAAUGUGCCAUGUUAGCACACUAACACAAUUUUUAAACGAAAUGACGACAUUGAUUUGUACUACUCAUUUUCAGAGAUGGCAUUGAUCGAUUUUCAAAUUUAGGGACAAUCUUGAUGGAUUAGGUCAAUUUCAGAUACUAUUCAUGAUAAAAACCUUAUUAUUUUCUGAGCACAUAUUUUAUUUCAACCCAAAAGAUUGAGAGGAGACACGUGCCCCUUGGUCCUCUAUUAGCUUAGUCAUUGGCUAUGUAUCAUAAUCAAGGUAUUAAAUAUCGGUAAUAUCGGAAAUAUCAGUAGUCCGAAAACACGGAAAUAUCGAUGGAAAUAUCGGGAUGAUAUCGAUAUCGAUAAAAAUUACAUGAAAACCACGGAAAUUGUAAGAAAAACUUGGAAAUUUUUAUUGAAACUUUGCAGGAUGUUUAUUUAGUCAAUUAUCUAUUAGUUUAUCACAAAAAAUUGGAAGGAAAUGCAUUGCAUGAUGGAUUUAACAUUAUCAAGUUGAUUAUAUAGCGAGCUGACAAACAUUGUGAGUGUAGAAAAUAUGUAGUAAUUAAUGAAAGAAGUCUACACACCAUAAUCAUUUAUAUAUAAUGAAUUAGUACAAUAUUUUACACUUUAGUACCACAUAGAGUUCCUAUGAGGUUCAAAUUUUUCACUAUCUUCAUCAUCUCUAUGUGUAGAGUGAGUGUAUUGUGAAGAGUAGUUAUCAAAUGAUAAAUCCCCAAAAUAGUUUUGCAUGUAAUUGUUAACAUGCCACCCAUAUGGAUCCGAGAUUGGUUGAGGUUGUCCAUAAGCAAAAUCAUUUGAAGAUUGAGUCUGGGAUUGUUUCCAUGAGUCGCUCGAUUCCAUCCUAACAGGAAUGGGAUAUGAAGGGUAGGGAAAUGGUUGGUUAUGAGUAUAACCAUAGUUACUACUUCCCACUCCAACAAAGUCCGAAAUUCUAGAUAACGAGUCAUCUUCUUGACUUGACAAAAUCCCCUUGCCUCUUUCUCUACGAGUAUAGUCCUUUCCUAUGGCACCAAUUCCUGGUCCUGCCCGCCUACUGCCAUGGUCAUCAUCCUGUGUUGCAUGCGUGAUGUUUGCCUCACCAGUGAAGGGGGUCAUAAAUCCGGGAGGUGGUCCAUAAUAGUUUCCAUAUCCACCACUACUACCUCCAGCUCCACUACCUCCAGCUCCACUGUAUCCUUCAUCAUUCCCACCUCCAGUGGUAGGUGAGUCUCCUGAUCUUGUACUAGAGCUAUCAUUAGUAUCAGCACGAUGUUGUGGUUGUGUAGGAUUGGACGAAGGUGGAAUUCCAGUGUUUCUUGGUCUUGGGUGCAAAAGUUCUUCCAAAGAGUCAGCGCUGCUAGAUCCCACUUCCUCCUCUAAUACUCUUUCUACAUUUAUCCCUUCAUUACGUGCUUCUUCAGCAACUUUGGGAGCUGGGUUGCCUUCAUCAUCAUUUAAAUGAAGAGGUCUAAUCCAUUGAUAAAGUUGGUUACCCUCUGUAUCAUCAUCUUCACCAACAAUAUCAAACACAUCUAGUGGGUCACCACGGUUGACAUGAUCUAUUUCUGCUUCCUUAUCUCGAAUUUGAAGCUUCAUGUUGUAGUAGCAAUAAACUAAUUUUUCCAACCUACUAUGAGCCAACCUAUUUCUUUGCUUUGUGUGUAUGAGUGCAAAUGUGCUCCAAUUUCUUUCACAAGCAGAUGAGGAAGCUGUUUGUGAUAAUACUUUGAUUGCUAACUUUCUCAUAGUUGGUGCAUCGGUCCCAUACAUGAUCCACCAUUCAGCUACAAUGAAAAACAAUGUUGAUAAGCCUAAUAACUCGAACAAAUUCUAUUAUAAACUUAUAGUGAAAUAUGUUUACACUCACUAGGAGACAUUGUUGUUCGAGCAGCAAUUGAUGUUGGUUCUCCAAAAGUUCUUCUUGCAUCUUUAAACCAUGUUAGCUGAAUUCAAUAAAUCGUGUUAGUUUAAUCCAACAAAGUAAUUAUUAUAAUUUAAGUAAUUGUGUACCUCAUUUCCAAAUUGGCCAACUUCUGGUGAUGCAGGGUCCAAUUUAGAGUAUACAUUAUGUACAGCACGUAUAAGGGCACCAUCAUCUCCAACACCGGGUCUGUAUUGGUAUCGAGGAUUCAAAUAAUAUGAUGUUCAAAGAAACACAUACGCUAAUAAGAGAAAAAAUAUUUAUGCAACUAAAGAAAUGAAUUGCAAAUUAUGACAUAAUUUAUACCUGCUGCAUGCAAAUCGUGGUAUAAUGUUUUAUACCAUCGGUCAUCAAUUAUCUUUAUGGCCCACCUUGCACCAGGUUUUCUUUCCAAUUCCUCCUUCACUACACGCAUCAACUCAUAUAUUGCCCCCAUAGUAGGAUACACUUCUGUGUCAACAAUCCGUAAAACUUUGUAAAGAGGUUCUAACACUUGGCACACAUAUUCUGAUUGAGUCCAAAAAGCAUGAUCAAGCACUAUACUUUCCACCAUACGACCUGCAUUUGAGCGGCUCAAAUUGUGGUUGGCCCAAUCUUCACUAGUGAAUAAUUGCUUCAACCCUGCUUUCUUCUUAAGUAGGUUGUCUAAUGCAAUAUAGUUGGUGGCGAAUCGAGUGGUAGCUGGACGAAUAACUUCUCCUUUGCAAAAUUCACGCAUCUUUGCCAACAACCAACCGUGGUUGUAAAUAUAAUUUGUGAUCGUUCUAGCUCUUUUUACAACAUUAGCAAUAUUCUCUCUUCCCCAUUGCCUCAAACAUGAGAUCAAUACAAUGUGCUGCACAUGAUGUCCAAAACACAUUAUGAUGCUUCAUUAACUUUUUUCCAGCUUUAACAAAUGCAGAACCGUUGUCGGUCACGACUUGGACAACAUUAUGCUCUUCCACCUCCAUGAUUACAUCCCUCAAUAACUUGUAAAUAUACUUGUAGUUCUUUAUAUGGUCUGAAGCAUCAACGGACUUAAAAAAAAUUGUCUUUCCCUUGGAGUAUACCAUGAAGUUUAUGAUAGACAAUCUGGUUGGGCCAGUCCAUCCGUCACACAUGAUUGUGCAACCAUUAGUUUCCCACUUUGACCUCAACUUGUUAACAUACUCGUCAAUGUCUUUAUGCUCCAUUUCCAAAUAUUUGUUUCUUACCUCAUAGGGAGUGGGAGGUUGUACUCCAACACUGGCCUAUUGACAUCCCAAUACCAUAUUUUUGAAAUGAUGUGAUGAUGCCUUCUCAGCAAGGACAUUUUCAUAGAUAAAGAACUUGCUAAUUAGACGCCCCAUUCCCUCCUUCACAUUACCUCCCUUGAAAUAACUCCAAACACUCUUUUGACGUGCUUUGGAUGAGUUAUAUAAACUUGGGGCUAUUGGUGGUGUUGGUUGUAAUUCUCUAAGACUGCCUCCCCGUCUCAUUUGUGCACCAUCACUUGUCCUGGAACCUUGUCCUCUAUUAGGAAUUUUAUGAAGGUGUUCUCUUUCCCAUGCUGACUGUUUGGAGGCACGUAAUGCUUGUUUGAAAUUGCGCCGUUCUUCAGGUCCCAUGUCAUCAUCACAUUCGUCCUCAUCGUCAUCAUCAUCACUAUCAACCGCUUGGCCAAUGACUUCUUCUCGUAGCCCAGCUCGAAUAUUUUCCAUUCCAUAUGUUUUCUUUUCCUUCUGGUGUUUUUUAUUUUUUAAUAAUGUGGUGAUGAAUGCCUUCACUUCUGGGGGGACACUAUCGCAUCGUUGGACAUUAUAUCCUGGAUCUAAUCCACUAAGAUGGUGCUUAAGUCGUGUCACUCCGCCACUCUUCAUUACAUGACCACAAUAUUUGCAAAUUGUGCCAUGUUUGUUUCCGUCUAUUGGGUCUCCAUGUUCCCAAGCUGGAUCACGUUUAGACAUCUUAAACGUACCUGUAUUUAUUUUGCAUGGAAAUUAUGCAAUUAUUUUUUGGCCAAAAAAUAUAGUAGUGACGGUUAUAUAAGAGAACCUAAAUAAUAAAGUUAUUCUACAAAAGAAUUAAAUAGGAAGUAAACAAAAUGAUUGUAAGGUGUAGAAAUUAUAAAAAGAAUAUGGAAUAAUAAAACCUAAUAUUAAUGAAUAAUAACCAGUUUGAUAAUAAAAUAAUAAAUAACAUUAAACAUAUUAAAAUUAUCCUAGGGAAUAAUUAUACAACAUUACUUAAUUACUUCAAAAAAUUAACAUAUUAUUUGGUUCUUAGAUCACAUGCACAGGUCCACACAAAUUUUUUUGUAUAAUUAACCUCCUUAUAUAUGUACAUUAUCUAUAUAUCCAACUUAACUAGUGUUUGUAUUAUAUAUUAUUACAAAUUGUUAAGAAUUAAUAAAGUGUUCUAGACAAACUUCUUUCUUUUUUAGUGUUUUAAAACCUUUUUCUUUUUUUUUCUUUUUUUUUGAGAAAAGUGUUUUAAAACUUUUUAAAAUUGUUUAUUCUUUCCUUUUCUUUUCCUUGCCGUCUCUUUUAUAUUCUUUGAAAAUGGAGACUAAAAGGAUUGAUUAUGGACCCUUUUCGUGGGAGGUAUGUAGAAAUUGUUUAAUCAAAAUGGAUAAUCAGGAGCAAACGAGUUCGAACAAAGCCAUAAAGCAAAGUUAGUAAAUGUUUUGCCCCUCUUUUGGUGUUGGAAAGUUCAUUUACGAUAGUGUGAGGAUGUGAAAAUUAAAUAAUCUCAUGCAUGGGUCCGCACAAAUUUUUUUGUUGUUGUAUAAAUUACAAUAAUAUAAAUGUAAGUUUGUAAACUUACCUUAAAUGUAACAAAUCUGGAACUUUCGAUGUCGUACGUAGCAGCAGCAAAACCUCGACGAUCCUCUGCAGCUUGCCGUCUGUGAAUAAAUGAGAGAGAAAAGGUUUUGGAAAGGAUCUGAAAGGGCUAAGGGAAGAAGAAGAAACGGAAAUGUGUAAUAAAGGUUUUUCAAUUUUCGAAGGGUCAAAAAAUGUGUGAUGAUCUGAUACUCCACCUCUGGGACGCACACGGUUUUGAACUUUUGGCAGUGUUUUUUUUUUACACACACACAUGGGUUUGACAGUGAGAAACCACUCCACCAUACAUUUUUGUCUUGUCACUGUUUUUUUCACACACGGAUAUAUCUUUUUGUCUUAUCAAGAUUUUUUUUCACGGAAAAUGAUUCUCAUGUGAUUUGAAGGUGUAAGGCUACAUGCCUGUAUGGCAGUAUGGGCAUAUGACAGUUUGGUUCAGUUUCAGUGGGUUUUCUUUGGAUUUAUUUGCAAAAUUAUUGGCACACACACACUCACACUAACCUAACAUCUCACAGUCACAGGCACAUUAUUUUCACAUCUUUUCACCUCUGGGUGCAAAAUUAUUUUCACCUAUUUUCACCUCUGCAACACUCUGCAACACACACAUUCACCUAUUUUCACCUCUGCAACACUCUGCAACACACACACACACACACGAUGCAACACGCACACACGCACACGCAACAAGCACACACACACACACGCACACGCAACAAGCACACACGAACACGCACACACGCAUACCUUUCUGGAUCCUUCUCUCUCUCCCUCGGUCUCUCCGUCUCCUUCUCUCCCUCGGUCUCUCCGUCUCCUUCACACGCACACGCAACAAGCAGAGAACACAGAGCCUUCCGUCUCCGUCUCUCCCUCGGUCUCUCCGUCUCCUUCUCUCUCUCGGUCCGGUCUCUCCGUAGUCCGUCCAAUAUGUUGGGUCACCUCAUCACCUCAGACUCUCUCGAAUCUCGAUCUCGAUCUGGAUCCUUCCCUCAGUCUCUCCAUCCUUCUUCUUCUCCCUCAGUCUCUCGAACUCGAUCCUUCUCCGGUUCUCCCCCCCUCAUCUCUUCUCUGCAACUCCGCCGAGUUGCUUGGGGCCUUUUUACGGUCUCUCUACACCCUGGGGGACGUGAUUUUGCUGUUGUUCAGCUCGUACCCACCACCUGUGGUUUCCUCCUCCCUUUCUCACCUCCCGGCGGCGGCGACGACGACGAAUAUCGCGAUAUUUUAAAGAUAUUUUAAUUUUACUCAAAAAAAUAUCGGCCGAUCAAAAAAACAAUAUUAUCGGCGAAAUAUCGCCGAUAAUAUCGAUUUUUAAGACAUUGAUCAUAAUGCAUCUGUUACGAUGACGAGAGAUAUAGAUACAAACUGAUAUAUUCUUGACUACACAAGACAUGAUACAGUUAAAAAAAUAUUUAUCACCGACUACACAUCAAAUUUCUCUCGAACAAAAACAAUAGAAUAUAUGCAAUUGACGUGAAUUGUAUGGAAAACAACUGUGGGAUGUGGGGCCACUAUUUGAUUCAAUACAUGUGUGUAAAUUGCCCUUCAUUCAUAGACCAUAAAAACAUGUAAAAUGUUUUGGUGCAAUCAUUUUACAUGAGUCCACAACUUUGUGUUUUACUAGUUGCAGCAAAUUACCCUAAUGUUGAUGUCAAGUCCCUUUCAACAUUUACCACCAUGCACUAGAGUGCUUAAUUCACUUCCAUCAAUGAGAGAGAACCAAAUGUUAACAAAAAAAGAGAAAUACAAGUGUUUUUUGGUCUAAUUAUUUUUUUUUUCUUUUUAGAGUUAAUAAUUUUUGAGGCAAUAAGGUUAGCCGACGGUGAGAGUGGAUGUAGAGUGAUGGGUAAGAGUAUGCUAGAUCUAGAAUUCAGGAUCCUACAAUAUAACCAAAAUUAAAAUUUCGUAGAGGCAACAAGCUAGUUUAAAAUCUUUUGGUGGACGCCAGUAGGGAUGACCUAUGGGUACCCGUUUAGCUAAAUGGAUGUUCAUUUAAGUGUGAAAUAUGUGCUAAUUGUGGUGGCGAAUGGUAGUUUUUGUGCUCGUGAUAAUGAAAUAUAUAAUGCAUCACUGAAGGGAUCACACCACACAACUUGAAGAGUAAUGUUUAUAAAAUAAGUACUUACAAAAUUAUAAAAGUUUAGGUAAAAAUAAAAAGAAAGAUUUUUUCCCCUGGGAUGGGCGUAAAUUCUUAGGUGUAAUCGAGCUUAUCUCUCUCAUGUGAGAUUUUUUGGUGUAAAUUGGAUGUAAGGCCGCCAUGUGAAAUGAGAUCCGAAAUAUAGAAAAGGGAAUACUCUUUAAAAUAAAUAUAGAGAGAGAGAGAGAGAGAGAGAGAGAGAGAGAGAGAGAGGGGAAUAUAUUUUAGAAUCUCCAUCUCCACGCGUGGGGAAUGUAUGGAUGGCUCCAAAGCUGAUAGGGUCAUGGGCUUCAAGGCAUUGGCAUAAACCCAAUGAAAUAUAUCCAAUAAUCCAAAUGAUGGCAAUCAAGGAAAAAGAAACCCUAAAUAUAAUAUGACGUGCAAAACAAGUUCGAAAAUCUGCAAUAUUAUUACAUAGAUGUAUGAAAAAAAUAGCUAUAUUUGAUCCAAAAGUUGCACAGAAUCAAACAUGUUUUCUUUGGAUUUCCUCUUUCAAAAUAUCCAUCUUUCCAGCAGUUCUUACUCUCCCAUCAGGCCAUCAACAUUUCAAGACACUUUUACUGAAGCAUACGAAAUGCUUUUGGAUCAAAAUUGUCUCACUUUUCAUGGGAAGUUGAUAAUUUCUUCAUUGAAAAUUUCAUCGCUAAGAACCAUGCAUUUUGUUGUAGGUAUACACUACAAGUUAAAUUCUGGGAUUAGUUCUAAUAUACGACGAAUAUUAGAAAAGAAAACAUGAGUCUAACAUCUCUUUCCUUUUCUUUUGACUGGCCAAUGGAAAAAUGAACCCUGUAAGUUACUAGUGAGUUUCUAACGUACGUGUGUGUGGUUAGGCCAGUGUUCCAAACUUUAAAUAACAUAUUUAAUUUUGAAGAAUGAUUAAUUAAGUUCAUUAGAAUAUGCCAAUUUAUCUCACUUUAUGUAAUCACAGGAAAAUUCCUUGCAAAUUAAAAGCAAACUUCGUGGUAAUGUAUAUUUAAUUUCCUUAUAUUGUGAAAAAAACCUAACAUUCCCCCAGUACAGAAAGAAACAUGCAUGGCUAUAAAUAUGGGGUUAUCUAAGGUCUUGAAACCAUAAUCAACACAAAACAAAGAAGAUAUAAAAGAGGUUUGAGGGGUUCAUGUUGCAAGAGAGAUGGCAUGAGCUACGCUCAAGCUAGUAGCAUGUUCCAUCCUCUUGCGACAUGGAACCCUUUAUAUCUUUAUCCAGAUGUAGUAAUUUCUUUAUUUUAUUAAAGAAAAAUGCAGCAUUCUCCAAAUUCAUUGAGAGGAAGGGAGAGAGGGAGAGAUCUCUAGAGAUAUGAUGAAUUAAAAUUGGUUGGGAGAUUUAUGUUCGCAGGAGAGAUGGCACUAAUUGUGCUACAACUACAAGCAAUUGUUGCCAUCUUUCCCGUGACCAAAAAGCUCUACACAACUUCAACGACCUUGAUCUUUCUCUACGACAUUUUGGGGUUUUUUGAUUCCGACAUGAUUUUUAUCUUAUGGUUGUAGAUUAAUUAUCUGAAUAUAAUAUAUAUAUAUAUAUAGUAUCAGUUACUAAUUAAGCUUGACUUUGUCAAGAUAUGAUUGUUUUAGCUAGACAUCUACUGUACUGUCUCUUUCAUGCCUAAAUAUAAAGCUGCCUCAUGAGGAUUUUGGAGAAGAGAUCUAGCCAGCGGAUCGAAAAACAGUUCUAAAAGCGAGAUCGGAAUAUCAAAGCGCAGGUCGUAGGUGAGAUGGCUCCGAAUGCCAUGUAUAUUGGUAGUAGCUGCGGUUGCAGGCUAUAUAUAGCUAGCCAAUUCGGGGCAGCGAGUUUCAUCUCUCCUCGACUGAAGCCUCUAGCGUUUUGAUUACGCAGAAAAGAAACCCAUCUUUAAUUUUUUUUGCAUGCUUGGAGAAAGAGCAGGUGAAGUAAUAUUAUUUUACCCUUUUUUCUGUAUUUUGUUGUCUGUUUUGAGUUUUGGCGUCAUGCGUAUAUUAUUGUACUCUAAGAUUUUGUUUAAGAACUAAACCAAUCUUCUUGGAUCAAACCUUCAUUGGAUCAAUGGAUCAUGGUAAAUGCUUAUAUACAUGCUAGGGAUCGAAAAGACAGAAAGUAUGUGUGUAAUUUGUGCCGAAAAAUAGAAGAAAAAGCAAAAGUACCUACAAAAUGUUUUUCCAAGAUCCAAAUGCACAUCGGUUUUUCCUCUCCUUUUAGCUAGAUCUGGCCACCUGCGACGUCCACUUCUACACAGGCAAUGGAGAAACGCAUGGACUGGUUGGCGGGGGUUUUGAUCAUUAGCUAGGUAGUGAAGGACUCAAGCACAUGAUUUCCUCUGAGAAGGGUAUAUUUGUCCAGAUGAAGAGCUAAUUGGAGAUCUUCUGUUCACAAGGUUCACUGCAAGUUUAGUCAUUUAACAUGUGAUUGCAGUAUUAAUUAGAACUUAGUAAUCAUCGUAUGCCUGCAACUGGUGUUUGUAUCUUUUGCUAAAUAUUCAAGCAAGCUAUUGUUUGGAGAUAGCAGCAAAUUAGCCUUUUUAAUCUUAGUUUAAUUGAUUUGACUUUAAUUUUUCUAGGCCGGAAUAUUAUUGAACAAAUAUAUAUGUGUAUGUGUAUGUACAAGUUGUUAAACAAUGAUCUUUUCGUUCCGGUGCUGUGCUCCAUAUAAGAUUCAAUCAACUAAUGAUCCCUGAAGGCACAAUUUCUUGCAUAGCAUAUGAUUCAAUUAAAUAAUGAUCCGAUUUGAGGCAUCAAUGAUUUCAUGAUAUAUGCUUUUAGGAGUUCUUUUCGUAGGGUUGGGAGCUUCUCCCUCUAUCUAGCAUUCUAGGUGGUGGUGGCUUCAACUGUCAAUUCAUAAAUUUCCAAUCAGUUAAGUUCAUGUUUACUGUUUUUUUAUUUAUAAGCAUUUAACUGAUCUUCAUUGCAGCAGAAAGUUUUUUUUUUUUCUUUCUCAUUACAGUUGCAUGGUAGACUUUUCUUUAAAUUAAUAGAUGGUAAAGAGGUAAAUCUAGGUUGGUCAUGAUGAGGUUUUGACGAGGGAUAUAUUUUGGUUUGAUCAUACCCUUGAGUCUGUUAAUGAUCAUUCUAAAGAUGUGAGAGACUGACAUAUUACUGCAUUAACUCACUUUUUUUUACUUAGUCUAUUAGAUUACCCACCGUAGCUUUCGUUUUUGUGAGAUUUUUCUUUUGAUAUGCACCCCUAAUAUGAGACUCAUGUUAGCAACUAUUUGUACAUGCCGAGAACUGACGGCAACAACUAUCCUCUCCAAAUCAUGAGACUUGAUGCAACUACUUCUUAAGUUGUACACAAGAGAAUAUUGUAAUUAGUGCGUUUAUUUUGGAAUAUGAUUGUAUAAACUUAAUUAAAGGAGAAUCUGAAUAGGAUUUGGAUCAAAUCCUCAUAGAUUUUGUGUUACUUGUAAUGCAAGAAAAUCCAUCAUGAUUAGUAUAAAUAAAGGUUCAAGGCCAGAGAUGAACAUACAAUUCUCAUACAUCUGAGUCAUUCUCGCUCUCUCACCACUUUCAAAGUUAGUUCUACGUACAAUGAAUAACUUUUUUUUCAUAAUGAGCUUUGAUCACGAGACAAAUAUUUUUGUUGACGUAUAUGGGUUCUGGAAUCUAAAUAGGAAAACUUUAUAAGGAAAAAAAAUAUCAAAACUGGAAGAGAAACAUCAUGAUAAAGAGUUAAGCAAUAGCAAUUGAUACUAGCACAUCCUGGAAUUAUAAAGCAAUUUCAUUAUGAUCUAAUUAUUAAUUUUCUGGACUAAGAGGAUCGGCAAGAACAAAAAAAUGGAGCAAAGAGCUCAUGAAUUAACUACAUCAUUUGCUUCCACCAUUGAUUAUUCUGUUCUUCAAGUGAAAUUCACUCACAAGGUUUUUUCUGGCCUCUUAUGGAAGUGGUGAUGGGAAAAAAGUUUAUAAGGUUUUCUUUUAUUAAUUAUCUGGAGGACCAUGGCAUACAGGGAAAAAAAGGAAGAAAGAGGCUUGUGGUCUUAUAAUUUUAGCAUAAUAUUAUUUUAUGAGCACAUAUUUUAUUUCAACCCAAAAGACUGAGAGGAGACACGUGCCCCUUGGUCCUGGACUACAGAAAACAUGAUACAGUUAUAAAAAAGGAGUAAUUAGGUUUUCAUCCUUAUUUUUACUACUCUAUUGAUUAAAACCUUAUUACUUUUCAAUUUUUGAUCAAGGUCCUUUGUAUUAAUAAUAUCAUUAAUUAUUUCAAUAAUAAAAUAUUUUUUAUUUCUAAAUAUAUUCAUUUAAUAUUAAAAAUAUUACAAUUAGUAUAUUUAUAUUUAUGGCUAAAUUUUUUAUCAUAUAUUUUUAUUUUUAGUUUGUACCCAUUUUUAAUUUGCAACCCUUUUUUAAUUUGUACCAAUUUUCCUUUCAGUUUUAAUUUGUACCCAUAUAUUAAUUUCUUUUUGUGCCCAUAUUUUUUAAAGUUUUAUUUGUAUUGUACCCAUAUUUUUUUAUUUAUUUGUACCCAUUUUUAUUUUUGCUAAAUGUACCCAUUUUGAAGAAUGUAUCCAUGUUUUGAUACAAUAAUUUUUUGGUUAUUUUUUAUGAAUGUACCCAUGUUUACACACACACACACAAUAGUAUAUUUAUAUUUUAAUAUUUUUAAUCCCACAAAUUAUGGUUUUUUAUUUAAAAUCUCAUUACUAUAAAUGACACACCCCGUCCCGAAGGAGGGCAUGCUGGCCGUCACGUGAGAGUGACGUAACCAUUUGCACAGUACGGAAGCUUUAAGAUACAAUUUAUAAGUUGAUACACCCGAAGGUGAGUCCUAAUUUUGUCCAAUCUGUCAGAACACCGUCGAAUUCCUCGUAGUCACCACACCUUUGUGAUUCCUGAACCUGGAGGGGCGCAAAACCAAAAUUGAGUGGGUCAGUAAAACAAUUCUUUUCCAAAUCCAAACAUUUCUCAAAACGUUGUAACCCCUCUCCGUAAAACCUGUAUACUUUCCCAGAAAUGUAAAAUAUAAAUAUACAUAUAUAUUCUCAAAACUUCAUUUUUACUAUCUCAACAUUAUCUCUUUAUCAAUCAUGCCAUGCCAUGUCAUCUCAACAUUUCUCAUAUUAAUUAUGCCAUGCCACAUCAUCUCAACAGUAAUAAGGUAUGAAUGCAUCAACAUAAUCAUAUCAGGUGCAAGAAAGUAAUCAACCGUAGGCCCUCUAAUAGCCCUAUACGGUUGAACCUAGAGCUCAAAAUCUAUCAUUAUCACUCUACCGGAGUCACCUCUGUGACCCGUCCGGCCUUCUGCACACAAGUUACGCUCUAGUGCUUCUCAUAAAUCAUCUGUGCACAUAAUCUAAGGUCACCCACCAGUCGGAAUCUCACUAACACUCUCGCGACUGGUCUGUCGUACCCACUCCGCGUGGACUGUACGACUAGCAUCUACUUGGAUCCAAGGCGAGCGUGCGAUGCGGUGAAUACUAUAAGCACUAAACCAUGGUGCAGGAUUUGAGCUCAAUAUAUAUCAUCAUCAUCAUAACAGUAAUUAAAUACUCAUCUGUGCGUCCACCGCACCAUUUCAUACAUAUGCAUCAUAAAUCAAUUCUUACCUGUGCGUCCACCGCACCAAUUCAUACAUAUGCAUCAUAAAUCAAUUCUUACCUGUGCGUCCACCGCACCAAUUCAUACAUAUGCAUCAUAAAUCAAUUCUUACAUGUGCGUCCACCGCACCAAUUCAUACAUAUGCAUCAUAUAUUAAUUCAUGCAUGGCAUUUCAACUCACAUUUCUAUAUACUUUUCAUAUCAAUUCUAUGCAUGGUAUUUCACUUCCCGUUUUUCCACAUAACUCAUAUGCAUUUCAUUUUAAACAUAUUUUCAUUUCAAUUCAAUUUCUGGGAAACGUCAAGUAUAUAUAUAUACGGAAAACAAAACUGCCCACUCACCUGGAGUUCGUCCAACAACUCCCUAGCACCACACAUCAAGGCGUCAUGACGAUCGCCGCCUAGAAUAGUAAUCAAAUCCAGGCUCAGAAUUCAUAUCGAUAGAAUAACAUAACUUAUAUAAAAUACGUCACUACGUUGAUCGAUCCGGAAGAUCUGCCACUCAGAUUUUAAAAUCCAUAACUUCCAGAGGUCCACACUAUACCUCUAGGACAACAUCCUAAAAUUUCAUUACCAUCCAACGGUCGGAUCUCCGUCAAUUUCCAAAACUAAGUGACGGUUAACAUUUUAUAUUAUGGACUUACAAUUCCAAUUCCGGAAGAUCCGUAACUCGGAUUCCCAAUCCGUAAGUUCCAAUAAUCCUCAAAUAUUACGUAUUACAACGUAUCAAAUUUUGGUGACGAUCCAACGGUCGGAUCAUCAAUUCACAUUUUCACCUAAAUGUGAAAACUAUAAAACGUUAUUUGAACACCUAACCAACAAUCCUCAAUAACUUUCUCAUACGGUGUUCAAUUUAGGUAUAUGAAUAUACCACAGUGAUCUAAUCGACGUCACGGACGUCGACAUAUUUUUAAAAUAAUUUUAUUUUUAUUUUUUAUUUUUACUGUAGCACCUUCUUCUUCCUUGGGUCGCCGGACUGGUUUUUUCCGGCGGCCGUUUUUCCGGGCAGUUUUUCAAAUUGCCAUAACUUUGUCAUUUCUCAACGAAAUCAAGUGAUUCAAAAACGAAAGUUGUAGCCCUUGAAGAGACAAAGAGAAUGGUACCUUGAAAAACACCUAGUUCGCCGUGGUUUGGCCGGAAACUGCCUCGAAAGCCUCGGAGGUCGCCGGAAACUGGGUAUUUUUCAAAUGAGUAUAACUUCUUCAAUACUCAACGAAAUUGAGUGAAACAAAAAGGAAAGUUGUAUUACUUGACGAGACGAAGAGAUUGAUACCUACCUCGACUCCUAAAUCGCCGGGGAUUCGCCGGAAAACGCCUCGAAAGCUCCGGCCAAACUUUGAACUUGUCGAUCUCCGUGUUCUUACGUCCAAAAACUUCCAACGAAGCACUCUGAGCUUCCUUGGGACCUUACUAAACUCGCUGUGAUCUUGUUUUAGCCUAAAACGUAACCAAUUCAAAGCUCAUGAACAGUGUCAUCUCACGGCAACUUUAGAACUAGGGUUUUCGAAGUGAAACUCACCUGAAAUUGGUAUCCCCGUGCUCGUGAAGUCCCCAGGAUCACGAUGGUGGUCUUAAAUGGAACGUUGGUACAAGAUUGUGGUGGUUCUUGGUGGUUGCCGUGAGUUCGAGAGUAAGAGAGAGAAUGAGAGAGUUUUCAGAAAAGAAUAAGAGAGAGAGUGAAAAUCUGAAAUGGAAGAAGAAGAGAGAGAAGGAAAGGUUACGGAAAAUGGGGAGGAAAUUAGGGUAUAGGACCCUACCUAAAGUCCAACACAACAAUAGCUUAGAAAUUUUAGGUAAAACAAACACCAAAAUUACGCACCUUAAUCCCGUUUAAGGGCGUUUUUGUAAUUUCACGUCCUCGGAAUUAAAAAUUCCGGGACGGGCUGUGACAAU